This 123080-nucleotide long non-coding RNA is filed under the name Citrus maxima (pomelo). RNAcentral's name for it is "long non-coding RNA (CMAX_LNC003076)". The stretch from base 44996 to 45099 matches the Rfam family "Plant small nucleolar RNA R71". The record is from RNAcentral. Lineage: Eukaryota; Viridiplantae; Streptophyta; Magnoliopsida; Sapindales; Rutaceae.
UCUUAUACAUCUAAUUAAGUUAUUGAUAAUUCACCUAAGAAAUAGAAAUAUGUCGAAGAGCCUUAGUUUCAUCAUCUUGGCUUUACUCGUAGUGGCAAACACUGAAAGUAGACUUAUUUUAGCCAAUCAUAUUGGCCAAGGAUCUACCGCAGAUGUAUCAUUUUCCAGUAAUCCUACAGCAUCACCAGACAUUGUUGAUUGCUCAGGGAUUACAAGGGAAGAGUGUUUGAUUGCGAAGCUAAAGAAAGCUCUCGAAGACUAUAUCUAUCAUUGUCCCCCGGGGGGAUGCAAAUGAUUUUGAUAAUCAGUUAUUUCUUUUAUCUUUUAUGAGUGCUUUUGCAACAAUGAUCAAGUGUAGUGAAAUUGAAACUAUAUCUUAAUAAAAAAAGAAACUAAUCCAUUAUGAGUGUGCAAUGUUAUGAUAUGUGCCUUUUGUACGUGCAUCUGACGCUAUUUUGUUGUAUACAAAUCGUUAACUCAAUCGAUGAGAGAGUAAUUUGUUGAAAUACUAAUAAUGAUCAUUAUUACUGUGUUAGUACUAGUAAUAUUUGAACGUUCAAUCCAUUUCCUCUUCGGGUGAGGCUGUAUCCUCACAAAAAGGGGAAAAAAAACCCUUGUAUUUUAUCAAAAUCUUAUAUUACUAAACUGAUUGAGUUAAUUUAAGGGAAAAAUUCAAUUUAAUUGCCUGAACUAAUUUAUGUAUAGACUUCAAUUUAAAUUAUGAAAAUAUCAAUUUUACCCCAAAAAACGUGAACACAUCAUCUUACCCAUUUUUAUUACUAAAAAAAUAGAUUAAAAAAUUCAUUUACGCUUAUCUUCUGAACAAAAAUUGAGGUAAGUUGAGCUUUUCACGAUUUUGAAGGGAAAAUUGAAGAUUUUUAUUUGCAGGAGAAUGAAUUGAAGUUUGCCCAGUUAAUAUAACAAAAUUUUCCUAUUAUUCUGGCACCUAUUGACCUCAUCUACUAAAAAUACAAAAGUCUUUCUCUAAUUAGAUGCAAUGUUGUCAUGGCGGAUUCGCAAAUUGCGUUCAAGAUGAAAAAAAAUUAAUGCAAGUAAAUGGACAAUUUGUUGGCUAAGCCGCACAAUAGAAGUCACAUGUAAUUGUAACCAGAAUUUUAAUUUCAUCACUUGAAAAUAAAAAUAUUGGCUUUUAAUUUCUUUUAUUUUAUGUUAUUUUAUUUCAUUUAAGAAAAACUUGUUAGUAAUUACAAAAUUGUUUCAAGCAGUUGCUUCUAAAUGCAAAUAUGUACUAUUUUAUUUAUUUGCGAUGGCUAGUUUGGCUUUAAUUUAAGAUUUGUCUUUGAAAUUUAGAUAUUUCUUUAUUCUUGUUAUAUAACUAAAUAAUAUAAUAUUUAUACUUGAUUGAUGACUUAAAAUGAUAAUAUGUUAGUUUGUUAAUUUUUAUGCAGCUAGUAUGGUAAGAAAUUGUUUUUGAUAAGACAAUAGUGAAAUCAGAGAUAACAAUAAGAUUAAUCAUUUAAUGAUGCAAAAUAUAGGCUUCAUCAUGUUGGCUCCUACAAAUUUAAGACCUAGAUGUUGUUAUUACUAAGAAUAACAAGUAGGAAUUUUAAUCAAUGUUGUCAGUUUUAGCUUUUCUUUUUCGGUCUUUCUAUUGUAAUGCUCUUGAGAUGUUAUGAAUUAAACAAAUACAAGUUCUUAAUCACACGCUCUUAUUAGAUGGGAAGCAUCAUAAAAAGAAGAAGCAAAUUCUCAAAUUGGGUGGCCAAAAAAACUUGUGGCAAUAAAUUAAGUCUUUUGAGCAAGCUGGGGGAUUCAAGCCUACUGUGUACAUUGAAUAGAAAAGUAGCAACAAGUGGAUAAUGAGUCCAAUGAAGCCAAUAACAAAUGCUACUUUAAUUUGGUCACCGUAUUAAGGUGCUUGGAGGUAAACUUGUGUCCAACCUACUAAUGAAACGUAAAAUUGUCAAAGAUUUUUAGUUUCAUUAUCGCCUAAAAUUAUUGAUUGCUCAAGACUUACCAGGGAAGAGUGUUUGAUUGAAAAGCGAAAAUAGGCUCUCAAAGACUCUAUCUACCCUUGUUCCGCAAGGGGAUGCAAAUGAACUUGAUAAUCAGUUAUUUCUUUUAUCUUUUAUGAGUCCUUUUGCAGUAAUGAUCAAUUGUAGUGGAAUUAAAACUAUGUUUUAAUAAAAGAAGAAAUUAAUCCAUUAUGAGUACGAAAUAUUAUGUCAUGUUUUUUUUGUGUGUGCGCCUAGUGCUAUUGACUCCUACAAAUUCAAGACCCAUAUGUGGUUAGCACGAAGAAUAACAUGUAAGAUUAAUUAGUUCAAGGAAUUUUCGUUAAUGUAUUUAGUAUUCAACUUUUCUUAUUUUGUCUCUCUUCUGCAAUGUUUUUGGGAUGUUAUGAAUUAAACAAAUACAAUCUCCAAUUCACACACUCUUAUUAGAUAGGAAGCAUCAUAAAAAGAAGAAAUAAAUUCUGAAAGUGGGUGACCAAAAAGACUUGAGAUAGUGAAUCACCUCUUUGAACAAGUAGGGGAUUCAACACUACUGUAUGGAUGAAUAAGGAAGCAAAAGCAAGGAGAUGAUGAGUCCAAUGAAGCCUGCAGCUAAUUCUCCUGUAACUUUGUGGUAGUACAGGGACACUUGGAGGCUAACUGGUAGCUAGCUUGCUAAUGAAUUCCACCUCUUCCCCACUUGAGCAAUUGCCAAGGUAGCCGAUAUGCUUGGUGUGUAUAACACUAUGAAAACCAAUUGAUCCAAAGUAUUGAACAAAAUCAACAAGAAUUACGUCCAAUAUAAAUGCUUAAAUUAUCCAUACUUGAGCAAUUAAUUAUUUAAACUUUGCAUACAUACAUAAUUGUCAAACCAUCCAGUAAUUAAUGUCGAUGCUCAUAAUAUCUUGAGCUUUUAUUAUAGUUUAAUUAACGCUUUUAGAUUUGGUUCAAUGCUCUGGUGAGUUACAACAAUUUUGCCUCCACAUUUAUGUCAGAUAAUGCUUUCCACUGUUUGCAUAUUGCAUUAUUACACGAAUCUUAAUCUAAAACUUUUCAAUAUUUGUGUAAAAUGAUAUUAACAGAUAAUUUGAUGAUUCACAAAAAUGAUUGAGUACUGAUGAAGCUUGGCUUGGACUAGGUCGUUUUAUAUUGAAUAAAUGUGUAGGACUGAUUAUGUGCCAUUUUUCGAGUGGUGAUAUUGAACCUUCUCAAAAUAUCUUUUCAGCCAUCACCUUUUAAUUAAUUUACUUAAUUAGCAAAAGUAUCCUUUUCCUCGCUCUAGCAUUCACUUUGUUGUUUUUGGCCUGUCUUAUGAUAGUUGUGGUGGCCAUGAAGCUGAACAAAAAAAGCUUCAAUAUAAUAUCAGCACAUCCUCUCUGCCAUGCUAUCAUAGAUAAUUACAUUAAUUUCUCUUUUAAUAAAUGGUUUCUGUAAAUUUAGCGUCUUUAACACUAAUGUUGUUUGUUUCUUUUGAUCAUGUUAAAUUUCACUUUUAAAAAAAUGUUGGUUCUAUAAUAUUCGGACUCAGUACAUAAUGCUUAUAUUAGAAUUUCAACUUGAUGAUAUUGGAUAUUUGACAUUGUUAUAGAGAUUGAUGUAAUUGCAUUUGAGGUGCUUUAUUGAUUUGCUGUUAGUGAGAAGUUAAAAUGCGUAUACUUGGAGGAAAAUUAAUGUAAAAUUAUCCGGUACUUUUUCUUUUUCAAAUGGUCUGCCGCUGCUGUAGAAUCUCAUGGAUAUACAAUACAGCCUCUCUAAAUUAAUAACAGAAUCAUACAAUUCUAUUAAUAUAAAGAGAUACUUAUAUUAAUUAAUCUAUAAGUUAAUAAUCUUUUAAUUUAUAGAGUGUAUAUACAAUUAAGUGAACAUAUAUUUAAUCAACUAGAUAAUUCGUAGUAUUUUACCAACAUAGCCAAUUCAAAAUUAAUUAAUCCCCUAAAUAUAGAUUACAAUUAACCAAAAAAAAAAAGAAUUACUGUUGUUUUGAAUUCCGCAGGGAUAAGUAAUAUCAGAGAUGAGAUCCCACUAUGUUUAGAUUUGAAGAAAAACAAAUAAUAAUCGAGUCAUGUUUUAUUUAAUAACAUAUUAUAACAAUUAUGUUUGUAAGCCCAGUAAAUUAUUAUUUUAUAGUAAGAAUGUGACCAUACAAUUAUAAAACAUAAUCUCUUAUACAACUUAUUGAUUGAUUAAUAUCAAUAUCUCUUUAAAUUAAUAGAUGUUGCAUGAUUUAUUUAUUAUUAAUUUAUAGAAGUAUUACUGUAUAUCCAUGCAAAUAUAUAGGAUUGAUUGUGUCACUGGCUUGCUUAAAAUAGGAUGUGGUUAAUUUUGUUGGAGGGCGUGGCUUCUAGAAACAUCUUUACAUAUUAAAACAAUAGUUUGACGAUUGAUAUAAUGAGAAAGAAUCUAACAAUAAACUAAACAUAAUAAUAACACUAAAAACGAUCAAAUUAAUUUAAUGUAUGUUAAAAUUGUCAUCGUAAUGCAACAUGAUAUUAAAGUCAAUAGUUAAUUUAAACAAACACAACAUAAUUUAUUUAAUCCUCAUUUAUGGAAUCUUUCAAUUCCAUUAAAGUCACUGCAACUCGUUUCUCAAUAUUCAUUCAUAUAAAUAGAGACUCAUGAUGCCCUGAUUGAUGUAGAUCUCUUAUACUUCUAAUUAAGUUAUUGAUAAUUCACCUAAGAAAUAGAAAUAUGUCGAAGAGCCUUAGUUUCAUCAUCUUGGCGUUGCUCGUAGUGGCAAACACUGAAAGUAAACUUAUUUUAGCCAAUCAUAUUGGCCAAGGAUCUACCACAGAUGCGUCAUUUUCCAGUAAUCCUACAGCAUCACCAGACAUUGUUGAUUGCUCAGGGAUUACAAGAGAAGAGUGUUUGAUUGCGAAGCUAAAGAAAGCUCUCGAAGACUAUAUCUAUCAUUGUCCCCUGGGGGGAUGCAAAUGAUUUUGAUAAUCAGUUAUUUCUUUUAUCUUUUAUGAGUGCUUUUACAACAACGAUCAAGUGUAGUGAAAUUGAAACUACAUCUUAAUAAAAAAAAGAAACUUAUCCAUUAUGAGUGUGCAAUGUUAUGAUAUGUGCCUUUUGUGCGUGCAUCUGAUGCUAUUUUGUUGUAUACAAAUCGUUAACUCAGUAUAUGAAAGAGUAAUCUGUUGAAAUACUAAUAAUGAUCAUUAUUACUGUGUUAGUACUAGUAAUAUUUGAACGUUCAAUCCAAAAGGGAAAAACAAACCCUUGUAUUUUAUCGAAAUUUUAUAUUACAAAACUGUUUGAGUUAAUUUAAGGGAAAAAUUCAAUUUAAUUGCUAAUUUACGUAUAUACUUCAAUUUAAAUUAUGAUAAUAUCAAUUUUACCCCAAGAAACGUGAACACAUCAUCUUACCCUUUUUUAUUACUAAAAAAAUAGAUUAAAAAAUUCAUUUACGCUUAUCUUCUGAACAAAAAUUUAGAUAUUUCUUUAUUCUUGUUAUAUAACUAAAUAAUAUAAUAUUUAUACUUGAUUGAAGACUUAAAAUGAUAAUAUGUUAGUUUGUUAAUUUUUAUGCACCUAGUAUGGUAAGAAAUUGUUUUUGAUAAUACAAUAGUGAAAACAGAGAUAACAAUAAGAUUAAUCAUUUAAUGAUGCAAAAUAUAGGCUUCAUCAUGUUGGCUCCUGCAAGUUUAAGACCUAGAUGUUGUUAUUACUAAGAAUAACAAGUAGGAAUUUUAAUCAAUGUUGUCAAUUUCAGCUUUUCUUUUUUGGUCUUUCUAUUGUAAUGCUCUUGAGAUGUUAUGAAUUAAACAAAUACAAGUUCUUAAUCACACGCUCUUAUUAGAUGGGAAGCAUCAUAAAAAGAAGAAGCAAAUUCUCAAAUUGGGUGGCCAAAAAAACUUGUGGCAAUAAAUUAAGUCACAUGUAAUUGUAACCAGAAUUUUAAUUUCAUCACUUGAAAAUAAAAAUAUUGGCUUUUAAUUUCUUUUAUUUUAUGUUAUUUUAUUUCAUUUAAGAAAAACUUGUUAGUAAUUACAAAAUUGUUUCAAGCAGUUGCUUCUAAAUGCAAAUAUGUACUAUUUUAUUUAUUUGCGAUGGCUAGUUUGGCUUUAAUUUAAGAUUUGUCUUUGAAAUUUAGAUAUUUCUUUAUUCUUGUUAUAUAACUAAAUAAUAUAAUAUUUAUACUUGAUUGAUGACUUAAAAUGAUAAUAUGUUAGUUUGUUAAUUUUUAUGCAGCUAGUAUGGUAAGAAAUUGUUUUUGAUAAGACAAUAGUGAAAACAGAGAUAACAAUAAGAUUAAUCAUUUAAUGAUGCAAAAUAUAGGCUUCAUCAUGUUGGCUCCUGCAAAUUUAAGACCUAGAUGUUGUUAUUACAAAGAAUAGCAAGUAGGAAUUUUAAUCAAUGUUGUCAGUUUCAGCUUUUCUUUUUCGGUCUUUCUAUUGUAAUGCUCUUGAGAUGUUAUGAAUUAAACAAAUACAAGUUCUUAAUCACACGCUCUUUUUAGAUGGGAAGCAUCAUAAAAAGAAUAGCAAAUUCUCAAAUUGGGUGGCCAAAAAAACUUGUGGCAAUAAAUUAAGUCUUUUGAGCAAGCUGUGGGAUUCAAGCCUACUGUGUGGAUUGAAUAGAAAUGUAGCAACAAGUAGAUAAUGAGUCCAGUGAAGCCAAUAACUAAUGCUGCUUUAAAUUGGUCACCGUAUUAAGGUGCUUGGAGGUAAACUUGUGGCCAACCUACCAAUGAAACGUAAAAAUGUCAAAGAUUUUUAGUUUCAUCAUCGCCUAAAAUUAUUGAUUGCUCAAGAAUUACCAGGGAAGAGUGUUUGAUUGAAAAGUUAAAAUAGGCUCUCAAAGACUCUAUCUACACUUGUUCCGCAAGGGGAUGCAAAUGAACUUGAUAAUAAGUUAUUUCUUUUAUCUUUUAUGAGUCCUUUUGUAGUAAUGAUCAAUUGUAGUGGAAUUAAAACUGUGUUUUAAUAAAAGAAGAAAUUAAUCCAUUAUGAGUACGAAAUAUUAUGUCAUGUGUUUUUUGUGUGUGCGCCUAGUGCUAUUGAUGUUGAGUGUUAGAAAAUGUGUAUUUAUAAAGGAGAAAAUCGUUAUUUUACACUUCAAGUUUUACUAACACCCUUACUUUUAUGUAUUUAACCUUCUUGUGAUUUAAUUACGUGUGUUUUAUUUUAAUUAAGUAUUUUAUGUAUUUUAGGGGCAUCAUAGUCAUUUCACAAUGAACGAGAGAUCAGACGACAAAACGGACAUCACUUUUGAACUCAGAAUGGUCGAAAACCUUAGGAGGAACAUAAAAGGAAAAAUGGCACUGUUCACAUGUACCGUACUAUUCACAUGUACGGUACUGUCUACGUUACUGUUCACGACACUGUUCACAUUGACGGAUCGAUGACGUAGCAUUGACCGAUGAUGUGGCUUGACUGAUGAGGUGUCACGAUCCUGUUGGACUAAAAUUCUUAUGUACUGUUGAUGGUGACGUGGUAGCACAUCAGUGGACCAAAAAUCUCGCGUACGGUACAUGUAUUACACAAGAUUAUUUUCAACCAAACCGCGUCACUAUUCAAGUCGGGUCAAACCAUGUUACUAUUCACCCACGUGGUCAAACCGCGUACUGUUGACUGAUGACGUGGCGCAAUCCUGAGCGUCCGAAAUGUUUUCGAUCUGAUGGCCAUGAUUUACUCAAUGUAUCUAUAAAAAGGGGGCCUCUCCCCCACCCCCCUAAUUGGAUACCUCUGAAUCCAUUUUUGGACUCCAUUUUCUGUAAUUCCUUCUCCAUCUUGUAUUUUCUACGUAUUUUAAUAAAUUCUCAUUUUACCCCUAGUUCAAUUAUGAGUAGCUAAUUUUCUUUCAAACUUGGGUUGAUGGUGAACUCUCAACAUGUGUCAUGGGCUUUAUUUGGUAAAUUUACUUUCUCUUCCCCUCUAAUUUUUGUGAAUGAUUUGACUUUUCGUCGACAAAUAAUAAUAAUCUUGUCUAGAUACCGCCUUGGUUUCACCGGCUCUCUAGUACAAGGUUAUUAUUAUUUGGCACGAUAAGCCCUUUAGCACCAUAUUGAUUAGAGUGUGGUUUAUGAGGUGUGAAUUCCCCCCUCAUGAUUUAAUUGGCACUAAUAAGGAAUAUUUAGCCCAUGGUGCAUGUUGAUACGGAUCCAGAUACCCAAGUACGUCAAUUUAAUAGAUUUUCACUUCAAUUUAUUAUUGCCAUCUUAAACCAAAUAAUUUUCACCACAAAUCCAACCACCCUCAUACAAAAUUAAUUCUACAUAUAAUUAAAAUCCACCUCCUCGUGUGAUCGACACUCGUCACCAUUAAUCUAUUCUACAAUAGAUUCGUGCACUUGCGAGUUCAAUAAAAUUUGCACAACAAGUUUUUGGCGCCGUUGCCGGGGAGGUAAGUUAUUUUAAUUCGUAGAAUUAAUUUUUGUGAAUAAUUUCUUUUAAUUGUUUUCUUGUAAUUUUUUUUAUUAAAAAAAGAAAAAAAAAAGUGAAUCUACAUUUAGAGGUAAGAAUUUCUUUUCUUUUUCUCUUUUUUAAAAUUCUGUAAUUUAAUUUUCAAUUUAAUUUUCUUUGUAUUUUUUUUGUUUAGCUUAUUAAUUUAUUUUUAGCCAAUUUAUUUCAUGUAUUUUUUAAGUUCUUUUUUAUAGAAAGGUUGUAACAGCGUGAUAAGGUUAGUAUCGUAAUUUCUCAUUUUUCUUUAUUUUUAUUCAUUUUGUUCCCAUUUAUUUUUUGUUCUAUGCAUGCAUGGUCGUAGGUCAUUAUUACCUAAUCUUGAACCUAUAUUCCCUUCACUUCCUCAGAAUGCCCUCCUUACGAUCUAUAAAGCUCGGUCCGAACGCAUGCGAUUACUCAUGAGGAAUAACAUACCUGCUGAUAUCCGUUGGUUAAUCGAGGCUAAAGUACGAUCAGCAGGUGAGUUACCUCCAAAAUUUAUUGCAUACAUGCCUGGUUGUGGUAAAGGAAAUUAUGCAAGAAAAUGACGAGCUCGAAGAAUUUCUGUUGCUUGUUAUAAGUGUGCCAGAAUGAGUUGCAAUAGAAACCCAUGUUCUUUAGGAAUGGUGUCUGAUAACAGAGAAGAUAAGAUUCAAUUUAUUAGGGAUGGCUUGAAUAAGGAGUCAUUGGAUGAUAUCCUUCUGUCUCUUGAAACGCAUCCCAGUGGAUAUGUGCAAGGAGCGAUUCUCCAGUUAUGGCCAUUAUUCUAGAAAGAGCAUGCACGAUAUAGUCUCGGGAAUCUGACUAUAAACGACCCUGUUUGCCAGUUUAUAAGAAAACUGGAUGGGAAACCUAUCCUCGACCCAUAGAGGGCGUUCAAGCCGUUUCUGGACGUAAAACCAGAGGAAGAUGUGAGCCACAGUCGCAACUACCUGUAAAUAUCCUUUUACUUUACUGUGAUUUUAUUUCACUGUUGUUUUAUUGUUUGCAUUAUUGUCUUUAAUAAUUUUAUUACUGUUUGCUUUUUCCUUUUUACUGUUUCCUUUAUGACUCGCGAGCCAUGUGCUUUACGCGUUAUUUGACACUGACAUGCUACCUCAUACACAGCUGUGACCCACUGUCACCAAGACUCUUAAAUGUGAUUUCUUUUGUCAAACACUCACAAAUUGUUUUUGAGAAGUAUCCCAAUGGCAGCUACUCUCAAUAGACAAUUCAAGAACAUUUGUGUGCUUUCUGGAUUUACCUAUGGCAAACAUAAAGAGUUCGUUGAGGCAGCCAUAGAUCUUGGUUGAAGCAUAGCAGCGAGAAAAUUACACUUGGUGUAUGGAGGAGGUAACCGAGGGUUAUCAAAAAUAGUCUCAGAAGCAGCUUUUAUCAGAGGAAGUCAAGUGUUAGACAUCAUCCCCAGAGUCCUAAAACCAUUGGGCAGUUCGUCUGACUCAUCAACUGGAGAAGAGUUAGUCAUCUCAGGUAUGCAAGACAGAAUAACUGAAAUGCUUAAUCAUGCUGAUGCUUUUAUUUUCCUUCCAGGAGAUCUUGCAACACUAGAGGCACUUAUCACACUAGCAUCUUGGGCCCAUCUGCACAUCCACCAGAAACCCAUCGGUUUGUUAAAUGUCAAUAACUUUUAUGAUGGCUUUAUCGCAUUUCUUAACCAUGCAAUAAAAAACUAUUUCAUUCCUUCUAAUGUAAAAAAACUUUUUAUUUGUGCUCACAUUGCUAAUGAGCUACUUGAUCUGUUACAAGCUUAUAAACCGGAGCCAGACCCCUGGACCUUUGUGUUGGAGCACCCAAAUAAUGAUGGUAACAGUAGCCGCAGUAAGAAGUACAAAUUAGAUUUAACUCUCCCCUUGUAAAUAUUUUCUUCUGUGUUGCACCACCCAGGUGAUGUCUUCUAAACUCUACUUCUUUCCUUUAAAACAUUGAGGACAAUGUUUCGUUCUGGUUGGGGGGAGGGAAUAGUCGACAAUUGUGGAAUCUUGGUUAAGUUUUUACUGAUUUUUUGUUGUAGAAACUAAUUGUUGCUAACAUUUUGUGUUGAAGAUGGCUGAAUAUGGAGUGUAGUUACUCUAGAAACGCAUCUUCAUCGUUUAAAAAAAAAACAAAAAAAAACCGUUUUCUUCCUCUUUCUCCUUUAUAAAUAUAUAUUUUCAAAUUUUUUGAGUCGAAGAUGGCUGAAUAUGGAGUGUAGUGCCUCUAGAAACGCAUCUUCUUAGUUAAAAUUUUUUUUUUCUUUUUCUAAUUAAUUUUUCUACAUCAUUUUCACAUUUCUACAUGCAUAUUUUCCUUUCAUGUUUAGAAUAGGUUAGGGGGUAGAAUGUUGUUUAAAAAAAAAAAUUGUGUGAUUUGUUUUAACAUUGGAUGACAUGAUUAAUUUUAAAUUUUAGUAUUUGUAUUAUCUUUGGUCUUAAGUGAUGUUACAUUAUGUUUGCUACUCUACAUGUUGAUGUCGAAGACAAAUAUGAGUUGCUUGAAGAAAUGAACAUGUCAUAAUAAGUACCAAGUGAGUUUUUGAGCCUAUUAUUUUUCUUGGAGAGUAACCCUUUUGCCCAUUCUCUAUACAGCUUAGCAGUUUAUUAUUUUAUACACGAUCUCUAGAUUUCUUUUGAGUUAACCCUUAAAAAAAAAUGGUAAAAUUAAAAAAAGAAAAAAAAAUGUGUUGCUACAUUUGGAGGCCCAUCUAACUAGUAGAUAUGGAAGGUUAUUUAGAGCCCUAAAAGACGAUGGAAAGGCCAUAUUUGAUCCGCUUGAGCCUUUCUAGCCAUCCUUUUUAUCAAAUAUCCAUAGUUAACCAUUUUGAGCCUUUAAAGAAAAAAAAAAAACUUUUUAUUUGUUAAACUUAUCAUCUUGACCCACUCCGAUUUGGAGUAUUACCCGAUGUCUUAUAAGUUCCAUCACCUAUUUAUGUUUGAGAAAAUGUAAAUAAUUAUUUUGUUCAGUGAAGUUAUGCAAAAAAAAAAAAAAAAAAAAAAAAUCUCUGCAUUUUUCUCAAACAUACACUUUGUUUUCCUUAUUUCCCUUCUGUGUUAGCCAUGUCCCUAGCCUACGUUACGUCCUAAUAAAAGUCCUUCUUGAUUUUAGGGAACUAUAGUUUGAAGUAGAAGCUAGUUAUAUGGGCUAAAAAGAUGUAGUGGUGCAUAAUAAUAAAAGAAAAAGAGAUAAAUAAAAUGGGUUGACUAGCAUUUUUGUUUGACUUGAGAUCGUAUUGUUUCUAAGCUGAGGGCAUAUUUCUUUCAUCUUGGUGAGAGCAUGUGAUAUCACUUCUUUAUUAUUUUCUCUCAAUUACCAUUCAUUGGAGUGACUAUUUUUAUUGGGUUUAAUUUCUUUGUGAGAGUGUCACUGCUUCUAGUGAGAUUUUGGGGUUUGACAUGUCAUUCUUGAAAGUAGCUAUAACAACGUCUACUGGGCUGAUUCAUGUGGAUGGUUGAUGUGGGUGUGAUGUUUCUUUAGACUGGAGAUAAUGCUUAUACUUUUAUUUGAUUGCUAUCAUUAAUCUGAUUGAAUAAACAAAUUGAAACGGCUUACUGGACGAAACCGGAUUUCUGGAUAGCCGGUUAUGCAAACCGGAAAUCCGGAUUCGCGUGGCUAGGUCACUGCCAACAACCGGUUAGCCGGUUAGGGAUUUCUAAAAAUCUGGAAUCGCGAGUAGAUAAACUAUUCAUCUCCUCCUUUAUCUUUCGGUAAACCGGAAAGCUUUCUCUCUCUAUAACCGAUUAUUCCUCUCUCAUUUUCUCUCCAAAAUCCAUCAUUUUCACAUGUUUUUUUUGCAAAUGGAUCCAUGAAACUUGUUUCCCAUCCUUUCUUGUAUCCAAAAUCAUCCUUCAAACCCUUUUUCAACCUCAAAAUCAAUAGAUCCGAAAUCGAUUCUAGGGUUUAAGCCGAAACUUCUCUCUCUAGAUUUCUCUCUUUGAAGUCGUUUUUGAUCGAAAUUGCUUCUCAAAAUCUCUUUCCAUCCUUAUUAUCUCCCUUCUCAUUGAUUUAUUUCACUUCAAAUUAAUCAAACUCACCAUGUCAAGCUCACGGCCGGUUCGAAGGAAAGGCAAAGAACCGGUUCAACAUACCAACCGGUCAUGACAAGCAGGGGGCACAUCCAAUCAAGCCAACUUUGAGGCCACACACUUUCAGAACCAUAAACAUCUAGCCAAACGAUUUCACCAACAGUUCAUGACUCGUGAGGUACUCCAAACCUUUUUUGUUUUACCGGAUUGGUUAAAUAAUCUUAGUAUUAGCAAUAGAACUUUAUUGCAAUUGUUGGAAGAUGUUGGUUGGCUUAAUGCAAUUGUUUUUGAGGAAAAUGUAUAUCCCGACUUGGUGAAAGUGUUUUGCCCGAAUAUGGAUUGUUCCGCGGAGAAAGAGAAUCGAGUAAUCACCACAGUUGGAGGAGUUUCGAUUAAGUUUGAUGAUUCAGAGUUGAACUCUAUCCUAGGAACUUCCGAUGAUGGCCUAGAAAUAUUUUCACCUAGGAAACCUCCUGAUAUUGAUGACUAUGUUCAUAUUGAUACUGUUAAGAAUAUAUGUCAUCGUAUUGACCUUUCGGAUGACGAUUGUACUAUCCAUUUUCGCACCCGAUGUCUUUGUCUUCAAACUCGGAUAUUACUUCGUUUUAUUCAGAGUAUUGUGCUUCCUAGAUCAGGCCAUUUAGAUGAGGUUUCUCAUAUGGAUGUUGCCUUGAUUGAUUGUAUUCUUAGACAUCGUCCAGUCGACUUAGGAUACACCAUUGUCCGAAACAUGCUUAGUAUACCUAAGUUGAUUACUCGUUCCCUUCCGUAUGGUCAUUUCAUCACCCGAAUCCUUAAAUACUUUAGCGUCCCUAUCGAAGAACCAUCAUGUAGGCCAUCUAAGAGCAUUGGGGAUGAGGCUGUUAGUUCUUUAGGUUUUGAGUGUCGUAAUGGCACUUGGGUAAAAGUCGCUGAUAAUAAGUUCACCUUUAUUGCUCCAAGUGAUGAUCGGCCACUUAAUGUUGUGGUUCCAGCCAUCAGCUACCUGAUUUUUCGCUUUCAUUUCGGGGUCAGCGUAGAGGUCGAGCUCCUUCAGUGUCUCCCUCAGCUCCUGCACCUGCUUUACCACAUCCCAAGCCUCCUACUUCUGAAGAAGUUACUCUUCAGCAGCUUAUGGAUGAAGUGAGGACACUCUCUGUACGGCAGACUGAGUUUCAGCAGCAGCAACAGCAACUUAUUCAUGGACAACGCCUCCUCUUUGAGCACUUCGGCAUUCCAUAUCUGUAUCCACCUCCAUCACCACCAUCUUCACCCCCUCAGUAGUCUCUUAUGCUUGUAUUUGGACACACCUACAUUUCAUUAUGAUUUUGGAUUAUGUAUUUGUUUUGAAUGAUAUGGAUUUGUUUUGAUUGUUUGAUAUUUCAUGGAUAAAUUAUUGUUUUGAAUUUCGGAUUUGGACCUAUUUGAAAAUAUUUAAAUGUUUUCAGUCAUUCUAUAAUUUAUGAUAUUUUGGAUCAUAUCUUAAUUUCAUAAAGUUUUGGCUUUAAUAAAGUAAUAAUUAGAAAUUCUGAAAUUGGACCUAUAUGAAAACUUUUAUCACGUUUUGGGUCAUAACAUAGUUUCAUAUAGUUUUGAGGUCAAACUGUAUUUUAAAAACAUAAUUCAUUGUAACACUUCACAUGGAAUAUAUAACUUAUCACGUAAAGUUGGCAACAUGGACGUCAAACAUGAAACGACCAAGAAUAAUCGAGAAUUUUAGCUUUAUCCAAAACAUGCAACAUCGUACGUCAAACAUGAAAUCCUACCGUCAGACAUGCAACAACUGACGUUAAUUAUGAAACUUACAAUACUUCACGUUAAAUAUGCAACUUAUCACGUAAAGUUUGCAACAUGGACGUCAAACAUGAAACGGGCGAGAAUAUUCGAGAAUAUUCUUUAUUUUGGCUUUAUUCAACACAUGCAACCUCUAACGUAAAACAUGCAACCGUUACGUCGGACAUGCAACAACUGACGUUAAACAUGAAACUUGCAACACUUCACGUGAAAUAUACGACUUAACACGUAAAGUUCGCAACAUAGACGUCAAACAUGAAACGGGCGAGAAUAUUCGAGAAUAUUCUUUAUUUUGGCUUUAUUCAACACAUGCAACCUCUAACGUAAAACAUGCAACUGUUAGGUCGGACAUGCAACAACUAACGUUAAACAUGAAACUUACAACACUUCACGUGAAAUAUACGACUUAUCACGUAAAGUUCGCAACAUGGACGUCAAACAUGAAACAUGCGAGAAUAUUCUUUAUUUUGGCUUUAUUCAAGACAUGCAACCUCUAACGUAAAACAUGCAACUGUUACGUCGGACAUGCAACAACUGAUGUUAAACAUGAAACUUGCAACACUUCACGUGAAAUAUACGACUUAUCACGUAAAGUUCGCAACAUGGACGUCAAACAUGAAACGGGCGAGAAUAUUCGAGAAUAUUCUUUAUUUUGGCUUUAUUGAAUACAUGCAACUUCUAACGUAAAACAUGCAACGGUACGUCGGACAUGCAACAACUGACGUUAAACAUGAAACUUACAACACUUCACGCAAAAUAUGCAAUUUAUAACGUUAAGUUCGCAACUUCGAUGUCAAACAUGAAACAAACGAGAAUAUUCCGGAAUAUUAUUUAUUUUGGCUUUAUUCAACACAUGCAACAUCGUACGUCAAACAUGAAAUCCAACCGUCGAAUAUGCAACAACUGACGUAAAACGUUAAACAUUAAACUUACAACACUUCACGCGAAAUAUGCAAUUUAUAAUGUAAAGUUCGCAACUUCGACGUCAAACAUGAAACAGACGAGAAUAUUCUAGAAUAUUCUUUAUUUUGGCUUUAUUCAACAGAUGCAACCUCUAACGUAAAACAUGCAACUGUUACGUCGGACAUGCAACAACUGACGUUAAACAUGAAAUUUGCAACACUUAACGUGAAAUAUGCAACUUAUCACGUAAAGUUCGCAGCUUCGACGUCAAACAUGAAACAGACGACAAUAUUCCGAAAUAUUCUUUAUUUUGGUUUUAUUCAACACAUACAACAUCUUAUGUCAAACAUGCAAUCGAGACGUCGGAGAUGCAACAACUGACGUUAAAUCUGAAAUACUAUUUUUUUCAUUUUCAAUUUCUUUAUUUUUUAAUUAUAUUAUAUUGUAUUAUAGGGUUUCUAUUAUAUUAUUUAAUUUGUUUAUCUUUUGCUGUUAAUUAUAUUAUAAAAAAUUAUUUUUGACAUUUUAUUUAAUUUUUCAUUUUUAUAUUAUAUUUUUAAUAUAUAUUUUUUAAAAAAUAUGGUGCAACCGGUUUGUUAACCGGCUGCACCAAGUCUUUGGCUGCCAAAUGGCAGCCAAAAACAACCUGGCUCUCUUUUUGAGAGCCCGACAUGGUGCCGGGUACAAAUCCAACGGUACUGUAGCCAAACCCAGCUGAAGUUUUUAGAUUUGCCCAUAGUGUACUGAACUGACACGUUGCCCACCCAUACUUUCUAUAUUUUUAUAUUCAAAAUUGUUUAACACUUUAAGGACUCUAUUUUUCAUAUAAAUAACUCUUCCUCUUUCUUACCAAUAAUUGUGUUUUUAAUUUGGCUAGCCAUUAUGGACGAUUGUUUUACUGUGUUUAUUUUCUUAUAUAGAAAACCAACUUUCUUUUAGAUUUAUUAAUGAAUUCUUGAGUUGAUUGCUUUUAGUCUUGCUAUUUUUGAUAAGCCAUAAUUCAUUUUAAAUGAGUAUUAAUUAUUAAGAAUAAUUUAAUUUAAUUUAAUUAAAUUAAGUUAUAUUUUGAAUUAAUUACUCUAAAGGUAUUUUAAUAAUAUCAUAUUUUAUUAAAAUUAAAGUGUUCAAAGUAUUAUUUGGAGUUGCCUUACCUUAUAUAAGUUAUUUGAGCUUCGCCAUCAACAUAUAUUUGACCACAUUUUUUGUACGACUCCCAUGUCUUUUAAGUCUCAAAGUUUGUUAGUAUAGUCAAACAUAAAUAUGAUAAAGUGGAUCCAUCCAUUAUGCCUUAAUGGACGUGCAAGUAUUAAUAGCAAGAUGCAACAUGCAGGCGUUCUUCAUUACGUGAUGAGCCUUGAUCUAAAGAAAAAUGAACUUGUUGUAUAAUGUAAAUGCUUAAAGUAUCCAUAUUGAGCAAUUAAUUUAUAAACCUUUGCAUUUAUACAUAAUUCUCAAACCAUCAAUUAGUUAAUGUCAACGCUCAUAAUGUCUUGAGAUUUGGUUGUAAUUUGAUUAAUGCUCUUUGAUCUGGUUCAAUGAUCUAGUGAGUUAUGGUGUUUUCGUCUCCAUAUUUAGGUUAGAUAAUGCUUUGCAUAUUUGCAUAUUGCAUUAUUACGCAAAUCUUUAAUAAUGCAUUUGUUACAUUAACCAAGUAUUUAUAAAACUUUGCAAUAUUCAUGUAAAUUGAUACUAAGAGAGAAUUUAAAAGUUCACAAAAAUGAUUGAAUACCAAUGGAGCUUGGGCUUGGAUAUGGUCAUUUUAUAUUGAAUCAAUGCAUGGGAGUAUACGUCGCCUUUUUUGAAUAGUGAUAUUGGACCUCCAAUUAUCUUUCCAGUGCUCAUUUUUUAAUUAAUUUAAUUUAUUAUCAAAAGUACCCUUAUCCUUUCCCUAGCAUUUAUGUUGGUUUUUUUGGGCCUAUCUUAUGACAAUGGUGGAGCUCAACAAGAAUAGCAAAGACAAUAUCAGCACAUCCUCUUCUUUUAAAAUUUAGUCUAUCAUUUCUUUCUUAGUAAAUGGUUUCUGUAAAAUUUAGUCUUUUUAACACUUAUCAUGUUUAUUUCUUUUGAUCUAUGUUAAAUUUCACUUAAAAACAUUGGUUUUAUAAUUUUUCUGAUUUAGAAUGUCGACUUGAUGAUAUUGGAUAUUUGACAUUGGUAUAGAGAUUAAUGUAAUUACAUUUACGUGCUUUUUUUAACUAGUAAGAAGUUAAAAUGCAUGUACUUAAAGCAAAAUUACCAUAACAACAUGUUACAACUAUUUAAUUUUUUUUUUCAAAUUGUUGGCCAUUGUAGCAGAAGCUCAAUAUGGAGGAAUUUAGAUCCAUCUCAAAUUGUACCAUGCCGGGCUUGGGUAGCCAAUUCAUUAUGCAUCUUUGAUAACGAAGAGAUAAUUAUAUUCCUAAAAAAUGAGUUAGCAACUUAUGUGGAACACAUGGAUUGGCCAAAAAGUAUAAGCAGUUAUAAAAAUAAUUGUGUAGAGCCUAUGAUACUUCUAUCCAAUCAAUCCAUUUGUGCAACAUAAGUUACCAAACUUAGUUUGCAUACAAGUGCUUGUACAAGUAUUUAUGGUUGAAUGAUUGUUGCAUCUUUAAAUAGAUAAUCAAAAUGUUAUUUUUUCAACAUUCGCAAACCUACGUAAAAGAUUUGAUGAGUAAAGAUUGAUUUGAUAUAGUGAUGUACCUAUGCGGCAAAUACGUGUCAAAACAAUAUGAAAUUUUUUGUCUAUUAAUUAGGGUAAAUUGCAGUUCAUCUCCCUCGUAAUAAUCUUCAAUUUACCCUCCAAAAGUAUGACAACGUCAAUUUACCCUAACUUUUAUUCAGAAGAUGAGUAAUAAGUAGGGGACACAUUGAUGAACUUUUUAUUUGCUUUCUUAGUAGUAAAUGUGGGUAAAUUGAUUUUUUCACUUUUUUUUUUGGGAGGAAUUUGAAGAUUCUCAGGGUGUAAAUUGAAGUUUACCCUUAAAUUAAAUCAAACAGUUUAGUAAUAUAAGAUUUUGAUGAAGUAAGAUUUUGAUAAAAUAGGAUGCAAAUAACCUAACCUAAAAUAAAGUAGACUUAAAAUUUUAAUAUUACAUAUGGUACUUUCAUAGCAAUUAUGAUCGCUUGAUCAUUAUUAAUAUUUCAACAAUUUCUCUCUCAAAAAUUGAUCUAACAAUAUGCAUACAACAAAAUAGUAAUAGAUAUACACACAGAAAACAUAUGACAUAACAUUAUAUACUUAUAAUGGAUUAAUUUCUUCUUUUAUUGGAACACUGUUUAAAUUUCACUACAAUUGUUCAUUAUCGCAAAAGCACUCAUACAAGAUAGAAGAAAUAACUGAUUAACAAAAUCAUUUGCAUCUCUUCAAAAGCUUUCUUAAAUUUCUUGACGAAACACUCUUCACUUGCAAGCCUUGAGCAAUAGAAAAUGAAGCAUCUAGGUAAGCAUGCUUUUAGUGUUUGCCACUACGAGCAAAGCUAAAACGAUGAAACUAAGACUCUUUGACAAUUUAUAGAAGUUUUAAUAUAUAUCUGUGCAAAUAUAUAGAAUAUGAUAUCAUUGGAGGAUGUGGCUUGUAGAAACAUCUUCAUAUAUUUUAAAAAAAGGGGCUUGAUGAUUGAUAUAAAGAGAAAAAAAAUCUAAUAAUGAACUAAACAAAAUAACAAGAAUAAAACUCUAAAAUUAAUUAAUCAUAUGUUGCAUUGCCUUCAUAAUGUAGCAAGAUAUUAAAAUCAAUAGUUAAUUAAAACAAACACAACGUAAUUUAUUUAAUCCUCAUUUAUGGAAUAUUUUAAUUCCAUUAAAGUUACUACUACUCAUUUCUCAAUAUGUUUUCAUAUAAAUAGAGGCUCAUGCCUUCCUAAUUAUUACACAUCUUAUUUAAUUCUAACUAAAUUGUUUAUAGUUGAAAAAUGUUGAAGAGUUUUAGUUUCAUCAUCUUGGCUUUACUUGUAGUGGCAAACUGAUGUAAGAUGUUAUUUUAAGGUUUAGAAUUUUAUUAUUUUAGAAUUUUCUAUUUUAAUUAGUGUUAGUUAUGAUACGAGUCUUAAUUUUUUAUUUCUAAUUUAAUUUUGAUUUAUUUUCCCCUUUUAAGUUAACUUAGGGAAAUAGAUUUUCUCUAUUAUAAAUAGAAAGGUCUUUUUAGUAUUUUUGUGACUUGAACUUCAACAAUUCAAUAAAAACCUCUCUUUUGUAAUUCCUUGUGGGAUUAUCUAUUAAAAUCUCUCUUGUAGAGUUAUUUGGAUUAGUCCUAAGAAAUGAGUUAGCAACUUAUGCAUGAUACAUGGAUUGGUUAGAAAGUAAAAGCAAUCAUAAAUAUUUGUAUCGAUCCUAUGAUACUUUAUCCAAUCAAUCUGACGUAGGAUGUUGUGUGUUCAUGAGCAGGGUAUCUUCUAGAGGCCAUAAUUUGGGUUACAAGUGUUUGUUUAAGAGUUUAAUAUGUCUUUUCAAAGCUUAUGACAAGACGAACAAAAAACAGAAUUGGCUAAGCUAUUCUGCCAAUAGUCGAGUUGAAAAUUUCGCUUCGUUCUUAGUCAUUUUCUAAUUUUAAGAUUUUUUUCUAUUUUUCCCAGUUCUUCUAGGAUUUUUAUCUUUUUUUUUCUAGAACUCGGAUUUGAGUGCCACUUAUUUUUCUUUUCUUAUUCUGAUUAGGAGAAUUUAAUUAUCAUAUUAUAUUUUAGAUUUUCCUAUUUUAAUAUAUUCACAAUAUUUAAACUUCUUAUAAAUGGGGCUCAGAACUUUAGUUUUACUCAUUUAGACUUUUAAUAAAAUUCAUCAUUAUUCAGAAACCUAGUUUCUUCUAUCAUUAAACUCAAUAAUGGUUUCGUUUCAUCAGUUGGUAUCAGAGCAAAUUUGCCUGUCAUCAUGGCACGACCAUAAAAAACAAAAGAACAACCGUUCUGAAAGACGCUGAUUAAGAGAUGUAGGCAAUGUCUGUAGAGACUAUUAGACAAAUGGUCAUAGAAGAAGUCUUGUAAGUCAUAAAGAAUGCAUUAAACCUGAGCAUGGCAGCAGUGGAGCAAGCAAUUGAGGGUCUCACAUUUUCCAUGAAUAAUAGAGAGAGAGAGAGCAGUGGUAACAAGUUAAUUGCGAGAGAGUAGUUGAAGAAGUCAAUCAAGAUGAACGAUCUCGGGAUUAUCACCAUCAAGAGGUUCGACAAGGUUUAAAUCGCGAAGCAACACUUCAGGGCAUCAAUCUCGAAGUAGUGCUUCAGAACCUAGAACUCGUGAGGCGAGUGCAGCCGUGUGUGCGUCACGAGUUAGAAAGCAAUUAGAAAGAAAAAGACGCUAAGGAUUAUUAUAGAAGGCAUGGAAAGAGUUGAGAAUACAAGAUGAAUGUAGAUAUUGCAUAUUUUUUAUAAUGAGAUCCAUGUUGAAGAAUUUUUGAACUGGAUAUAGGACAUAAAAAAUUUCUUUCAGUAUAUGGAGAUUUCCCAAGAUAAGUGGGUAAAGCUUAUGGAAUUUAAAUUGAAGGGCGCGGCAUCCGCAUGAUGGCGAAAGGUACAAAAUCUAAAAAGAGUUGUAAGAAAGUCAUUGAUCAAAUCAUGGUCUAGAAUGCAAAAGAUGAUGAAAGAGUAUUUUCUGCUAGCGAGUUACUAACAACAGUUGUAUGUGAAAUAUUAAAAUUGUAGGCAAGGAAAUCACAAUGUGUUUGAUGAAUAUAGAUGAGCCAGAGUUUUGGACUGUGCAGUAGUUAAGACAACAACCACCCAGAUAGCAUAGCCACCCAGACAGUAGAAUAAUCCUUAUGCAAAUCCUAUGCUGAAUAAGUGUUUGAAGCAUGGAGAACCAGAGCAUAGAUCCAAUGAAUAUCAUCCUAAAAAUUUGAAUUUGGUAGAGGUAGAAGUCAAUGAAGUUGAGUUGAAUGAUGUUGAGAAUAGGGUUGACAAGUAGGCUUUGGAAUUGGAAGCAGAUGAGGUGAGAGUUACUAAACCUUAUUGUGCAGAAGAUUUUAUUGGCACCAAAGUUUGAAGAAGUUAACUAGUGUAAUAAGAUUUUCAGAAUAUAUGGCACCAUCAAUGAUAAGGUGUGCAAGGUGAUAAUUGAUAGUGGUAGUAGUGAAAACAUAGUCUCAAUGGCAUUAGUUAAAGUGAUAGGAUAAAAACGCAAGUGACAGGAUAAAAACGCAAGUGACAGAGGUAUGUCCAUUUUUCUUUCUCCAUCAAUAAGAUUUAUAAGAUUGAUAUGGUAUGUGAUGUAGUAGAUAUGGAUACUUGCCAUUUGUUAUUGGGUAGACCUUGGUAGUAUGAUGUGGAUACAAUACAUAGAGACGCAAAUAAUGUGUAAGAGUUUCGGUGGAAUAGUAAAAUGGUUCAUUUUGUGCCUUUAACAAAUAAGAAGAAGAAUCUUAAAGCUAAAGGGAACAAUUUUCUAACUAUUGUGAAGUGACAUCUAAAAGAAGAUUAUGACAGUUGAAAGAAGCUAUAGAAAGAAGAUAAGUUCGAGGUAAAUUAAAGGUACAACCAUUGUUAGAUGAGUUUGCUAACAUUAUACCAUCAGAAAUGCCAAAUGGGCUAUAACUUUUGUAAGAAAUCCAACAUCAUAUAGACCUAGUACCUAGUACAAACUUACCUAACUUGCCAAUUGUCGUAUGAGUCCUCAUGAGUAUGCGAUUCCACAAGGUCAGGUUGAUGAAUUAUUGUGAAAGAGAUUCAUUCAUGGAGCGUGAGUCCAUGUGUUGCACAAGCCUAGUUAUUGCCAAAGAAGAAUAUGAGUUGGUGUAUGUGUAUAUACAGCAGAUGGUUUAAUUAGAUUAUGGUGAAAUAUUGUUUUCCUAUUCUAAUGCUUCGAGAUUUGCUAACUCAAUUAGAUAGUGCUUUGGCUUUCUUGAAGAUAAACUUGCAAUUUAGGUAUCAUCAAAUUCGGAUUAGGACCAAAAGUGAGUGAAAAAAAAGACAAAAGAAGGGUUUUAUGAGUAGUUAGUGAUGCCAUUCAAAAUAUUAAAUGCAUUGAGUACUUUUAUGCACUUAAUGAACCAGGUCCUUAUGCCUUUUUUCUUGCAAAUUUGUUGUGGUAUAUUAUUGAUGAUAUUUUGGUGUAUUCUGUUGAUAUGGUGACAUAUUCAGAGCAUUUGAGAAUGAUUAUUAAGGUAUUGUGGAGGAAUUAGCUUUACAUUAAUAUGAAAAGCUGUAGAUUUUGCAGAGUAAUGUAGAGUUUUUUGGAUUUUAUAGUUGGUGCAGAUAGGAUUCAAGCAAUUGAAUCAAAUAUGCAAGCCAUUAGUGAAUGCCCUACGCCUAAGAUAAUGAGUGAAGUUAGGAGUUUUCAUGGGCUAACAAUGUUUCGUAGGAGGUUUAUUAACAGUUUUGGCACUACAAUAGCACUUAUCACAAAGUUCUUGAAGAAAGGAAAGUUUAAAUAGGGAGAAAACGAAGAGAUGAGCUUUGCUUUACUUAAGGAGAAGUUAUCUACCGCUUCUACGUUGGCCUUGCCAAAGUUCGACAAGUUAUUUAAGGUCGAGUGUAAUGCUUUUGGCAAGAUAAUUAGGGCCGUUCUUUCCUAAAGAGGCAGACAAUUGAAUAUGUGAGGGAGAAAUUAAAUGAGGCAUGGUAGAACUAGUUUGCUAACGACCAAGAUUUUUAUGCCAUCCUUAAGGCGUUGAAGAUGUGGGAGCAAUACUUGAUUAAAAAAGAGUUCGUGCUUUAUAAACGACCAUCAAGCACUAAAGUACCUUACUAGCCAGCAAAACUUGAGCAAGAUGUAUACAAGGUAGGGUAAAUUAUAUGUAGAAGUUCAAUUUUGUUAUGAAGCACAAGUCUAUGCAGCAGACUAAAGUUGGCAGAAGCAUGAAAUAGGCAAGAAACUUUAUUGGUAACUCUAGUUAAUGAAGUUACUAGUUUUGAGUGCUUAAAAUAGUUCUAUGCUGAGGAUGAUGACUUUGUACAUAUUUAGGAUUAUUACAUGAAUCCUUAGAAUACAAAGGAUUUCUUCAUUUAAGAUGGGCAUUUAUUCAAGGCCAACUACUUAUGCCUCGAAGUUUUUUAAGGGAGCAGAUUAUCUGUGAGUUGUAGGGAAGAUGAUUAGGCAGACAUCUUGGACGAGAUAAGACCAAGGCGCUUAUGGAAGAGCGUUAUUUUUUUGCCACAGUAAAAUGUAGAUAUGCAAAAAAUUUGGUGUCAGCUUUGCCAAGAAGGCAAGGAACAUGCACAUAAUACAGGCUUAUACAUGCUUGUAUGUAUUCCAGAAAAAUGUUUGGUUUGAUCUAUCAAUGGACUUUGUGCUAGGAUUGCCUCUUAUAAGGACAAGUCAAGAUUUUAUAUUGGUGAUGGACAUGUUUUUUGAAGAUGGCGCAUUUUAUUGUGUAUAAAAAGACAGAAGAUUUUACCUCAGUGGCAUAUUUGUUCUUUCAAGAGAUGGUGCAUUUGCAUGGCAUUUCAAAGACCAUUAUUUCUGAUAGAGAUGUGAAGUUCAUUAGUAAGUUCACGCAUUAUCUCUGGGAUAAGUUUGGUAUGCAAUUAUAGUUUAGUAGUGCUUUCCAUCCACAAAUAGUUGGACAAACGAAUGUGGUCAACCAAACUUUAGGUAACAUAUUGCGCCAUCUUUGUGGUGACAAGCAACUGAACUGAGAAGUUACCUUGCCUCAGGUUGAGUUUACUUACAAUAACAAGGUAAAUCAAUCUACUGGCAAAGCCCCUUUUGAGAUUGUCCCCAUGCCAUGUCUGUGACUUGGGAUACCAUUAGCAGAGAGAGCUGGAUGUUGUGCAAAUUUGAUUGAACUCGCAAGUGCACGAAUCUAUUGUAGAAUAGACUAAUGGUGACGAGUGUCGAUCCCACGAGGAGGUGGAUUUUAAUUGUAUGUAGAAUUAAUUUUGUAAAUGGGUGGUUGGAUUUAUGGUGAAAUUGAUUUGGAAUAUUCUAAAAACUUAAAUUAAAAUGGCGAGAAUAAAUUCUAAAAUUGGAAUUGAAAUGACGAGAGUAAAUUGAAGAGAAAUCUAUUGAGAUGACGUACUUGGGUAUCUGGAUCCGUAUCAACAUGCAUCAUGGGCUAAAUAUUCCUUAUUAAUACCAAUUAAAUCACGAGGGGGGAAAUCCACACCUCAUGAACACACUCUAAUUAAUAUGGUGCUAAGGGCUUAUCGUGUCAAAUAAUAAUAACCUUGUAUUAGGGAGCCGGUGAAACCAAGGCGGUACUAACAAGAUUAUUAUUAUUUGUCGACGAGAAGUCAAAACAUCCACAAAAACUAGAUGGGAAGAGAAAAUAAAUUUACCAAAUAAAGCCCAUGACACAUGUUGAGACUUUCACCUUCAACCCAAGCUUGAAAGAAAAUUAGAUACUCAUAAUUGAACUAGGGGAAAAAUGGGAAUUUAUUAAAAUACAUAGAAAAUACAAGAUAGAGAAAGAAUUACAGAAAAUGGAUCCCAAAAAUGGAUUCAGAGGUAUCAAAUUAGGGGGGGGAGGCCCCUUUUUUAUAGAUACAUCGAGUAAAUCAUGGCCCAUCAGAUUAAAAACAGUUUGGACGCUCAGGAUUGCGCCACGUCAUCAGUCAACAAUACGCGUGAAUAGUACAUGGUUUGACCACGCGGAUGAACAGUAAACACAGUUUGACCCGGGUGAACAGUGACGCGGUUUGGUUGAAAAUAAUCUUGUGUUGCAUGUACCGUACGUGAGAUUUUUGGUCCACUGAUAUGCUGCCACGUCAUCGAUCAACAGUGCAUAAGAAUUUUAGUCCAACAGGAUCGUGACACCUCAUCAGUCCAAUGCCACAUCAUCGGUCAAUGCCACGUCAUCGUCCGUCUAUGUGAAAAGUGUCGUGAACAAUAACGUAUACAGUAUCGUACACGUGAAUAGUACCGUAUAAUGUGAACAGUGCCAUUUUUCCUUUUAUGCUCCUCCUAAGGUUUUUGACCGUCCUGAGUUCAAAAGUGAUGUCCGUUUUGCCAUUUGAUCUCUCGUUUAUUGUGAAAUGACUAUGAUGCUCCUAAAAUACAAAAAAUGCUUAAUUAAAAUAAAACACAAACAGAAUUAAAUCAAAAGAAGGUUAAAUACAUAAAAGUAAGGGUGUUAGUAAAGGUUGUAGUGUAAAAUGACGAUUUUCUCCUUUAUAAAUAUACAUUUUCUACACACUUCCACACUGGAGAAAGUAAAACAACGAAUAAUGUAGCAGAAAGCGCUCUGCGUAUUCAUGCUGAGGUAUGAACUCACUUGGAGACUGCCUAUGCCAAAUACAAGGCUGAAGUGGACAAGCAUCAUCAUAAGAAACUAUUUGUAAAGGUGACAUCGGUGAUGGCAUAAUCUACGCCAGAGUCAUUUCCCUGGCAUUCGCACUAAAUUGGAGAAGUGAAAAUGCAGACCAUUUUGACUGGCAUGGAAAGAUUAAAUAAUAAUGCUUAUGUGAUUUAGUUGCCCGACAGCUAGAACAUCUCUCACACCUUUAAUGUGGCUAAUCUGUUUGAAGUAUCAUCCAAACGAUGAGGAAUUGCAACGAGCCAAUCUUGAGGAUAAUUUCUUUUCCAAGUGCAGGGGACUGAUGUAAGGUGUUAUGUGCCACGAGCUGGAUACCUUCCGGAGGCCAAAGCUUGGCUACAGGUUGUUCGUUUUUCAAUGUGUGUGUGUGUGUGUAUAUAUAUAUCGUUUCGAAGCAUAUGUUGAGACGGACAAAACCUAGGCCGCCUAAGUCGUUUCACCCCAUGUUUGAGUCGAAAAUUCCCUUAUUUCCUGGUUGUUUUCUAGUUUUAAGAUUUUUUUUUUGUUUUUCUUAAUUCUUCUAGGAUUUUUAUCUUUUUUUUAGAAAUCAAAUUUGAGCGUCGUUUGUUUUCCUUUUCUUAUUUUGAUUAGGAAAAUUUAAUUAUCAUAUUAUACUUCAGAUUUGCAUAUUUUGAUAAAUUCGUGAUAUUUAAACUUGUUAUACAUUAUUUAGAAAGCUAGUUUCUUCCAUUAGUAAACUCAAUAAUGUUUUCAUUUCAUCACAAUCCAUUCGUGCAACGUAAGUUACCAACUUAAUUUGAAUGCUAGUCUUUGUACAAGUGUUUAUGGUUAAAUCAUUGUUGUAUCUUUAAUAAUUAGAUCAUCAAAAUAUUAUUUUUUUUCAAUAUUCCCAUGUAUAUAUAAUAGAGUUGAUAAGUAAAGAUUGAUUUGAUAUAGACAAAGCUAUGUGGUAGGUACAUGUCAAAAAUAAUAUGAAAAGUUUAGUUAUAUUAAUUUGGGCAAACUUAAGUCCAUCCCCUUUCUAAUAACAUUCUUUAAUUUACCCUUUAAAAAGCAUGAAAUCUCAUUUACCCUAAUUUUUGUUCAUGGGAUGAACAUAAAUGAGGGCACAUUGAUGAAUUAUUUAUUUAUUUUCUUAGAGUAAAUGACGGUAAAUUGAUUUUUUUUCACACUUUUUAGGCAAAUUGAAGAUUCUUAGGGCAUAAAUUGAAGUUUACCUUAAAAUUAAAUAAGACAGUUUAAUAAAAUGAAAUUUCGAUAAAAUAGGAUCCAAAUAGCCUCACCCUAAAAGAAAAUAGACUUAGAAUUUAAAUAUUGCAUGUUACUACCAUAGUAAUUAUGAUUGCUUGAUCGCUAUUGGUAUUUUAAAAGAUUUGUUCUCUCUUUGAUUGAUUCAAUGAUAUGUAUGCAAUAAAUCAACACUAGAUACAUACACAAAGGCAUAAGUUACAUACUCAUAAUGGAGUAAUUUCUUCUUUUAUUAAAAUAUUGUUUCAAUUUCAUUACAGUUGAACCUUAUUACAAAAGCACUCAUGCAAGACAAAAGAAUUAAUUGAUUAUCAAAAUCAUUUACAUCCUCCUUAGGGGUAGGGAUUAAGAUAGUCUUUGAGAACUUUCUUAAAAUUCUUGAUGAACAACUCUUCACUUGUGAGCCAUAAGCAAUAGAAAUCAGCAUUUGGGUAAGCAUACUUUUAGUGUUUUCCAUUACAAGCAAAGCUAAGAUGACAAACUAAACUCUUCCACAUUUUUCAAUUUCUUAAUUGAAUUCUAAAUAGCUUAAUUAGAAUUAAAAGAGAAGUGUCAAAAUUAGGAAGGCAUGAGCCUCUAUUUAUAUGAAGGAAUAUUGAGAAACAAGCUGCAGACGACCUUACUGAGGCUUAAAUAAAUUACGUCGUGUUUGUUUGCAUUAACUAUUGAUUUAAAUACCUCGUUGCAUUAUAAACUAAUUUUAAAACAUGCAUUUCAUUAAUUUUAUCAUUUUUAAUGUUAUUGAAACUGUGUCUUAAUAAAAGUGAAAAUUAAUCCAUUAUGAGUAUGCACUGUUAUGUCAUAUGUCUUUUGUGCAUGCAUCCGAUGCUAUUUUGUUGUAUACAAAUUGUUGACUCAAUCUACGAGAAAGUAAUUGUUGAAAUACUAAUAAUGAUCAUUAUUACUAUGUUAGUACCAGUAAUAUUUGAAUUUUAAAUCCAUUUUCUUUUAGGGUGAGGCUGCUUCUUUAUUAAAAAAAAAAAUUGAACCCUUGUAUUUUAUCGAAAUGUUAUAUUACUGAAUUGUUUCAAUUAAUUUAAGGGUAAACUUCAAUUUAAUUGCCUGAAUUAAUUUAUGUGUAGGCUUUAAUUUAAACUCUGAGAAUAUUGAUUUUACCCAAAAAAUGUGAAGGCAUCGUCUCACCCCUUUUUACUAUUAAAUAAAUAAAUAAAUAAAUUCAUUUACGCUUAUCUUCUGAACAAAAAAUUAGAGUAAAUUGAGUUAUUCAUGUUUUCAAAGGGUAAAUUAAAGAUUUUUACUGGGAGGAUGAAUGGAAGUUUGCCCUAAUUAAUAUAACAAUUUUUUUCUUAUUAUUCUUACAUGUAUUUGCCUCAUCUACUAAACAUACAAAAGUCUUUCUCUAAUUAGAUGUGAUUUUGUAAUGGCACAUUGCAAAUUGCAUUCAAGAUGAAAAUUUUUUACAUAAGGAAAUGGACAAUUUGUUGGCUAGUUACAAUUAUUAGGCUGCGCAACACAUGUCACAUUGUAAUAGUAUCCAUAAUUUUAAUUUCAUCACUUAAAAAUAAAAUAUUGGUUUUUAAUUUCUUUUAUUUUAUCUUAUUUUAUUUCAUUUAAUUUUUUUUUGGAAAUUACAAAGUGGUUUAAAGCAAUUGUUUCUAAAUGCAAACAUGUAUUCUUUUAUAUAUUUGAGAUGGCUAGUUUGGCUUUAAUUUAAUAUGUCUUUGAAAUUUAGAUAUUUAAUUAUUUUUGUUAUAUAAAAAAAAAUAAUAUUUAAACUUAAUUGAUGACUUAAAAAUGAUAAUAUAUUAAUUUUAUAAAUUUUUCUACAGCUAGUAAGAUAAGAAAAAAAUUUUGAUAAGAAAAUAGUGAAAGCAGAGAUAACAAUAAGAUUAAUCAUUUUAUGAUGCAAAAUAUGGACUUCAUGAUGUUGGCUUCUACAAAUUCAAGACCUAAAUGUGGUUACCACUAAGAAUAACAAGUAGGAAUUUUAAUCAAUGCAGUCAGUUUCAGCUUUUCUCGUUUUGCCUUUAUGUUGUAAUGCUCUUGAGAUGUUAUUCAACAAAUACAAGUCCUUAGUCAUACACUCUUAAAACUGGGUAGCCAAAAAGACUUGAGGCAAUGAAUUAAGUCUUUUGAACAAGUAUGGGGAUUCAGGUCUACUGUGUGGAUUAAAUAUAGAAGCGAUAGUAAAUGGAUGGCAAGUAUGAGGAAGCCUAAAGCUAAUGCUCCUGUAAUUUGGUCACAAUAUUGGGGGACUUCGAAGUAAACUUGUAGUCAGCCUACUAAUGAAACAUAAAAUUGUCAAAGAUUCUUAGUUUCAUCGUCUUGGCUUUGCUUGUAGUGGCAAACACUAAAUGCAGACCUAUUUCAGGAUGUCAUACUAGCCGAGGAUCUAAGUCGAAUGCUUUAUUUUCCAUUAAUCUUGUAGCAUCUCCUGACAUUACUGAUUGCUUAAGGCUUACAUGGGAAGAGUGUUUGACUGAGAAGUUAAAAAAGGCUUUCGAAGAUUAUAUUAUUUCUUUGUUCCCUAGGGGAUGCAAAUGAAUUUGAUAAACAAUUUCCCUGGGGGAUGCAAAUGAAUUUGAUAAACAAUUAUUUCUUUUAUGUUUUAUGAGUGCUUUUGCAAUAAUCAUCAAUUGCAGUGAAAUUAAAUUUUUGUUUUAAUAAAAAAAAUAAAUUAAUCCAUUAUGAGUAUGCAAUAUUAUGUAAUAUGUUUUUUGUGCGUGCAUCUAGUGCUGUUGACUCUUACAAAUUCAAAUUCAAGACUUGGAUGUGGUUAACACUAAGAAUAACAUGUAUGAUUAAUUAGUACAAUGAACCUUCAUUAAUGUAGUCAAUAUUCAACUUUUCUUGUUUUGUCUCUCUUUUGUAAAACUUUUGAGAUAUUAAGAAUUAAACAAAUACAAGCUCUAAAUCACACAUUCUUAUUAGAUAAGAAGCAUCAUAAAAAGAAGAAAUAAAUUCUCAAAGUUGGUGACCAAAAAGACUUGAGACAAUGAAGCAACCUUUUAAACAAAUAGGGGAUACAACACUAUUGUGUGGAUUGAAUAGAGAAGCAAAAACAGGGAGAUAAUGAGUCAAAUGAAGCCAGCAGCUAAUGCUCCUGUAACUUGGUCAUAGUGCUAGGGGACUUGGAGGCAAACUGGCUGCUAGCUUGCCAAUGAAUUCCUCUUUUUGCCCACUUGAGAAAUUACGACCAAAGUCGCUGAUGUGCUUGGUGUGUGCAACACUGUGAAAGCCAAUUGAUCCCGAGUAUUGAACAAAUCAAUAUGAAUUUUACAUAGUAUAAAUGCUUAAUUGAACUAUGUAUUCGCCAUCUUGUAUUUUCUACGUAUUUUAAUAAAUUCUCAUAAUUGAACUAUGUGCAAAAUGAGAAUUUAUUAAAAUACGUAGAAAAUNAAUUAAUUUUGUAAAUGGGUGGUUGGAUUUAUGGUGAAAUUGAUUUGGAAUAUUCUAAAACUUAAAUUAAAAUGGCGAGAAUAAAUUCUAAAAUUGGAAUUGAAAUGACGAGAGUAAAUUGAAGAGAAAUCUAUUGAAAUGACGUACUUGGGUAUCUGGAUCCGUAUCAACAUGCAUCAUGGGCUAAAUAUUCCUUAUUAAUACCAAUUAAAUCAUGAGGGGGAAUCCACUCAUGAACCACACUCUAAUUAAUAUGUGCUAAGGGCUUAUCGUGUCAAAUAAUAAACCUUGUAUUAGGGAGCCGGUGAAACCAAGCGGUACUAAACAAGAUUAUUAUUAUUUGUCGACGAGAAGUCAAAACAUCCACAAAAACUAGAUGGGAAGAGAAAAUAAAUUUACCAAAUAAAGCCUAUGACACAUGUUGAGACUUCACCUUCAACCCAAGCUUGAAAGAAAAUUAGAUACUCAUAAUUGAACUAGGGGAAAAAUGGGAAUUUAUUAAAAUACGUAGCAAAUACAAGAUAGAGAAAGAAUUACAUAAAAUGGAUCCCAAAAAUGGAUUCAGAGGUAUCAAAUUAGGGGGGAGGCCCGCUUUUUAUAGAUACAUCGAGUAAAUCAUGGCCAUCAGAUUAAAACAGUUUGGACGCUCAGGAUUGCGCCACGUCAUCAGUCAACAGUACGCGUGAAUAGUACAUGGUUGACCACGCGGAUGAACAGUAACACAGUUUGACUCGGGUGAACAGUGACGCGGUUUGGUUGAAAAUAAUCCUGUGUUGCAUGUACCGUACGUGAGAUUUUGGUCCACUGAUAUGCUGCCACGUCAUCGAUCAACAGUGCAUAAGAAUUUUAGUCCAACAGGAUCGUGACACCUCAUCAGUCAAUGCCACAUCAUCGGUCAAUGCCACGUCAUCGUCCGUCUAUGUGAAAAGUGUCGUGAACAAUAACGUAUAUAGUAUCGUACACGUGAAUAGUACCGUACAUGUGAACAAUGCCAUUUUUCCUUUUAUGCUCCUCCUAAGGUUUUUGACCGUCCUGAGUUCAAAAGUGAUGUCCGUUUUGCCAUUUGAUCUCUCGUUUAUUGUGAAAUGACUAUGAUGCCCCUAAAAUACAUAAAAUGCUUAAUUAAAAUAAAACACACGGAAUUAAAUCAAAAGAAGGUUAAAUACAUAAAAGUAAGGGUGUUAGUAAAGGUUGUAGUGUAAAAUGACGAUUUUCUCCUUUAUAAAUAUACAGUUUCUACCACUCCACACUGGAGAAAGUAAAACAACAAAUAAUGUAGCAGAAAGCGCUCUGCGUAUUCAUGCUGAGGUAUGAACUCACUUGGAGACUGCCUAUGCCAAAUACAAGGCUGAAGUGGACAAGCAUCAUCAUAAGAAACUAUUUGUAGAGGUGACUCGGUGAUGGCAUAUCUACGCCAGAGUCAUUUCCCUGGCAUUCGCACUAAAUUGGAGAAGUGAAAAUGCAGACCAUUUUGACUGGCAUGGAAGAUUAAUAAUAAUGCUUAUGUGAUUUAGUUGCCCGACAGCUAGAACAUCUCUCACACCUUUAAUGUGGCUAAUCUGUUUGAGUAUCAUCCAAACGAUGAGGAAUUGUACGAGCCAAUCUUGAGGAUAAGUUCUUUUCCAAGUGCAGGGGGCUGAUGUAAGGUGUUAUGUGCCACGAGCUGGAUACCUUCCGGAGGCCAAAGCUUGGCUACAGGUGUUCGUUUUCAAUGUGUGUGUGUGUGUGUAUAUAUAUAUCGUUUCGAAGCAUAUGUUAGACGGACAAAACCUAGGCCGCCUAAGUCGUUCACCCCAUGUUUGAGUCGAAAAUUCCCUUAUUUCCUGGUUGUUUUCUAGUUUUAAGAUUUUUUUUCUGUUUUUCUUAAUUCUUCUAGGAUUUUUAUCUUUUUUUUUAGAAAUCAAAUUUGAGCGUCGUUUGUUUUCCUUUUCUUAUUUUGAUUAGGAAAAUUUAAUUAUCAUAUUAUACUUCAGAUUUGCAUAUUUUGAUAAAUUCGUGAUAUUUAAACUUGUUAUACAUUUAUUUAGAAAGCUAGUUUCUUCCAUUAGUAAACUCAAUAAUGUUUUCAUUUCAUCACAAUCCCAUUCGUGCAACGUAAGUUACCAACUUAAUUUGAAUGCUAGUCUUUGUACAAGUGUUUAUGGUUAAAUCAUUGUUGUAUCUUUAAUAAUUAGAUCAUCAAAAUAUUAUUUUUUUUCAAUUUCCUAUGUAUAUAUAAUAGAGUUGAUAAAGUAAAGAUUGAUUGAUAUAGACAAAGCUAUGUGGUAGGUACAUGUCAAAAAUAAUAUGAAAAGUUUAGUUAUAUUAAUUUUGGGCAAACUUAAGUCCAUCCCCUUUCUAAUAACAUUCUUUAAUUUACCCUUUAAAAGCAUGAAUCUCAUUUACCCUAAUUUUUGUUCAUGGGAUGAACAUAAAUGAGGGCACAUUAAUGAAUUAUUUAUUUAUUUUCUUAGAGUAAAUGACGGUAAAUUGAUUUUUUUUCACACUUUUUAGGCAAAUUGAAGAUUCUUAGGGCGUAAAUUUGAAGUUUACCUUAAAAUUAAAAUAAGACAGUUUAAUAAAAUGAAAUUUCGAUAAAAUAGGAUCCAAAUAGCCUCACCCUAAAAGAAAAUAGACUUAGAAUUUAAAUAUUGCAUGUUACUACCAUAGUAAUUAUGAUUGCUUGAUCGCUAUUGGUAUUUAAAAGAUUUGUCUCUCUUUGAUUGAUUCAAUGAUAUGUAUGCAAUAAAUCAACACUAGAUACAUACACAAAAACCAAAAGGCAUAAGUUACAUACUCAUAAUGGAGUAAUUUCUUCUUUUAUUAAAAUAUUGUUUCAAUUUCAUUACAGUUGAACCUUAUUACAAAAGCACUCAUGCAAGACAAAAGAAUUAACUGAUUAUCAAAAUCAUUUACAUCCUCCUUAGGGGUAGGGAUUAAGAUAGUCUUUGAGAACUUUCUUAAAUUCUUGAUGAACAACUCUUCACUUGUGAGCCAUAAGCAAUAGAAAAUCAGCAUUGGGUAAGCAUACUUUUAGUGUUUUCCAUUGCAAGCAAAGCUAAGAUGACAAACUAAAACUCUUCCACAUUUUUCAAUUUCUUAAUUGAAUUCUAAAUAGCUUAAUUAGAAUUAAAAGAGAAGUGUCAAAAUUAGGAAGGCAUGAGCCUCUAUUUAUAUGAAGGAAUAUUGAGAAAACAAGCUGCAGACGACCUUACUGAGGCUUAAAUAAAUUACGUCGUGUUUUGUUUGCAUUAACUAUUGAUUUAAAUACCUCGUUGCAUUAUAAACUAAUUUUAAAACAUGCAUUUCAUUAAUUUUAUCAUUUUUAAUGUUAUUGAAACUGUGUCUUAAUAAAAGUGAAAAUUAAUCCAUUAUGAGUAUGCACUGUUAUGUCAUAUGUCUUUUGUGCAUGCAUCUGAUGCUAUUUUGUUGUAUACAAAUUGUUGACUCAAUCUACGAGAAAGUAAUUGUUGAAAUACUAAUAAUGAUCAUUAUUACUAUGUUAGUACCAGUAAUAUUUGAAUUUUAAAUCCAUUUUCUUUUAGGGUGAGGCUGCUUCUUUAUUAAAAAAAAAAAAUUGAACCUUUGUAUUUUAUCGAAAUGUUAUAUUACUGAACUGUUUCAAUUAAUUUAAGGGUAAACUUCAAUUUAAUUGCCUGAAUUAAUUUAUGUGUAGGCUUUAAUUUAAACUCUGAGAAUAUUGAUUUUACCCCAAAAAAUGUGAAGGCAUCAUCUCACCCCUUUUUUACUAUUAAAUAAAUAAAUAAAUAAAUUCAUUUACGCUUAUCUUCUGAACAAAAAUUAGAGUAAAUUGAGUUAUUCAUGUUUUCAAAGGGUAAAUUAAAGAUUUUUACUGGGAGAGAUGAAUGGAAGUUUGCCCUAAUUAAUAUAACAAUUUUUUUCUUAUUAUUCUUACAUGUAUUUGCCUCAUCUACUAAACAUACAAAAGUCUUUCUCUAAUUAGAUGUGAUUUUGUAAUGGCGCAUUGCAAAUUGCAUUCAAGAUGAAAAUUUUUUUACAUAAGGAAAUGGACAAUUUGUUGGCUAGUUACAAUUAUUAGGCUGCGCAACACAUGUCACAUUGUAAUAGUAUCCAUAAUUUUAAUUUCAUCACUUGAAAAUAAAAUAUUGGUUUUUAAUUUCUUUUAUUUUAUCUUAUUUUAUUUCAUUUAAUUUUUUUUUGGAAAUUACAAAGUGGUUUAAAGCAAUUGUUUCUAAAUGCAAACAUGUAUUCUUUUAUAUAUUUGAGAUGGCUAGUUUGGCUUUAAUUUAAUAUGUCUUUGAAAUUUAGAUAUUUAAUUAUUUUUGUUAUAUAAAAAAUAAAAUAAUAUUUAAACUUAAUUGAUGACUUAAAAAUGAUAAUAUAUUAAUUUAUAAAUUUUUAUACAGCUAGUAAGAUAAGAAAAAAUUUUGAUAAGAAAAUAGUGAAAGCAGAGAUAACAAUAAGAUUAAUCAUUUUAUGAUGCAAAAUAUGGACUUCAUGAUGUUGGCUUCUACAAAUUCAAGACCUAAAUGUGGUUACCACUAAGAAUAACAAGUAGGAAUUUUAAUCAAUGCAGUCAGUUUCAGCUUUUCUCGUUUUGCCUUUAUGUUGUAAUGCUCUUGAGAUGUUAUUCAACAAAUACAAGUCCUUAGUCAUACACUCUUAAAACUGGGUAGCCAAAAAGACUUGAGGCAAUGAAUAAAGUCUUUGAACAAGUAUGGGGAUUCAGGUCUACUGUGUGGAUUAAAUAUAGAAGCGAUAGUAAAUGGAUGGCAAGUAUGAGGAAGCCUAAAGCUAAUGCUCCUGUAAUUUGGUCACAAUAUUGGGGACUUCGAAGUAAACUUGUAGUCAGCCUACUAAUGAAACAUAAAAUUGUCAAAGAUUCUUAGUUUCAUCGUCUUGGCUUUGCUUGUAGUGGCAAACACUAAAUGCAGACCUAUUUCAGGAUGUCGUACUAGCCGAGGAUCUAAGUCGAAUGCUUUAUUUUCCAUUAAUCUUGUAGCAUCUCCUGGCAUUACUGAUUGCUUAAGGCUUACAUGGGAAGAGUGUUUGACUGAGAAGUUAAAAAAGGCUUUCGAAGAUUAUAUUAUUUCUUUGUUCCCUAGGGGAUGCAAAUGAAUUUGAUAAACAAUUUCCCUGGGGGAUGCAAAUGAAUUUGAUAAACAAUUAUUUCUUUUAUGUUUUAUGAGUGCUUUUGCAAUAAUCAUCAAUUGCAGUGAAAUUAAAUUUUUGUUUUAAUAAAAAAAAUAAAUUAAUCCAUUAUGAGUAUGUAAUAUUAUGUAAUAUGUUUUUUGUGCGUGCAUCUAGUGCUGUUGACUCUUACAAAUUCAAAUUCAAGACUUGGAUGUGGUUAACACUAAGAAUAACAUGUAUGAUUAAUUAGUACAAUGAACCUUCAUUAAUGUAGUCAAUAUUCAACUUUUCUUGUUUUGUCUCUCUUUUGUAAAACUUUUGAGAUAUUAAGAAUUAAACAAAUACAAGCUCUAAAUCACACAUUCUUAUUAGAUAAGAAGCAUCAUAAAAAGAAGAAAUAAAUUCUCAAAGUUGGUGACCAAAAAGACUUGAGACAAUGAAGCAACCUUUUAAACAAAUAGGGAUACAACACUAUUGUGUGGAUUGAAUAGAGAAGCAAAAACAGGGAGAUAAUGAGUCAAAUGAAGCCAGCAGCUAAUGCUCCUGUAACUUGGUCAUAGUGCUAGGGGACUUGGAGGCAAACUGGCUGCUAGCUUGCCAAUGAAUUCCUCUUUUUGCCCACUUGAGAAAUUACGACCAAAGUCGCUGAUGUGCUUGGUGUGUGCAACACUGUGAAAGCCAAUUGAUCCCGAGUAUUGAACAAAUCAAUAUGAAUUUUACAUAGUAUAAAUGCUUAAUUGAACUAUGUAUUCGCCAUCUUGUAUUUUCUACGUAUUUUAAUAAAUUCUCAUAAUUGAACUAUGUGCAAAAUGAGAAUUUAUUAAAAUACGUAGAAAAUACAAGAUGGCGAAGGAAUUACAAAAAAUGGAGUCCAAAAAUGGAUUUAGAGAUGCCAAAUUAGGGGGGAGAGGUCCCCUUUUUAUAGAUACAUUGAGUAAAUCAUGGCGAUCGGAUUAAAAAUAAUUUGGACGCUCAAGAUUACGCCACGUCAUCAGUCAACAGUACUUGAUUUGACCACGCGGUUUGAACAGUGAACCGAUUUGGUUGAAAAUAAUCCUGUGUAAUGCGUGACACCUCAUCAGUCAACGGCACAUCAUCAGUCAAUGUCACGUCAUCGGUCAAUGCCACGUCAUCGGUCUGUCUAUGUGAACAAUGUCGUGAACAGUAACGUAGACAAUACCGUACAUGUGAACAAUGACAUUUUUCCUUUUAUGCUCCUCCUAAGGUUUUCAACUAUCCUGAGUUCAAAAGUGAUGUCCAUUUUACUGUCUGAUUUCUCGUUCAUUGUGAAAUGACCAUGAUGCCCUUAAAAUAUAUAAAAUACUUAAUAAAAAUAAAACACACGUAAUUAAAUCACAAGAAGGUUAAAUACAUAAAAGUAAGGGUGUUAGUAAAACUUGAAAUGUAAAAUGACGAUUUUCUCCUUUAUAAAUAUACAUUUUCUAACACUCAACACACCCCCCAACUAGCUUAUUACUAGUCCCUAGCAAAUAAAGCAAAAACAAAAUUCAAAUCCAAAAUGAUUUUUUUUUUUAACAAUCAUGUUUAUUCAACCAGAUAAAUGAUAGUAAUCAAAUAAAAGUAUAAGCAUUAUCUCCAGUCUAAAGAAACAUCACACCCACAUCAACCAUCCACAUGAAUCAGCCCAAUAGACUUUGUCACAACUACUUUCAAGAAUGACAUGUUAAACCCCAAAAUCUCAUUGGAAAUAGUGACACUCUCACAAAUAAAUUUAACCCGAUAAAAAUAGUAACUCCAAUGAAUGGUAAUUGAGAGAGAAAAUAAUAAAGAAGUGAUAUCACAUGCUCUCACCAAGAUGAAAGAAAUAUGCCCUCAGCUUAGAAAUAAUAUGAUCUCAAGUCAAACAAAAAUGCUAGUCAACCCAAUUUAUUUAUUUUUUAUUAUGUACCACUACAUCUUUUUCGCCCAUAUAACUAGUUUCUACUUCAAACUAUAGUUCCCUAAAAUCAAGAAGGACUUUUAUUAGGACGUAACGUAGGCUAGGGACAUGGCUAACAAAAGAGGGGAAAUAAGGAAAACAAAAUGUAUGUUUGAGAAAAAUGCAGAGAAUUUGUUUUUGGAAGUUGCAAGGUGGAUUUCACCUAUUAUUGUUUUUUUAAACAACAAUUUUUGUUUUUUUUUCUUUUUUUUUUUUACUUUUGUUUGGCACAACGUCGCUGAACAAAAUAAUUAUUAUAUUUUUCUUAAACAUAAAUAGGUGAUGGAACUUAUAAGAUAUCGGGUAAUACUGCAAAUCAGAGUGGGUCAAGAUGAUAAGUUUGACAAAGAAAAGGUUUUUUUUUUUUUUUUUAAGGUUCAAAAGGGUUAACUAUGGAUAUGUCACAAAAGGGAUGGCUAGAAAGGCUCAAACGGAUCAAAUAUGGUCUUUCCAUCGUCGUUUAAGGCUCUAUAUAAUCUUUCAUAUCUACUAGUUAGAUAGGCCUUUAGAUGUAGCAACACACAUUUUUUUUCUUCUUUUUUUUUAAUUUUACAAUUUUUUUUAAGGGUUAACUCAAAAGAAAUCUAGAAAUCGUGUAUAAAAUAAUAAACUGCUAAGCCGUAUGAAGCAUGGGCAAAAGGGUUACUCUCCAAGAAAAAUGAUAGGCUCAAAAACUCACUUGGUACUUAUUAUGACAUGUUCAUUCCUUCAAGCAACUCAUAUUUGUCUCCGACAUCAACAUGUAGAGUAGCAAAGAUGGUGUAACAUCACUUAAGACCAAAGAUAAUACAAAUACUAAAAUUUGAAAUCAUCAUGUCAUCCAAUGUUAAAACAAAUCACACAAAUUUUUUUUUCAAACAACAUUCUACCCCCCAACCUAUUCUAAACAUGAACGGAAAAUAUGCAUGCAGAAAUGUGAAAAUGAUGCAGAAAAACUAAUUCAAAAAGUUACACUUAAAAUGAUAGAAAAAGAAAAUGAUUUUUUUUUAACUAAGAAUAUGCGUUUCUAGAGGCACUACACUCCAUAUUCAGCCAUCUUCGACUCAAAAAUUUGAAAAUGUAUAUUUAUAAAGGAGAAAUUAAAAAGAAGAAGAAAAAUGAAUACCAAAGCUUAAUAAAGAAAAAGAAAAUGUCUAAAUUUUUUUGUUUUUUUUUUUAAUUUUUUUUCAAACGAUGAAGAUGCGUUUCUAGAGUCACUACACUCCAUAUUCAGCCAUCUUCAACACAAAAAGUUAGCAACAGUUAGUUUCUACAACAAAAAAUCAAUAAAAACUUAACCAAGAUUCUACAAUUGUCGACUAUUCCCUCUCCCCAACCAGAACGAAACAUUGUCCUUAAUGUUUUAAAGGAAAGAAGUAGAGUUUAGAAUACAUCACCUGGGUGGUGCAGCACAGAAGAAAAUAUUUACAAGCGGAGGUUAAAUCUAAUUUGUACUUCUUACUAUGGCUACUGUUACCAUCAUUAUUUGGACGCUCCAACACAAAUGUCCAGGGGUCUGGCUUCGGUCUAUAAGCUUGUAAAUAAUCAAGUAGCUCAUUAGCAGUGUGAGCACAAAUAAAAAGCUUUUUCGCUGUGGAAGGAAUGAAAUACUUUUUUAUUGCAUGGUUAAGAAAUGCGAUAAAGCCAUCAUAAAAGUUAUUGACAUUUAACAAACCGAUGGGUUUCUGGUGAAUGUGCAGAUGGGCCCAUGAUGCUAGUGUGAUAAGUGCCUCUAGUGUUGCAAGAUCUCCUGAAAGAAAAAUAAAAGCAUCAGUAUGAUUAAGCAUUUUAGUUAUUCUUUCUUGCAUACCUGAGACGACUAACGCUUCUCCAGUCGGUGAGUCAGACAAACUACCCAAAGGUUUUAGGGCUCUUGGGAUGAUGCCUAACACUUGGCUUCCUCUAACACAAGCAGCUUCUGAGACCAAUUUUGAUAACCCUCGAUUACCUCCUCCAUACACCAAGUGCAGUUUUCUCUCUGCUAUACUUCGACCAAGAUCUAUGGCUGCCUUAACGAACUCUUUAUGUUUGCCAUAGUUAAAUCCAGAAAGCACACAAAUGUUCUUGAAUUGUCUAUUGGGAGUAGCUGCCAUUGGGAUACUUUUAAAAAAUAAUUUGUGAGUGCUUGACAAAAAAUCAUAUUUAAUAAUCUUGGUGACAGUGGGUCAUAGCUGUGUAUGAGGUAGCAUGUCAGUGUCAAAUAACGCAUAAAGCACAUGGCUUAAGAGUAAAAAAGGAAACAGUAAAAAGGAAAAAGCAAACAGUGAUAAAAUUAUUAAAGACAAUAAUGCAAACAAUAAAACAACAGUGAAAUAAAACAACAGUAAAGUAAAAGGAUAUUUAUAGGUAGUUGCGACUGUGGCUCAUAUCUUCCUCUGGGUUUACGUCUAGAAACGGCUUAAACGCCCUCUAUGGGUCGAGGAUAGGCUUCCCAUCUAGGUUUCUUAUAAACUGGCAAACAAGGUCGUUUAUAGUCAGAUUCCUGAGACUAUAUCGUGCAUGCUCUUUCUGGAAUAAUGAUUAUAACUGGAGAAUCGCUCCUUGCACAUAUCCACUGGGAUGCGUUUCAAGAGACAAAAGGAUAUAAUCCAAUGACUUCUUAUUCAAGCCAUCCCUAAUGAAUUGAAUCUUAUCUUCCCUGUUAUCAGACAUUAUUCCUAAAAAACAUGGGUUUUUAUUGCAUCUCAUUCUAGCACAUUUAUGACAAGUAAUAGAAAUUCUUCGAGCUCUUUGUUUUCUUGCAUAAUUUCCUUUACCACAAUCAGGGAUGUAUGCAAUAUAUUUUGGAGGUAACUCACCUGCCAAUCGUGCUUUAACCUCGAUUAACCAACGGAUGUCAGCAGGUAUGUUAUUCCUCAUAAGCAAUCGCAUGCGUUCGGACCGAGCUUUAUAAAUUGUAAGGAGGGCAUUCUGAGGAAGUGAAGGGAAUCGAUUGUGAAGCGUUGCUAAAAUCUCGUUUCUGUCCAUACCUUCGCCUCAGAAUAUCAGUUAUUAUGGGAAACUGAAGUAACCGACUUGAUUGUCACGGAGUACCGUUAUCUGCCACUUUACCGGGGUAACAAACUAAAGCACACAAACAAAGAAAAACAAACUAAAACACAUAAAGAAAAUUACAAUCGUCCUCUUAUUGAAUUUACCUCAAGCUCCAACUGGAUGUUGUAGACACUUCUCUCAAUGUCUCUGAGUUGGAUUUCUAAAUCCUCAACAUAGGAUACUAACUCUGGUGGUUGCAGAGCCCAAAUACGAUGUGUUUUACAAAAUCAAAUCUACCUUUUGAGAUGAGAUUUUACACGUUGAAGUGGUUUAAGAAUGUGCAAGAGGAACUGUUUAGCUAUGACACUCAUGAUUAACAAUGAUAAGAGAAAACUUAAUGGUUAAAUAAACAUACUUAUGCAAAAAUAAUUUCAAUUAGCAAAAGAAUAAUAAAAAGAAAGAAAAAAAUCAAAUCACCGAAAAGAAAGAAAAAAAAACUCAAUUCAGAUCUGGUGGGUCACUUAAAUUUAUUUCGGUGUGUUCUCCAUGUGGUUGGUACUCUAGAUAUGGCUUUAAUCUUUGACCAUUAACUUUAAACGUGACACCGUUCUUUGGGUCCUUAAUUUCAAUUGCCCCAUAUGGAAAAACAAUAUGAACAAUAAAGGGGCCAAACCAUCGAUAGCGUAACUUACCUAGGAAUAGGUGCAAGCGAGAAUUGAAUAAAAGCACUUUCUGACCUGGAGUGAACGAUUUUCUCAUAAUUUGCUUGUCAUGAAAGACUUUCAUUUGCUGCUUGUAAAUCUUGGCAUUUUCAUAUGCAUUAUUGCGAAUUUCUUCAAGUUCUGCCAGCUGUAAUAUUCUUUCUGAGCUGGCUUGCUGCAUGUUAUAGUUGAAUUUCUUGAUGGCCCAAUAUGCACUAUGCUCGAGUUCCACAGGUAGGUGGCAAGCUUUUCCAUACACUAGCCUGUAGGGUGACAUCCCAAUCGGGGUCUUGAAAGUCGUUCUAUAUGCCCAUAAUGCAUCAUCAAGUCUUAAUGACCAAUCUUUUUUGUCUGGCCUCACUGUCUUUUCUAAUAUGUGCUUUAUUUCUCGAUUGGAGAUCUCAACUUGGCCACUGGUUUGCGGAUGAUAUGGGGUCGCCACUUUGUGAGUGAUUGAAUACUUUGUCAAAAGAGUUUUGAAUGCUUUGUUACAAAAGUGGGCACCACCAUAAUUGAUUAUUGCUUGAGGGAAUCCAAAGCGUGAAACAAUGUUGCUUUUCAAAAAUCUUAUCACCACCUUGUGAUCAUUGGUUCUACAUGGAAUUACUUCUACCCAUUUUGAUACGUAGUCAACAGCAACCAAUAUGUAUUGAUGGUCGAAAGAAGGGGAAAUGGUCCCAUGAAGUCGAUACCCCAUACAUAAAAAAUCUCAACCACUAAAAUUAGAUUUAGUGACAUCAUAUUCCUUCGUGUAAUGGUCCCCAUUCAUUAACAACUUAUCACAUGAAGAACAGAAAGUGUAAGCGUCUCGAAAUAUAGUUGGCCAAUAGAAACCACAUUGUAAAACUUUAGUCACUGUUUUCUUAUCACUAAAAUGGCCUCCACAAGCUUGUUCAUGGCAGAAUAAAGGAUAUUUUGAAUUUCACUUUCUGGGACACAUCGUCUAACAAUUUGAUCUGCACAAUACUUGAACAAAUAAGGAUCAUCCCAAAAGAAAUUCUUUAUUUCCGUAAAAAAUUUGGCUUUGUCUUGCGUGGUCCAAUGCUUUGGAAGUUGACAUGUAACAAGAUAAUUAACGAUAUCGUAAUACUUCCGUACUCAUCAAUUUUUCAUCUGGGAAUGACUCAUUCAAUGUUAAUGGUUCUGUAAUUGUGUCAAAAUGGAGACGAGAGAGAUGGUCUACCACAACAUUUUCUGUGCCUUUCUUAUCUUUAAAUUCCAAGUCAAAUUCCUGCAAAAGAAACACCCAACGAAUUAGUCUAGCUUUUGCAUAUUUCUUUGUGAAAAGAUAUUUAAGAGCAGCCUGAUCCGUGAAUACAAUUAUUUUACAACCAAUGAGAUAAGAUCGAAAUUUUUCUAAUGCAAACACUACUGCUUGAAUUUCUUUUUCAGUAGUUGAAUAGUUCAACUGUGCAUCAUUCAAUGUCAUACUAGCAUAGUAAAUAACAUGGAGAAUUUGAUCAAUUCUUUGUCCUAAAACUGCUCCUACUGCAUAAUCAGAUGCAUCACACAUGAGCUCAAAUGGUAAGUUCCAAUUUGGGGGCUGAAUGAUGGGUGAUGAUGUCAAUAACUGCUUUAAUUUUUCAAAUGCCACAAGACAUGAAUCAUUAAAGAUAAAAGGUACAUCCUUAGCAAGUAGAUUGCAUAAGGGUCUAGAAACUUUACUAAAAUCUUUAAUGAAACGUCUAUAAAAACCAGCAUGCCCAAGGAAAGAUCUUACUUUUCUGACUGUUUUGGGUGGAGGAAGAUUAGAAAUGAGAUCCACCUUGGCUUUGUCAACCUCAAUACCUUUACUCGAAAUGAUGUGACCGAGAACAAUACAUUGUUUUACUAUAAAAUGACACUUUUCCCAAUUUAAGACUAAGUUCUUCUCGAUACAUCUCUGCAGAAUUAGUGUUAGAUGAUGUAAACAUUGAUCAAAUGAGUCAGCAAAAACAGAAAAGUCAUCCAUAAAGACUUCAAGGAAUCGUUCAACCAUUUCAGAAAAAAUGCUUAACAUGCAUCGUUGAAAUGUGACAGGUGCAUUACAUAAUCCAAAUGGCAUCCUCCUAUAUGCAAAUGUGCCAAAAGGGCAAGUGAAAGUUGUUUUCUCUUGAUCUUUUGGUGCUAUGGAGAUCUGAUUGUAUCCUGAGUAGCCAUUUAGAAAGCAAUAAAAUUCAUGGCCUGCUAAUCUAUCAAGCAUUUGAUCGAUAAAUGGUAAAGGAAAAUGGUCUUUACGUGUGACAGAAUUCAACUUUCUAUAAUCAAUGCAUACACGCCAUCCUGUAGUCACUCUAGUAGGUAUUAAUUCAUUAUCGGCAUUGGUAACUACUAUGACUCCUGACGUUUUGGGGACAACUUGUACAUGACUGACCCAUAAACUAUCAGAAAUAGGGUAAAUGAUACCUGCAUCUAAUAGCUUAAGGACUUCAGUUCUGACAACUUCUUUCAUGUUAGGAUUUAACCGACGUUGCAUUUCCCUAGUAGGUUUAGCAUUUUCAUCAAGGUGAAUGUAAUGCAUGCAGUCUACUGGGUUUAUACCUUUGAUGUCUGCUAUAGUCCAUCCUAAUGCUCCUUUGUGCUCUUUUAAAACAUCCAACAACUUACCUUUUUGUUCUUCAUUUAGAGUACUUUCUUCUCCCAAAAAUGUAUAUUCCAAAGUGUUGGGUAAUGGUUUGAGCUCGAGUUUCGGUGGUGAUUCUGAUGAUGGGAUGAGUUUCUCCUCUGAUGGUGCUAGUGGUUCAACUCUUGACUUCCAUUUAUUAGUGUCCAUGGAUGGUGCUGAGUCAAGUAGAUCGUUGACUUCAUCGACCGAUCUGUUAAAAUCAAAAUAAAAACCAAAGUGAGUUAAACAUGUUUGUAAAGGAUCAUCAUUGAGGUUUGAAAGAAAAAUAUUAUCAACUAUUGUUUCUAUUAAAUUCACAUUAAUAAUUCCAUCAUCUGCAUUGUGAGGUUGUUUGGCAAUGUUGAAGAUGUUUAGCUCCAUAGUCAUGUUGCCAAAGGACAAAUGCAUAUUUCCAGUUUUGCAUUGAAUGUGAGCAUCGGCAGUUGCCAAGAAAGGUCGGCCUAGGAUAAUGGGGAUGUGCUUCCUUGAAUCCUGUAUUGGUUGAGUGUCAAUUACAAUGAAAUCAACAAGAAAAUAAAACUUGUCUACCUGGAUAAGCACGUCCUCCACAAUACCACGAGGUAUUUUCGUGGACCGAUCUACAAGUUGUAACACCACUGGAGUUGGGUGUAAUUCUCCCAGUCCAAGUUUCACAAAUACUGAGUAGGGUAACAGAUUUACAUUAGCUCCUAAAUCCAACAAAGUAUUCUCAAUUGUGUGGUUCCCUAUACUACAUGAGAUAGUAGGGGAGCUUGGGUCUUUCCAUUUUAGAGAAAUUUUGUGUUGGAGUAUAGAACUAACAUUUUCUGUUAAAAAAACCUUCUUUUGAACGUGAAUGUUUCUCUUUUUAGUACAAAGGUCUUUAAGAAACUUGGCAUAAGAUGGAACUUGCUUUAUAGCAUCAAGUAAAGGGAUGUUAACACUUACCUAUUUGAAGAUUUCAAGAAUCUCACCUGUGGAUUUUCCUUCUUUCCUUUAGCUAACCUCUGAGGAAAUGGAGCUUUGGGAACAUAUUCUUGUGGGUUGGUUUCUUCUUUCUCUUCCGAUGGUGAGUCCUCAACAUUCACAGGUACAAUUUGAUUUUCUUUUGUCACCUGCAACUCCACUUUGUUGUCGACUUCUUUUCCUUUUCGCAAGGUCAUGACUGCUUUGACCUCUCCAUGCUGCUGUGGUGAACUGGUACUUACUUCAUGCACUCCUUUAGGAUUAGACACUGGUUGACUUGGAAACUUGCCUUUCUCAACAGUUAUUGCCAAGGUCUGAACUGAAGAAGCAAGUUGUCCCACCAUCUUCUCGAAGCUUGAAACUGAUUGGCCUUGUGAGUUUAAGGCUGCUCUCAUCUCAUUUCGUAGUUCAUCAAUGGUGCGGUUCUGUUGCUUAAUCGUGGAGUGAGUAACAUUCUUGAAAUUUUGGAAUGAAUCCUCCUAUGGUCUGGGUUGAAAGUAGUUCUGGUUCUGAUUUUAUGGUCUAAAUGGUGGCUGAGAGGCUUGAGGAACUUGAGGAAUUUGUUGCAUUGGUGGAGCUGGAGCUGCUGGUCCAUUCUGUUAGAAUCCUUGAGACCAUAAAAAAUUUGGGUGGUCUCUCCAUCCAUGGUUAUAUGUGUUGGAGUAUGGGUUGUAAUUUGAUGGUUUUUUAUUAUACCUAUGGCAUUGGCUUGAUCUGGGUAUGAGUUAUGGUCAUGUGGUUCUGUUGAUUUAGCAGUCGAUAAUGAUGCUAUUUGUCGAGAAAGACCUUCAACCAUCUCCUUGACUUCUUUGAUUCCCGAAGUUGACUUGCCAAUGUGAACCUCAUUCACUCCUUUAAUUCUUUUAGUAUUCCCGAGUGAUCGACUCCGUUGUUGGGAAUUAUCCGCUUGUCGCUGGAAGAAUUCCCAAAUCUCUGAUGCACUUUUUGACAUUUGCUCUCCUCCACUUGUUGCCAUUAGCCAUUCUUGCACAUUUGCAAUAAUCCUUCCAAAAAGUAUUGGCAUUGGUGCCAUUUCUUGUACCCAUGAUGUGGACACUUCAAGAGUAGCCUAUUGAAUCGCUCCCAUGUUUCGAAAAACUACUCGUCUUCUCUCUGGGUAAACUCUGAAAUUUCCCUGCGAAUAACAUUGAUUUUAUGCACUGGGAAAUAUUUAUUCAAAAAUUUAGUUACCAUUUAUUCCCAUAAUGUGAUGCUAUUGACAGGUAAUGUAUUGAGUCAUGAACGAGCUCUAUCCUUUAAAGAAAAUAUGAAUAAUCUGAGUUUAACAUCAUCGUCUGAAAAAUUCUCGUAUUUAAAAGUUUGACAAACAUCAUGAAAAUCAUUCAGAUGACUAUAUGGGUCCUCAUUUUAUAAGCCAUAGAAUGUUGGGAGACAAUUUAACACACUAGGUUUUAGUUCAAAACUCCUAGCAGCUACAUUUAGGUAUCUUAUUCAUGAUGUGCUCAAAUUAGCUAAAGGACUGAAGUAGUUCUUAAAUGGCCUCUCCUGUGGUGGUGCUUGUUGUUGCAAAUCUAUUUUAUUUUUAAUGUGUUUGUGUGUGUGCAGUGUUUUUUCUAGUUGAAGGUCUAUAAGUUCAAGAUUAGGUAAUAAUAACCUUCGACCAUGCAUGCAAAGAACACAAAAUAAAUGGGAACAAAACAAAUAAAAAUAAAGAAGAAAGAGAAAUUACGAUACUAACCUUAUUACGCUGUUAAAACCUUAUUAUAAAAAUACACAAAAAAUACAUUAAAUAAAUUAACUAAAAAUAAAUUAGUAAGAUAAAUAAAAAUUACAAAGAGAAAAAAAAUAAUUUGAAAAUUAAAUUACAGAAUUGUAAAGAAUAGAGAAAGAAAAGAAAUUAUUACUUCUAAAUGCAGAUUCACUUUUUUUUCUUCUUUUUUUUAAUAAGAAAAAAAUUAAAGGAAAACAAAUAAAAGAUAUUAUUCAAAAAAAUUAAUUCUACGAAUUAAAAUAACUUACCUCCCCGGCAACGGCGCCAAAAACUUGUUGUGCAAAUUUUAUUAAACUUGCAAGCGAACAAAUCUAUUAUAGAAUAGAUCAAUGGUGACGAGUGUCGAUCCCACGAGGAGGUGGAUUUUAAUUGUGUGUAGAAUUAAUUUUUCUAAAUGGGUGGUAGGAUUUGUGGUGAAAGUGAGUUAGAUUAUCCUAAAAUUGGAAUUGAAAUGGCAAGAAUAAAUUGAAGAGAAAUCUAUUAAAAUGACGUACUUGGGUAUCUGGAUCCGUAUCAACAUGCACCAUGGGCUAAAUAUUCCUUAUUAAUGUCAAUUAAAUCAUGAGGGGGAAAUCCACACCUCAUGAACCACACUCUAAUCAAUAUGGUGCUAAGGGCUUAUCGUACUAAAUAAUAAUAACCUUGUACUAGGGAGCCGGUGUAACCAGGGCGGUAUCUAGACAAGAUUAUUAUUAUUUGUCGGCGAAAAGUCAAAUCAUCCAUAAAAAUUAGAGGGAAAAAGAAAAUAAAUUUACCAAAUAAAGCCCAUGACACAUGUUGAGACUUUACCUUCAACCCAAACUUAAAAGAAAAUUAGCUGCUCAUAAUUGAACUAGGGGCAAAAUGGAAAUUUAUUAAAAUACGUAGAAAAUACAAGAUAGAGAAGGAAUUACAAAAAUAGAGUCCAAAAAUGGAUUCAGAGAUGCCAAAUUAGGGGGGAGAGGUCCCCUUUUUAUAGAUACAUUGAGUAAAUCAUGGCCAUCGGAUUAAAAACAGUUUGGACGUUUAGGAUUGCGCCACAUCAUCAGUCAACAGUAUGCGUCAACAGUACGCGGUUUGGUUGAAAAUAAUCUUGUGUAAUGCAUGUACUAUACGCGAGAUUUUUGAUCCACUGAUAUGCUGCCACGUCAUCGAUCAACAAUACAUAAGAAUUUUAGUCCAACAGGAUCGUGACACCUCAUCAGUCAAUGCCACAUCAUCGGUCAAUGCCACAUCAUCGAUCAAUGCCACAUCAUCGGUCAAUGCCACGUCAUCGAUCCGUCUAUGUGAACAGUGUCGUGAACAGUAACGUAGACAAUACCAUACAUAUGAAUAGUACCGUACAUGUGAACAGUGACAUUUUUCCUUUUAUGCUCCUCCUAAAGUUUUUAACUAUCUUGAGUUCAAAAGUGAUGUCCGUUUUGCCGUCUGAUUUCUCGUUCAUUGUGAAAUAACCAUGAUGCCCUUAAAAUACAUAAAAUACUUAAUUAAAAUAAAACACACGUAAUUAAAUCACAAGAAGGUUAAAUACAUAAAAGUAAGGGUGUUAUUAAAAUUUGAAAUGUAAAAUGAUGAUUUUCUCCUUUAUAAAUAUACAUUUUCUAACACUCAACAGGCACCUUACUUAGUUUCUUCCACUGAUUAGACUUUAUAUAUUUCCAAGCCAGAAAUCUUCUUUUUGUCUUUUUUUUUUUUUUAACCAAGCUAAUGGCAGCUCUUUGGGUGGCCUGGGUACCACUUCUUCUAUGAGGUGUGCCUAACCUCCUCACAUCUUAAGAUGUGAACCAGGUCACCCAAAAACUCAGACAUUACAUCCUCUCUUACUCAUUAAAAGUGUUGGAACAGAUGUACCAAGAUAAAAGAUAACGGCUCAAGGAGUACUCCGAGAACCCAAAAAAGAAAGAUGGGCUCCCUUUCCUAUUUGCUUUAGAAAUGGCUGCCAAUUUGGACAAGUUGAAGAGGGCGGAGCUGAUUGACCCAAACUGUUCAUCUGCUUUUGAGGAUAAAUCACCAAGUAUAGGUAGAGGGUGUUGUAAGGGUACCCCACCAUCACCCAUAUUUUGUUUUCUAGUGACUACCAUGUAUAGAUCACUCUGGUGAGGAUUUUAAUGCCUUCUUCAGUCAUUUGAGAAGUGGUUUAUCGAUUACCUCAAAAUGUACUUCAAUUAAGGGUACCUUUCCUUCACAUUCUUUGAGGACGAAAGCAAAAUCAUAGGGCUCCUUUCUUGCAGCUUCAGAGGUACCCUCAACAGAAGAACAUAAUCGACAAUACUUUUGAGCGCAUCAUGACCGAAGAAUGAAGUGCUAAUCUGAGGCUAGUUGUGCCAAGAGUGGAGAAGUGGGUAGCCAAGUCGGCCAUCUUGAAGGCGAUUGAGGAUAGUAGGUCUCCUAACAAAUCUUGGUCUGAAAGCCCAUGGAGAUAAGUAGGGGUACUGAUAACUCUAGGAAAUGAGAGUUAUUACAUCAUUUCUAAGCUUAAAUCAAGAUCACUUAGAGAUCAAAGAAGGUGUUUUUAUUACAUUUUGGUUAUAUUUUGCGUAAACAUUCAUUUUAGUUGAGUCUUAAUAAGUUUUGCUUAAAUCAAAGUAAUUUGUGCUAAAAUCAGGUGCAUAAUUGUAGGUUUUCAGAAAGUCUUGAUUCAUGAGGGGAUGUUGAGGCAUUAGGCGAGCAAGAGGAGGAAAGAAGACAGCCACAAAAGAAGUAAAGCACAAUAGGGAAUAGUGCAGUGUGGUUGCGGAUGUUAGAGCAACCAGUGUUGUAGCAAUCUGAGAACAAUGCGGGAAAAAACUUAGGCGCGGGUCAACUACAGAAUCACAAUCUGCAUGUUCCUAAUUUAACGCAUACACGCUCAUGGGCUUUUGUUUACCCUAAUUUGCAAUAUAAAAGGGAGGCGUGCACGACAUAGAACGGCGGAAGGGAAUUAUCAUUAGAAUAAUUACAAAGGAAAGAAGAAAAAGAUCAGAAUUGAAGAGUGAUGUUUCGGCAACAUUGAAGAAUCGUGCAGAAUUAUUUGGAUUUGUCUUUCACCGUGCUCAACUUAUAUUUAUCUUCUUCCUUUAAUUGUUUGAUGUAUCCCUUGAUCAAUAUAUUUAUGUUUAUUUUUCUCAUUCAGAAUAUGAACUAGAUUUACUUGUAGUUGAGUGACAAAUAAUCCAUUGGGUUAUUGACUGUUCUUAUAAGUUGUUAUGUCAUUGCUGUAACAUUUUACUCUAGUAGUUUGUAUGAAUAUAACUAUUAUUUCGGUUGACCACCCAUUUAAUAGUUUCAGUUAAGAUAGAGCAGCAAAAGGGCAUGUCUUAGUGGAUAUUAUUAGAGUAUUACUUGAUCUUAAGUUGAGUUUCCUAGAUUAAGUUAUCUUGAAUCCCAUAAGGACAAUACUUGAAGUUAGGAUUUGUGACACACUAGACAUAGGUGUUCACCUUGUAGGGUGGAGAGACUAAAGAUCAUAAUGUCAUGCCAUAAGUAGAUUAGCAACUGGUCAUUGUUAAUAGAUUUAAGGGUAUGAGACUUCCAAUAUGCCAUAGCUGAGGAUGCAGAUUUAUUCUGCCUAGUGCUGCCGCACUUGCCGUAACAACUGGUGCUAAAUUGAUGAACAAAAUAGUCAUCCUCGUAAGGAGAAUUUGAUCAUUCAACUACUAUGAUCUCAAUUGAAUCUUAGACACAGUUAACAUAGUUUAUUUCAUUACAAUAUUGUUUUAUUUAAUUCUCUCACAAUUAUUAAUUGCGAUAGAAAUUACUUUACAAUUGUUAGCUUCGGCCUUAAGUUGAUUUGCACUAUUGUGAUUGCUGUAGCAUUUCGAGUAACAUCAAUCCCUGUGGAGACGAUCUUGAAUAUUCAUCACUUUAUUACUUGUUGUGUAUACUUGCACAUUGGCAUUGGUAGCAAUUGCUUAUUAAAAUAACCAACAAGUUUUUGGCGUCGUUGCUGGGGAUUCAUUGUUUAUCUUUGAAGUGUGAAGUAAAUCUUGAUAGCACAAAAUUUGACCUAAUUAAUUCUAUUUAUUGGCAGAUCGGUACGUGCAUGCUCAAAGACAGAUCUAUGGUAUUCCAAUUCGAUCCUGGGAUUGAAAGGAUUGUCAAGAGACUGCGAAGAGAACAAAGGAAUUCAAAAACUGUUUCAAGCAUGAAUAAUUUGCAGGAUGCGGGAAAUUUGAAUCCUCACGAGCCCUUACAACCAGUCAACAUUCAAGAAGAGCAGAAUGAACAUGCUAACGGGAGACAGCCAGGCAAUAACAAUAUUAUUUACAUGGCUAAUGACAGAGACAGAGCUAUAAGAGAUUAUGCUGUGUUAACUCCUCAAGUUGUACACCAUGAGAUCAUCAGACCUGAAGUAGAAACUGCAAAUUUUGAGUUGAAGCCAAUGAUGUUUCAAAUGUUGCAAACAGUUGGUCAAUUCAAUGGAUUGCCAAAUGAAGAUCCUCAUCUCCAUCUUAAAUUGUUCUUGGAAGUAAGUGAUGCUUUUAAGAUUGCUGGAGCAACACAAGAUGCCUUAAGGCUGAGGCUCUUUCCUUAUUCCUUAAGAGAUCGAGUAAGAGCAUGGUUAAAUUCGUUACCAUCUGAUUCCAUCACUACAUGGAAUGAAUUGGCUGACAAAUUCCUAAUGAAAUAUUUCCCACCAACAAAAAAUGCAAAGUUGCAGAAUGAGAUUACUUCCUUCCAUCAACUUGAAGAUGAGAGUUUGUACGAGGCUUGGGAAAAAUUUAAAGAAUUGCUCAGAAAGUGUCCUCAUCAUGGUAUUCCUUGUUGCAUUCAAUUGGAAACUCUCUACAAUGGGUUGAAUCUGAGUACAAGGUUAAUGGUGAAUGCUUCAGCAAAUGGAGCCCUGUUAUCCAAAUCUUACACUGAAGCUUAUGAAAUUCUAGAGAGAAUUGCCAAUAAUAAUUAUCAGUGGCCUUCAGCCAGGCAACCAACAGCAAGAGGAUCAGCAGGGGUACAUAACAUAGAUGCAAUUAUAGCCUUAUCAGCACAAGUAACCUCAUUGACUAACAUGGUAAACGCCAUGACAUCUGCUCUAGCAACAGUAAAGUAAGUUGCUGAACUUUCUUGUGUAUACUGUGGUGAAGAACAUGACUUUGAUAAUUGUCCUGGAAAUCCAGCUUCAGUAAACUAUGUGGGUAAUUUCAAUCGACAGCCUCAGAACAACCCAUAUUCAAAGACUUACAACCCUAGCUGGAAACAACACCCAAACUUCUCAUGGAGCAGUCAGAAUCGAAAUGCUCCAGCAUUAAAUGGACAAAAUAGAAACACACAAUCACCUGGUUUUUAUCAGCAGAGUCAAGGGCAAAAGCAUAUCAGUAAGGAUCCAAUCACUUCCCUGGAAGCACUAAUUAAGGAAUACAUUUCAAAGAAUAAAGCAAUUGUACAGAGUCAAACUGUAUCUUUGAUAAACCUGGAAAACUAAAUGGGACAACUUGCCACAACAAUGAGUAGCAGAACUCAAGGAAGCUUACCUAGCAACAUAGAAGACUCUAGGAGAGAGGGCAAAGAACACUGCAAAGUAAAUAAUUUGAGAUCUGGAAAGAAUGUUGAUAUCCCAGUUGAUGUAACCAAAAAUGGGAUGGAAUUCAAUUCAACACAAAAAUCACCUCAAAAUGGAAGCUUGUUACAACAACCUCCCCAUGAAGACACUGGUUACAUGGGCCAAGGUAUAGCAAAUACAGAAGAAAUUCAACUAGAACAUGCUGAAAAAGAAGUUGCAACACCAGUAGCCACAACUUACACCAAACCAAACAAAUAAAGUUUCAUACCUCCUGAAGCUACCCAGCAGUUUAGACAUCCACCACCUUUCCCACAAAGGUUCCAGAAGCAAAAACAAGACAAGCAGUUCAGCAAAUUCCUGGAAGUGCUGAAGUAAUUACACAUAAAUAUACCUUUUGUGGAAGCUUUGAAGCAAAUGCCAAAUUAUGUGAAAUUUCUAAAAGACAUCUUGGCAAGAAAGAGAAGACUGGGAGAGUUUGAAACUAUUGCUUUAACAUAGGAAAGUAUUCAUAUGCUCCAAAUUAAGAUUCCUACAAAAGUGAAAGAUCCAGGAAGUUUUACAAUACCCUGCUCUAUAGGAACUGGGUAUGCUGGCAGAGCACUUUGUGACUUGGGAGCUAGUAUUAAUUUGAUGCCAUUAUCUAUAUUUAAGCAGCUGGGAGUAGGAGAAUGCAGACCAACAACAGUCACUCUGCAAUUAGCUGACAGAUCUCAUGCAUACCCUGAAGGAAAAAUAGAGGAUGUACUGGUGAAGGUUGACAAAUUCAUCUUCCCAGUAGAUUUCAUUGUACUGGACUUUGAAGCUGAUAAAGAGGUACCCAUUAUACUUGGAAGACCUUUUCUAGCAACUGAAAAGACUCUGAUAGAUGUACAGAAAGGAGAACUCACCAUCAGAGUAAAUGAUCAGCAAGUCACAUUUAAUGUACUAGAGGCUAUGAGGAACCCUGAUGAAGUAGAAAAUUGCAAUUUUCUAAGUGUAGUGGAUUUUGUUGUAGCAGAUAGAAUGGACAUAUGCUGCAGUAAUGAACUCAACAAAGUCACUACCUUUGAGGAUAUAGAACAAGAAGAUGUUGCAGCAAAUCAGAUAGAUUGGAUGGGAGAAAAGCAACCUGAUAGGCACAACAGGUUUAUUGAGCAUCUGAACCUUUCAGAUAAGGAAGUAAAAAAAACUUUACCAUCUAUUGAAUCACCUUCUAGUCUUGAGUUAAAAUUGUUACCUUCACAUUUGAAGUAUGUUUAUCUUGGUCAAAACAAAACACUCCCUAUAAUCAUUUCUUCUACUUUGGAUGUAGGUCAAGAACAGAGUCUAAUGAAUUUACUUGGAAAAUACAGAAGAGCAAUUUGAUGGACCAUGGCAGACAUCAAGGGUAUAAGCCCAUCAAUUUGCAUGCGUAAAAAUCCUAUUAGAAGAUUGCUCCAGCAAUUCAGUGGAGCACCAGAGAAGGUUGAACCCUAUAAUGAAAGAAGUGGUGAAGAAGGAAAUCAUCAAAUGGUUGGAUGCUGGAAUCAUAUACCUAAUAUCAGACAGUUCAUGGGUGAGCCCAGUUCAAUGUGUUCCAAAGAAGGGAAGGAUAACAGUAGUAGCUAAUGAGAGGGAUGAACUUAUCCCUACAAGGACAGUGACUGGAUGGAGAGUAUGUAUGGAUUACAGGAAGCUCAACAAAGCCACAAGGAAAGACCAUUUCUCACUUCCAUUCAUAGAUCAGAUGUUGGAUAGACUUGCUGGAAACUAGUACUAUUAUUUCUUAGAUGGGUAUUCAGGCUACAACCAGAUUGCUAUAGCGCCAGAGGAUCAGGAGAAGACUACAUUUACUUGUCCUUAUGGAACAUUUGCCUUCAGAAGAAUGUCCUUUGGGUUAUGCAAUGCUCUAGCAACUUUUCAGAGAUGCAUGAUGUCUAUUUUUUCUGAUAUAGUAGAGCAGACUUUAGAAGUUUUCAUGGAUGACUUCUCAGUUUUUGGAGAAACAUACAAAGAUUGUUUACACAACUUGGAAGAAGUUCUCAAAAUAUGUGAGAUGACCAACUUAGUACUCAAUUGGGAAAAGUGUCAUUUCAUAGUGCAAUAUGGAAUAGUGUUGGGACAUAAUGUAUCCAAGAAUGGCAUUGAGGUAGACAAAGCCAAGAUAGAGGUAAUAAAUAAACUGCCACCUCCACUUCAGUAAAAGGUAUUAGGAGUUUCUUGGGUCAUGCUGGAUUUUACAGAAGAUUUAUUAAGAAUUUUUCCAAGGUAGCUAAACCACUAUGCUCAUUGCUGGAACAUGACAAACCUUUUCAUUUUGACAAGGAUUGCCUUCAAGCAUUUGGAGAGUUAAAGGAAGCUCUAAUUACUACUCCAGUGGUUAUAUCUCCAGACUGAAAUUUCCCAUUUGAACUGAUGUGUGGUGCUAGUGACCAUUCUGUGGGAGCAGUAUUAGGGCAAAGAAAUGAUAAGGUCUUUCACUCCAUAUACUAUGCAAGCAAAACUCUUACUCAAACUCAUAUCAAUUACACCACUACAGAGAAAGAGUUGCUAGCUGUAGUAUUUGCUUUUGACAAAUUCAGAGCUUACUUAGUGGGUAUUAAAGUGACUGUUUACACAUACCAUACAACCAUCAAAUACUUAAUCUCAAAGAAGGAUGCCAAAUCAAGAUUAAUUAGAUGGAUCUUACUGCUUCAAGAAUUUGAUCUGGAAAUUAAAGAUAGAAAGGAGACUGAGAAUUAAGUGGCAGACCACUUGUCACGGCUGGAAGCAAACACUAAUACAUCGACAAUGAGGGACAUCAUUGACACAUUUCCUUAUGAACAGCUAUUGGCAAUACAACAAGCACAGAUGCUGCAGCAGUUAGGAUCCCCCUGGUAUGCAGAUUUUGCUAACUACUUAGUAAGUGGGAUGCUACCACCUGAGCUGAAGUUUCAGGAGAAAAAGAAAUUUUUUCAUGAUGUUAGAAGCUAUCAGUGGGAUGAUCCAUACUUAUAUAAGUUAUGCUCAGAUCAAGUAAUACAAAGAUGUGCUUCCGAAGGAGAAAUACACCACAGACUAGAGUCAUGCCAUGUUGCAGCAUAUGGAGGACAUUUUAGUGGUCAUAGAAUAGCUGCUAAAAUUCUGCAAUUAGGUUAUUACUGGCCCACUAAUUUUAAAGGUGCUUAUGAAUUUGUUAAAUGUUGUGACAGGUGCCAAAGGACAGGGAACAUAACUAAAAGACAUGAAAUGCCAUUGACUAACAUUCUCGAAGUGGAAGUUUUUUAUGUCUGGGGAAUAGAUUUUAUGGGACCUUUCCCACCAUCCUUUGGGAACUUAUAUAUCCUUGUUGCUGUGGAUUAUGUCUCCAAGUGGGUAGAAGUUGCAGCAUUACCUACCAAUGAUGCUAAGACAAUGGUGGCUUUUCUUCAUAAAAACAUUUUUUCCAGGUUUGGCACUCCUAGAGCAAUUAUUAGUGAUGAUGGUACACAUUUUUGCAACAAAGUCUUUGCUGUAGCUAUAGUGAAAUAUGGAGUCAGACACAAGGUAACAAUAACAUAUCACCCACAAUCUAAUGGUCAGACUGAAGUGUCCAAUAGAGAAAUUAAAAAGAUAUUAGAAAAAGUGGUGAACCCAACAAUGAAGGAUUGGUCUUUACAGUUACAUGAUUCUCUAUGGGCCUAUAGAACAACAUACAAAACUCCACUCGGCAUGUCUCCUUACCGAAUUGUUUAUGGAAAGGCUUGUCAUUUGCCACUAGAGCUAGAGCAUAAAGCACACUGGACACUGAAGAAAUUAAAUUGGGACAUUCAUGCCGCAGCAGAGCAAAGAAAGCUUCAACUUUGUGAGCUUGAUGAAUUAUGGCUAUUUUUUCAUAUGAAAAUGCAAGAAUCUAUAAAGAGAGGACAAAACACUAGCACGACAAGAAUAUUCAACAUAGGUACUUCAACCCUGGUCAAUUAGUGUUACUCUACAAUACAAGACUAAGAUUAUUUCCGGAAAAGCUAAAAUCACGAUGGUCUGGCCCUUUUAAGCUGUUAAAAUUUUAUCCUCAUGGAGUUUUUGAUCUUCUAGAUGAACAAACAGGUCAAGAAUUUAAAGUUAAUGGACACAGGGUUAAGCAUUACAUACACCCAGCUAUUGAGCAAUGACAGAAGGUCAGGCUGAAGGACCUUAAAUCAAGCGCUCCAUGGGAGGCAACCCAUAGUAGAGACAACCACCUAAAACUAAGUUUGAUCUCCUUUGGUUUUGUUGACAGCUCUCCCUUUUUACCAUUUUAUUUUGUUCUCCCAUUCUAGCUAUUUAGUUUUAUUCUUUCACAUUAUUGCAUUCUUUACUUUCGCUAUCAUUUGAUCUCUUUAUUUUUAAUUAAUUUUAGAAUUAAUUUUAGUUUGUGGGAAAUAUGUGUAGAAAUUGAAUUUCAUAUUGACAAGUGAGGUUGUUUGGUGGCAGAGUGCAGAGGUGAGCCACAUGUUAAAGGGCUUUAGUGUGGAGUAUGUAACCGUUGCUAGAGUAAGCAAAUGGGUACUGCAGUAACCAAUUUUACCGUUACAGUAAAUUAAAAGACGGAGCCUCUCACUUACCGUUGGAGAUAGAUCAUGACAGAUGGAAGCAUGAUUUGGAUAAAAAUUGCGAAGAAAGAAAAAAAUAUCCGAAAUUAAUGCCUUAAUUUCACUGGCCGAUAUUUUUGAGAUAUACACAUUAAAAUCAAAAUAUUUUCUUCCUUCAUUUAUCUUUAGUUACCGUGUUUAUCUUCAAUUAAAGUCCACUAUAAAAAGGAGUCGCUGUGCGUAGUGCUCUACGGCACUAUUCCCUAUCUCCUUCACAAAGUGCAACUCUCAUAAUUCUUAACCUCUUCUUCAUUUUACUCUCAGGGACAUUAGCUUCAAUUUGGUACUGCUACAGCAAUGCUGAGGUAUAAGAAAACAGCCAGCCGCCUCAAAGAUCCGUCACGCAUGCAGAGUUACCACGCCGAAGAAAAAUAUGAAGAAUUCAUAGAGCUGCGUAGAAUUCUGGAAGAAAAAGGAUUUCAAUUUCCAGAACGACUCACUGGAAUUGUGCAAACAAUACACAAUGCUGCAGCAAAGCGCGGAUGGUUAGAGUUUUGCAACCACCCUCGAGAUCCUGUGGUACCAGUAGUCAAACAAUUUUAUGCCAAUUUGGUAAGCCCGAAUCAACACAACAUUUGGGUAAGAAAUACACUUGUUCCAUUAGACUCCCACGUUAUAAAUGCUUUUUAUAAUUUACCUGCUGAAAUUAAUUGUGAGUAUACCAAGUUGCUUAGUAAAUUGACCCCAAAAAAAUGGAACACCAUUUUCACAACUCUUACAAUUGAAGAGGCAUCGUGGGUUAACGAGAAAGGGCAUGUAGUUAAUAGGAUAAAUUUGAAACAUAUUGCGAAGGUGUGGGUAAAAUUUCUGAAAUCUAGGCUUAUGCUAACCACUCACACUACUACAGUUUCACAAGAGAGGUUGGUCUUGUUAUAUGUCAUUGUUCGAGGGCUUCCCAUAGAUGUGGGUAGCAUUAUCACAACAGAAAUCCGAGAUUGUGCAGUUAAGACUCACAGGACUGCUGCCUUGCUAUUUCCUUCACUCAUCACCAGCAUUUGUGUAGUUUUUGAUGUCCGUCUUGACGCAAAAGAUGACCAUAUCAGGAAUGAUGGAGCCUUUACGGCAUGUACCAUUGAGAGUUGCUGGAGAGAGUGCUGGAACAACAACUGAACCAGCUGUUGUAACGGAAGCAAGACGAGCCAUUGGUUUAGAACAGACAAUCCAGGCACUCAGCACAAGUAUAACUCAAUGUGCUAAAGCUCAACAGAGGGAAAAUGAUCGGUUUUGGAGUUAUCUAUAGCACCGGGACAACCAACUACACCAAUUCACCCUGUACAUGAAACGCACUCACCGGAACUUCCCUGAUUCAUUGCUCCAGCAGUACAAUUUUGUCCCCAAUCCCAUAGGAGCUCCAGCAGAAGCCAGUGAAGAAGCCACUGCCAUAGAUAAACCAGAAGAAGAAGCUACAGCCGAACCACAAGCGGAGAUAGAAUCAGAAGAUACGGAUCCAUCUGAUUAACCUAAGGAAGAAAGUGACAAGUCUGAGACUGAUAGCUCACCCACAGAGGCAGAGGACAAUUCUGAGAAAGAACAUGAGGAACCUUCCAUCCCCACUCAGUCCAAGACCAGAAAAAGGCACAUUAUUCAAGAAGAUGAGAAGGAAGACCCUGAAGAGGAACUGUCCAUUCCAGUCCUUGCGGCAAGGGUAAUGGCAAAGGCAAAGCAAAAAUGGCAACACCUCCAGCCUCUGAAGAUGAAAUGGAGAAAGUUGAUGCAGAGCUGGCUGCUACAGCAACCAGAGUUACGCCCACACCUGCAGAAGCUAAACAGCUACUUGAUAUCAUCGCUGCCAUCACAGUUGAGGGCCAGGCAGCUGAUGUAGCAACUCCAAUUCCUCAGCAGCAAACUCCUAGCUAGCCUGUUCGUACCAGUCCACGGUAAUCCAGUAAAAGAAAAGGCAGUACAUCUAAAGGCACUGCUACAGCAACCUCGCCACAACCAAAACGGACCAAAUCAGUGGCAAGCACGCCAGCUACCCCAGCCACAACUCCUCUCACUAGCCCCGUGAAGAAAAAGACAAAGACAUUGCCAGCUACUUCCCCACAAGCUUCCCCAAAGGAUAAGCUGCGCAGUGCAUCCAAGAAGCGCUGAUAGCAUCCCGUCAUGUGCCGCAGUCCCCACCACAGGGGAGUACUCUUUCCUUGCUAGUUCAUUUUUCUUUUUUUUUAAAAAAAACCCACUUUCUUUUCUUUAUGUUUUUCAAUUUGUGUGGUAUUUGCUAAGGUCUUCCAUAUCCUUGUCAACUCGUGUGCCUUUAUUCUGUAUGCUUGUGAGGACACAAUAAUUCUCAAGUUUGGGGGGAUUAUGUUUCUGAAUGCAUGUGUUUAUGUUUGUGUUGCGUGAAGCUCUGCUAUCUAAUAUUUGUGUAUGGAUUUGAAAACCUAAUGAAGAUAAAUUGAGUGUUAUUUAGUAUUUAUGAGAAUACCAAGUAGAGAUAGUUAUAGAUGGAAGUGAAAUUUUGUCCCGACACUUAGACUUUGGUUGAAUUGUAUAAGACUGCUAGAGCAAAGCCAAAGAAUAGACAAGAUCUUAAGUUUGGGGGGAAAAGCAAGUUUGAUUGAUUGUGAUAUCUAUGAAAUAAACUCUAUUCCAAUGGCUCAAGUUGCUGAGUAACCAGAUCUGAGUAUGUACCCCAUAUGCAGAAUUGUUUUCAAAGGUAGCAAGAGUUAUGAGCAGUGAUGCAGCACAUAAAAAAAAAGAGAGAGAAAAAGAAGUCCUCUGUCUAAGGCAUUGAGUAGCCAGGUCUGUUCAUGAGCCUCAUGUUUAGCCUUGAGUAAAAGAUACCUCUAGACAAUAUUAUAUUAUAGAUAUUACUGCAACAACUCUGAUCUGGACAUGGUUUGAGUAAUUGGGUGUCAUCAUUACAAUUGAUUGACAUUCACAUGAAAGAUAAAUGUUACAGUGACAAAGGAGCACACACACACUAUGAACAGAAAGAAGCUUAAGUUUAGAACUGAUUUACUAUGAUCAUUUUGCAUGAUUAGGAUUGUGAUCUGAAGGUGUAAGAAUCCUUGCAAAUUUGAUAAAAGAGCUAAAGUUGUGUGCAUGAUUGUUUGCUUGAAGUGUGUAUGUGUCAUUACUUGAGAGCAAGUAAUAGUUUAAGUUUGAGGGUGUGAUAACUCUAGGAAAUGAGAGUUAUUACAUCCUUUCUAGGCUUAAAUCAAGAUCACUUAGAGAUCAAAGGAUGUGUUUUUAUUACAUUUUGGUUAUAUUUUGCGUAAACAUUCAUUUUAGUUGAGUCUUAAUAAGUUUUGCUUAAAUCAAAGUAAUUUAUGCUAAAAUCAGGUGCAUAAUUGUAGGUUUUCAGAAAGUCUUGAUUCAUGAGGGGAUGUUGAGGCAUUAGGCGAGCAAGAGGGGGAAAGAAGAGAACCACAAAAGAAGUAAAGCACAAUAGGGAAUAAUGCAGUGUGGUUGUGGAUGUUAGAGCAACCAGUGUUGUAGCAAUCUGAGAAUAAUGCGGGAGAAAACUUAGGCGCGGGUCAACCACAUAAUCACAAUCUGUAUGUUCCUAAUUUAACGCAUACACGCUCAUGGGCUUUUGUUUACCCUAAUUUGCAAUAUAAAAGGGAGGCGUGCACGACAUAGAACGUCAGAAGGGAAUUAUCAUUAGAAUAAUUACAAAGGAAAGAAGAAGAAGAUCAGAAUUGGAGAGUGCUGUUUCGGCAACAUUGAAGAAUCGUACAGAAUUAUUUGGAUUUGUCUUUCACCGUGCUCAACUUAUAUUUAUCUUCUUCCUUUAAUUGUUUGAUGUAUCCCUUGAUCAAUAUAUUUAUGUUUAUUUUUCUCAUUUAGAAUAUGAACUAGAUUUACUUGUAGUUGAGUGACAAAUAAUUCAUUGGGUUCUUGACUGUUCUUAUAAGUUGUUAUGUCAUUACUGUAGCAUUUUACUCUAGUAGUUUGUAUAAAUAUAAUUGUUAUUUCGAUUGACCACUCAUUUAAUAGUCUCAGUUAAGAUAGAGUAGCAAAAGGGCAUGUCUUAGUGGAUAUUAUUAGAGUAUUACUUGAUCUUAAGUUGAGUUUCCUGGAUUAAGUUAUAUGGAAUCCCAUAAGGGCAAUACUUGAAGUUAGGAUUUGUGACACACUAGACAUAGGGGUUCACCUUGUAGGGUAGAGAGACUAAAGAUCAUAAUGCCAUGCCGUAAGUAGAUUACCAACUGGUCAUUGUUAAUAGAUUUAAGGGUAUGAGACUUCCAAUAUGUGAUAGCUGAGGAUGCAAAUUUAUUCUGCCCAGUGCUGCAGCACUUGCCGUAACAACUGGUACUAAAUUGAUGAACAAAACAGUCAUCCCCGUAAGGAGAAUUUGAUCAUUCAACUACUAUGAUCUCAAUUGAAUCUUAGACACAAUUAACAUAGUUUAUUUCAUUACGGUAUUAUUUUAUUUAAUUCUCUCACAAUCAUUGAAUUACGAUAGAAAUUACUUUACAAUUGUUAGCUUUGGCCUUAAGUUGAUUUGCACUAUUGUGAUUGCUAUAGCAUUUCGAGUAACAUCAAUCCUUGUGGAGACAAUCUUGAAUACUCAUCACUUUAUUACUUGUUGUGUAUACUUGCACAUUGGCAUUAGUAGCAAUUGCUUAUAAAAAUAACCAACAGGUACCUCUGAUGAAGUCUCCAUAAGGUACCCUUGAUACCGAUGCUUGUUUUUCUGCUACUUUUAGCACUUUUGUUGAUCCCCUUAUCCUAAGAGAUGAAUGUGAAGAUAAUCAUCCUACUGUGUAACCCUGUUCGGCAUUACUGACAAGGUAUGUGGGGUACCUCAUGAGGUACCCUUAAGCUUGGAUAUUCACUGAGUUAUCUGUUACUUUAUGUCGGAAUAACCCAAUUUCAUUAAACAUAUGGUGAUUUCUCCAGAUAUGCUUGCUGCAUAUCUCAAGUUUUCUUAGGGUUCCUCUUGAUGUACACGAGGAACGACUUUUUGUCGUAGGGUACCCCAUGUACUACGGAUACCCUUAAUCUUAUCUCAUCAGUAUAUGGCGAUUUACUUAGAUAUGCUUGCUGCAAAUCUCAAUAAAAAUCAUGGCGAAUCCUUUUCUGAGAUGGCCGAAAACCUCAUGAUCUGCCAUUCGCUCUAAAUCAAAUACGUAACACAAAUAGUCAUAAAGGUGGCUGCUCGCCUACCCUUAUAUGAGAUGAUUGAAAACCUCAUGAUCCGUCAUUCGCUUGUAAUUAAUUAGACAACAUAGAUUGAGAUAAAGGUAGUUGUUCGCCUACCCUUAUGCAAUAUGGUCAAAAAUCUCAUGAUCCACCAUUCGCAUGGAAUCAAAUAAACAACAUAGAUUGAGAUAAAGGUAGCUGCUCGCCUACCUUUAUGUGAGAUGGUUGAAAACCUCAUGAUUCACUAAUCGCGUAGAAUCAAAUAGACAAUAUAGAUAAAGAUGAAGGUGGCUGCUCGGCUACCCUUAUGCGAGAUGGUCAAAACCUCAUGAUCCACCAUUCGCUUAGAAUCAAAUAUGGCGAACAAAUAAUGAUGAAAGGCGGCUACUAGCAUGCCCUUUUGCUGGGUCUGAUGUUGAAUAGGUCAUCAUGAUCUGGGUAGGCCAGGUAGUUUGGGUACCUUGGAAUAAGGUGAUCUCUGGAUACUAUCUUGCGCCAUAAUAAAUAAUACUCAACAAUAUAUAUGAAGUUAGUUUAAUGGUGAACAUAUUCUUAUAACAUUUUAAACUAUUCAUCCAUACCAAAUAAUCAAAAGACAAAUAAGAGCAUACGUCACCAAAUUUUGUAAAGCAAAUGCAUUCAUAGAGAAUGGAGAUAUGAAUCAUUAUAUGACACUAUUUUGUUAUCCUAAGGAGAAUAUAGGGGAUCCCGAGAUCACUUGUUAUUGUCAUUUAAGACUUAGGAAACUAACCAGUUUGGGGUACUCUCUAGGUACCCCACAUGGCCAAGCAUAUAUUUCAGACACACAAGCAUUAAAGAAACCAAACAAAAUAAGAAGAAUGAGGUAGAGUGUUAUCACUUUACUAGUAGUAUGACUUUUCUUUGUUGUUCUUCUGAAAGAUUGGAACCCAUUUUCACGGUCUAUGUUGGGUCAGUGGCGCAGAUCGAGAUUGAAAUAAGGUCUUCAUCCGGGUCGUCCCAUUUUUCAUUUUUCGGUAUUCGGGGAUCCAAAGGUGCCUUAAAUUCACAUCUGGGCUCAACAUGGUCCCCGUGAGGUACCCCCGAGUCAUCCGAAGUGACUGUUUCUACACCCAUUGGCGAGGUUCCCAACUAUUUUGGUGGGUCCGCUACCUGAGAAGUUUUAUUGAGUACUACUCUUCGCUGUCUAGCAAGUGCUCGCGACGUGGGAUAAAGUGUGGGCUUGCUACCACUGGGGUAACCCUUUACUAGCGGAUCGAAAGCUAUUUGGUAAGUGACUUUGGAGGCCACAGAGUAACAACCACGAGCUGACUACUGGUCCCCUUUAAUAGUGAUAACUUCUUAGGCGGCUGGGACUUUCAUGGCGAGGUAGUGCAUGGAUACUACUGCUUUAGUUGCUACUAAGAACGACCUACCCAAUAUGAUAUUGUAGGCACCCGGGUGAUCCACAAUGAGAAAAAUUGAGGUAAGUUGAGGUUUUCAUGUUUUUGAAGGGUAAAUUGUAGAUUUCUAUUGGCAAGGGGAUGAAUUGAAAUUUGUCCCAAUUAAUAUAACAAAAUUUUUCAUAUUAUUCAGGCCCGUAUUUGCCUCAUCUACUAAACAUAUGGAAGUCUUUCUCUAAUUAGUUGCCAUGUUGUCAUUGCUGAUUCGCAAAUUACAUUCAAGAUGAAAAAAAAAAUUACAUAAGGAAAUGGACAAUUUAUUGGCUAGGCAACACAACAGAAGUCACAUGUAAUUGUAACUAGAAUUUUAAUUUCAUCAUAUGAAAAUAAGGAUAUUGGCUUUUUAAUUUCUUUUAUUUUAUGUUAUUUUAUUUCAUUGAAGAAAAAGUUUUUGGUAAUUAUAAAAAUGGUUUAAAGUAGUUGUUUCUAAAUGCAAAUAUGUAUCCUUUUAUUUAUUUGGAUGGCUAGUUUGGCUUUAAUUCAAUAUAAGUUUUUAAAAUUUAGUUAUUUCUUUAUUUUUGUUAUAUAACUAACAAAUAUAAUAUUUAUACUUGAUUGAUGGCUUAAAAAUGAUAAUAUGUUAAUUUGUUAAUUUUUAUGCAGCUAAUAUGAUAAGAAAUGUUUUUGAUGAGACAAUAGUGAAAGCAGAGAUAACAAUAAGAUUAAUCAUUUAAUGAUGCAAAAUAUGGGCUUCAUGAUGUUGGCUCAUGAAAAUUCAAGACCUAGAUGUGGUUACCAAUAAGAAUAACAAGUAGGAAUUUUAAUCAAUGUUGUUAGUUUUGAAAUACAAGUGUGCAACCCAAGAGGCGGGGGGGGGGGUGAAUUGGGAUUCUAAAAAAUUAUUUGAUUCUAAACUAAUUAUCAACCAAAUCUAAAAUGAAUUUAAUGGAAUAACACUUAAAUCAAUUACAAUAUAAAAAGAUAGGGGAAGAGAGAUUCAAACACGAAGAUUUUUACGUGGUUCAGCUAACCUCGCCUACGUCCACGCCUCCAAGCUUUCUGCGCUUGAGGAUUUCACUAAGCACGCCUCCAAGACUUCAAAUGCUUACACUUGACUUCCAAGGUAUCAAUGAACAUUUACAACAAGAGAUUAUCCCCAAUCUCUUAAUCCAAGUGUAUCCCAACACUUACAAUCACUCAAAGUAAAAGAUUAAAAAUUAUUUUUCUCUCACACAAUAUUUAAGAUUACAAAUCAAUGCCCAAUGUGUGAAUAGAUGAAGCAAGAAUGUGUUUUAAAGCUCUAUGAAGAUUGUAUUCUCGAAUAUAAGCUCAAUGGUCAUGUUGUGAUCAAUCUUGUUUGAAUUUGAAUGAGCUUAUUUAUAGUUGGAGCUGAAAAACUAGCCGUUACAAACUGUCUGCCCGAAAAUGGUUCGCCAUUAACCAUUAACGGUUAACUAUUUAGGCCGGUCAAAAGUUACCGUUAGGCCAAAUUUCAGAUAAACGGUUUGCCGUUUAUGCUUACCCUUUCGCCAUUAAUUCCCAGAGACCUGCAAGAUGAACAUCAGUUAUCCGUUUAUAUUAAACGGUUAAGGAUUUGCAUGAAAUGACUUCUCUAGAAAUUAUCUGUUAGCUGUUUGUAAUUAACGGUUCGCCGUUUGUUUCCAGUAACCUGCAAAACGAGUUAGCUUUAUCCGUUUCAGUUAAGCUUUUUCCGUUUGUUUGCAGGUACAAUCUUUCAUUCUGGAUUUUAUCGGUUAACUGUUUCAAUAAACGGUUCGCCGUUAAAUUCCAGUAGCCUUCCCAGCUUUUUGUGUUUUCCAUUUUUCUUAAUCGGUUAGAGCUUAGGCAAUAUGUUGCUCUCUGUUUUUAGUCGAUUAACCGUUUAAAUAAACAGUUCACCGUUUAUUUCCAGAAUAACAGUUUAAGCCAGAUUUUACUGAGAAUCAUUUUCCAAUUUGAAAUUUACCAGUGAUCCAUCUUUUAUGAAUAUAAUUGGAAUGUUUAUAAGGCUCUCAUUUAUUAAGAAAUAGCUCCAACAUUUUAAUCAAAAAUCAUUUAAAGUUUGUUAUCAUCAAAAUUAAUAUUAUUAACAUAUUCAUGUUAACAAUCUCCCCCUUUUUAAUGAUGACAAACUUCAAUUAAUAUUUUACUCCCCCUUAAUAUAUGCUCCCCCUUAAUAUAUGACCAACUUAAAAAAUAUGUCCAAUAAAAUGAUUUUUGCUCAAAAGAAUCAUUUUAAAAACAAAAUUCAUUUCAAAACAAAAUUCAUUUCAAAUCUCCCCAUAAUUAUCUCCCCCUUCAUCAUCAAAAGAAAAGAGAGAAAAGAAAUCCGUAAAGCCGAAGAAUAAAAAAGUGACCCAGUUCUGGCGAGCGAAACAUUUGGCAGAGUUUCCCCUUAAAAUGGAGCAAAACCACUAAUACAAAAUGAGAUUAAGACACUUCCAAAAUAUAUUAACAACAACUCCAUCAUCCAACAAACUAACAACUCCAUCAACCAACAAACCAACAACUCCUUUAACCAAUAAACCAACAAUUUCAUCAACCAAUAUCAAGUCAUCCAACAUCAAGAACAUCACAAAAACAUGUCAUCAAAAUCCAUCAAGAUCAUAUAGAGGUAGCAGUGUAUAUAAAAAUAUAAAUAGCAACACACAAACAAACAAAAUAUGAAAUGUAUGUGCGAAAAUAGAACUCAGAAACUAUGGAGGUGGAGAAGAUGUGCUCCCCAGAUCAUAACCAAAAUAACGAAGAAGAGUGCGUUGUCCAGCUAUAAGCUCAAGCUGCUGAUCAAUGCUCUGCUGCUGGAAGGUCUGAAAGUCAGAACGUAGCUGCUGGUGGUCACGGGAAAAAGUGUCCAACCGAUCAAGAAUCAGCUGCAGGCGCUCUGAAAUCCGGUGAACAUCAGCAAUCAACUGCUGCACAACGUCUGAAGCAGGGGGCUGAACUGGAGCUGGAGGUGGCUCAGAGGCAGAGGGCUGCUCAGGAACUGCAGAUGGCUCAGGAGCAGGAGGGUGCUCGAGAGCCAGAGGCGGCUCGGAAAAGGAGGGAAUGUCAACAUCCAUCGCACGCUCCUCAGAGUCAAAGUCAGCUGGAGGCCGGGGGACAAAACGGAGACACGGAGGAUAAGGAUGAGCUCCUAAUAUAAAAUCUGGAAGCCUAUCAGGAAGAUAGACAUCGUUGAGCAUCCGAUCGUCUUCUGGAGCAAUCAAGGUAUCCCGGGUUUUGGAGGUUUUAGUCUUUAUCCACUCUCCAUUCUUCCUAGAAAAACCGAUACUAGUCAUGGCCUCUGGACCAAUCCGUCUAGUCUCCAUAUAACCAGUAUCGAGAAGAGGAACCUCAAAGUGUCGCAGUAUCUUAGUAAUGAUACUGCCAUAUGGAAGCAAGCGGUGGUUAACUGCGGGAGUACUCAACAUGUGCCGCACAAUAACAUAGCCGAGGUUAAUGGGAUGACCUGUAAUGAGGCUGUCUAAUAGGCCAACGUCCAACCUCAUAACCUCAUCCGAGUGACCCUUCCGAGGAGUCACUAUGUGCUGCAAAAUAGUGUGAAGAAUGCGAACUUAGAGAGGUAAAAGUUGAGACCGAAAAGGUAGAUUACAGAUCUCAAUAGACAAGUCUCGACGUCGACAAAUAUUGCGGACUCCAUUAACAUGACUAAAACCGUCAAAUGAAAGGGCUUUCCUAGAGGUAUAAAUUUCAUGACCCUCACUAGAGAUACCUAGAAAGCCAUUUAGGUCCUCAUCAUCAAAUUCUAUAGGCACACCGCCGACUUGAAUAACUAUCCUAUCUAGGUGAGUUGCGGAGAUUUUCAUGUUCGAAUAAAAGACUCGCACUAAAUUGGGAUAAACUCGGUCAUCAAAGUCAAUGGCAGACUCCCAAGGCUGAAGCAUAUCCCUAAUGCUUCUACCACAUACAACUAAGGUACUGAAAUCAUCUAUUUCAACAUAGGAAGAGUCAAGUACCUUGCGACCAUUGAAGCGAUCCUCGAACCGCUUGGCCAAGAAAGGCAUGGGGAAAUGAAUUCUUGUGAAUUCAGAGACUUCCCGUGGUGGUAUAGGAUUCCUUGGAGGCACAAAUUUUCGCCUGAGAUUUCUCCGAGGGGAUGCAGCCAUGGUAAAGAAUAAAGGAGUUUGAAAAUUGCGAGAGAGAUGUGAUGAGAAGAAGAUGAACCGAUUAUUUGCUUAGGAAUAAGUAAAGGAUGUGAUUUUGAGGCUCAAUUUGGUUGAAGAAGGGCAAGAAUCAGGUUAAAAAAAGAAGAAACCCGAACGGCUGCAGUUAGGGUUUAGAUUUGGGAUUUUUCAAUUUUGGGCUUGAUUUAAAGAUUUGAAUCGGUGAAAGUGUUCUAAAGGUGAUAAGAAAUGAUGUUAUAGGUUUGAUUUGGCAAGAAAAACAAGAAAAAUGAAGGUUUGAUGGCAGAGGAAGCUUCGGCUGCGCAACAAUGGCCGAACGGUGAAAGGGCAACUGGAGAAGGAGAAGAAAAACCUUUGAACAAUUUUAUAAUCACGAAAACGGUUAACCGUAAGGGGUAACUUUCAGAGGCUAAAGAAUGGGGAGCGGUGAAAGUUUAAGCUCUUAACGGCUAAGGAGUAACUGUUAGAGGACUCUCUGUUUUUAAACGGUUUACCAAUUGCAUCAAACGGUGAAAGGGUAAAAAGACAGACAUAUAAUCUCGUUUCUAGAAUAAAACGGUUCACCGUUUAUUGGAAAUGGUUAUCCGUUUAUUUUAUCUAUAAUGUCGUACAUUUGAUUUAAUUUCUGGCCAGCAAAUAAUACAUUCCAAGAUCAUUUAAUUGAUCUAAAAAUGUUUUAUGAGCCAUUUUAAUUCAUGAUUCAUGAACAUGUAUUCAAGCAAUUAAUUCAUAUAAUCAAUCAAGAAUUAAUAAAGAAAAUACAUCAUUUGAAUAUCAAGCUUAAGCAUUUCAUAAAUAUUAAAUCACCAAUAAGUCAAUCAAUUCAAUACACUCAAUAGCAUGAAUAGAGACGUUAAUGCGAAAAUUUCAUCAUCCCAAGUUCAUGCCGAAUUUUCAAAAAUUGUUCUUCGCCAAGGGGUUUGGUAAAAAUAUCGGCGAGUUUUUUUUCUGUAGAAAUAAACUCUAAUGCAAUAUCUCCCUUUUGAACAUGAUCUCUCAAGAAAUGAUGACUUAUUUCUAUAUGCUUGAUUCUAGAGUGUUGAAUGGGAUUCUUUGAAAGAUUUAUAGCACUAGUAUUAUCACACUUAAUAAGAAUUUGUUUUAGGUUAAUACCAUAGUCUCUAAGUGUUUGUUUCAUCCAAAGAGCUUGCGCACAACAACUUCCUGCAGCUAUAUAUUCAGCCUCGGUAGUUGAAAGUGCAACAAAAUUUUGUUUCUUGCUAAACCAUGAAACAAGUGAGUGACCUAGAAUAUAGCAAGUUCCACUAGUGCUUUUCCUAUCAACUUUAUAACCGGCAAAUUCCGCAUCCGAAUAGCAUGUUAAAUCUAUAUGAGUUCUCCUAGGAUACCAAAGGCUGAUAUCUAUGGUUCCACUCAAAUAACGGAAAAUUCUUUUAACAGCAAGCAAAUGAGAUUCCUUGGGACAUGAUUGAAAUCUUGUGCACAAACAUACACUAAACAUGAUACCGGGUCUGCUUACAGUUAAAUAAAGUAAAAAUCCGAUCAUACCUCGAUACAUUUUGAUAUCCACUUCCUUGCCUUUUUCAUCUUUGUCAAGUUUGGUUGUUGUGCUCAUUGGAGUGUUUUUGGUCUUUGAGUCAUCAAUGCCGAAUCUUUUAAGCAGAUCUUUUACAUACUUGGCUUGAUUUAUGAAAAUUCCUUCCUCAUUUUGUUUUAUUUGCAGCCCAAGAAAGUACUUCAACUCUCCCAUCAUACUCAUUUCAAAUUCAUUACUCAUGCAAGAUGAAAAUUCUUUAUACAACAAUUUAUUAGUAGAUCCAAAAAUAAUAUCAUCAACAUAAAUUUGAACAACAAGUAUGUCUUUGUCCUUAUGUUUGACAAAGAGAGUAGUAUCCGCUUUACCCAUGGAAAAAUCAUUUUCUAACAAGAAAUUAUUAAGCCUAUCAUACCAUGCUUUAGGUGCUUGUUUUAAUCCAUACAAGGCUUUAAACAACUUAUAAACAUGAUUUGGAAAUUUUUCAUUUUCAAAACCAGGGGGUUGUUUUACAUACACUUCUUCCAUAAUAUACCCAUUUAAGAAAGCACUUUUCACGUCCAUUUGAAAUAAAAUGAAAUCUUUAUGAUAUGCAAAUGCCAACAACAUUCUAAUUGAUUCUAGUCUAGCAACGAGUGCAAAAGUUUCAUCAAAAUCAAUUCCUUCUUCUCGGUUGUAACCUUGAGCCACUAAUCUAGCUUUAUUUCUUAUAACCACACCGGAUUCAUCCAUCUUAUUUCUAAAUAUUCAUUUAGUACCUAUGACAGAUUGAUGUUCCAGUUUAGGAACUAAUUCCCACACAUUGUUUCUUUCAAAUUGAUUUAACUCCUCUUGCAUUACCAUAAUCUAAGAUUCAUCAUUUUCCGCAUCCGCAAAGGAUUUGGGUUCAAUUUGAGAAAUGAAUGCAUUAUGCUCACAAGUAUUCCUAAGUGAUGAUCUAGUUGUAACACCUCGUGAUGGAUCUCUUAAGAUUACAUCUUUAGGGUGAGAAGAAACAUACCUCCACUCCUUGGGGAGUGCUUGAGAAGUACCUUCAUGUUGCUCCAUAUUUGUUUGCUCUUCUUGUUCAUCCUCUUGAUUUCUUUGUUGUGCAUUCUCUUGAUUAUCCUUUGAUGGUUCUUCUUGUAACUCUCCAUCUGCAUCAUCAUAAUUUAUUCCUUUCUCCGUAGAGGAGGGGUUAGACCCAUCAAAUGUAACAUGCAUAGAUUCUUCUACAACUAGUGUAUUUUUGUUAUAAACUCUAUAAGCUUUGCUUGAGUUUGAAUAACCAAGAAAAAUACUUGUUGAGUGUUAGAAAAUGCAUAUUUAUAAAAGAGAAAAUCGUCAUUUUACAUUUCACGUCUUACUAACAACCCUUACUUUUACGUAUUUAAGCUUCUUGUAAUUUAAUUAUGUGUGUUUAUUUUAAUUAAGUAUUUUAUGUAUUUUAGGGGCAUAAUGGUCAUUUCACAAUAAACGAGAGAUCAGACGGCAAAACGGAUAUCACUUUGAACUCAGGACAGUCGAAAACCUUAGGAGGAGCAUAAAAGGAAAACUGGCACUGUUCACAUGUACAGUACUGUCUACGUUACUAUUUACGACACUAUUCACAUAGACGGAUUGAUGACGUGGCAUUGACCGAUGAUGUGGCAUUGACUAAUGAGGUGUCACGAUCCUGUUGCACUAAAAUUCUUAUGUACUGUUGAUCGAUGACGUGGCAGCAUAUCAGUGGACUAAAAAUCUCGCGUACGGUACAUGUAUUACACAGGAUUAUUUUCAACCAAACCGCGUUACUGUUCAAGCUGGGUCAAACCAUGUUACUGUUCAAACCGCGUGGUCAAACCACGUACUGUUGACUGAUGACGUGGCACAAUCCUGAGCGUCCAAACUAUUUUUAAUCUAAUGGCCAUGAUUUACUCAAUGUAUCUAUAAAAAGGGGGCCUUCCCCCCCCUAAUUUGAGAGCUCUGAAUAUAUUUUUGGACUCCAUUUUCUGUAAUUCCCUCUCCAUCUUGUAUUUUCUACGUAUUUUAAUAAAUUUCCUUUUUACCCCUAGUUCAAUUAUGAGUAGCUAAUUUUCUUUCAAGCUUGGGUUGAAGGUGAAGUCUCAACAUGUUUCAUGGGCUUUAUUUGUUAACUUUAUUUUCUCUUCCCCUCUAGUUUUUGUGGAUGUUUUGACUUCUCGUCGACAAAUAAUAAUAAUCUUGUCUAGAUACCGCCUUGGUUUCACCGGCUCUCUAGUACAAGGUUGUUAUUAUUUGGCAUGAUAAGCCCUUAGAACCAUAUUCAUUAGAGUGUGGUUCAUGAGGUGUGGAUUCCCCCCUCAUGAUUUAAUUGGUAUUAAUAAGGAAUAUUUAGCCCAUGAUGCAUGUUGAUACGGAUCCAGAUACCCAAGUACGUCAAUUUAAUAGAUUUUCACUUCAAUUUACUCUUGCCAUCUUAAUUCGAAUUUUAGGAUAAUCCAAAUCAUUUUCACCACAAAUCCAACCACCCAUUUAGAAAAUUAAUUCUACACACAAUUAAAAUCCACCUCCUCGUGGGAUCGACACUCGUCACUAUUGAUCUACACUACAAUAGAUUCGUGCACUUGCGAGUUUAAUAAAAUUUGCACAACAAGUUUUUGGCGCCGUUGCCGGGGAGGUAAGUAAUUUUAAUUCAUAGAAUUAAUUUUUGUGAAUAAUUCCAUUUAAUUUUUUUCUUGCAUUUUUUUUUUUAAAAAUGAAUCUACAUUUAAAGGUUAGUAUUUCUUUUCUUUUUCUCUUCCUUAAAAUUUUAUAAUUUAAUUUUCAAUUUAUUUUUUGUAAAUUUUUUUUGUUUAUCUUAUUAAUUUAUUUUUAGUUAAUUUAUUUCACGUAUUUAUUUUUGUGUAUUUUUAUAGAAAGGUUUUAACAGCGUGAUAAGGUUAGUAACGUAAUUUCUCCUUCUUCUUUAUUUUUAUUUGUUUUGUUCCCAUUUAUUUUUGUGUUUCUUGCAUGCAUGGUCGUAGGUCAUUAUUACCUAAUCUUGAACCUAUAGACCUUGAACUAGAAAAAACAUUUCGCACACACAAGCAUGUUAAAAAUAAAUUUGGAAUGGAUUUACAAGCACCACAAGAGAGGCCAUUUAAGGACUAUUUUAGUCCCUUAGCUAAUUUGAGCACAUCAUGUAUAAGAUACCCAAAUGUAGCUGCUAGGAGUUUUGAACUAAAACCUAGUGUGCUAAAUUGUCUCCCCACAUUCUAUGGCUUAGAAAAUGAGGACCCAUAUAAUCAUUUGAAUGAUUUUCAUGCUGUUUGUCAAACAUUUAGAUAUAAGAAUUUUUCAGAUGAUGAUGUUAAACCUUAGACUAUUCCUAUUUUCUUUAAAGGAUAGAGCUCGUUCAUGCUCAAUACAUUGCCUACUAAUAGCAUCACAUCAUGGGAACAAAUGGUAACAAAAUUUUUGAAUAAAUAUUUCCCAGUGCAUAAAACCAAUGCUAUUCGCAGGGAAAUUUCAGAGUUUACCCAGAGAGAAGACGAGCAGUUUUUCGAAACAUGGGAGCGAUUCAAUGGGCUACUCUUGAAGUGUCCACAUCAUGGGUACGAGAAAUGACAUUAAUGCUAAUACUUUUUGGAGGGAUUAUUGCCGAAUGUGCAAGAAUGGCUAAUGGCAACAAGUGGAGGAGAGCUAAUGUCAAAAAGUGCAUCAGAGAUUUGGGAAUUCUUCCAGCGACAAGCGGAUAAUUCCCAAUAACGGAGUCGGUCACUCAGGAAUACUAAAAGAAUUAAAGGAGUAAAUGAGGUUCACAUUGGCAAGUCAACUUCGGGAAUCAAAGAAGUCAAGGAGAUGGUUAAAAGUCUCUCUCGACAAAUAGUAUCGUUAUUGACUGCUAAAUCAACAGAACCACAUGACCAUGACUCAUACUCAGAUCAAGUCAAUGCCAUAGGUGUAAUGAGAAAACCAUCAAAUUACAACCCAUACUCCAACACAUAUAACCCUGGAUGGAGAGACCACCCCAAUUUUUCAUGGUCUUAAGGAUUCCAACAAAAUGGACCAGCAGCUCCAGCUCUACCAAUGCAAUAAAUUCCUCAAAAUCCUCAAGCCUCUCAGCCUCCAUUUAUACCAUACAAUCAGAACCAGAACUACUCUCAACCCAGACCAUGGGAGGAUGCAUUCCAGAAUUUCAAGAAUGUUACUCACUCUACGAUUGAGCACAGAACCGCACCAUUGAUGGACUAUGAAAUGAGUUGCGAGCAGGCUUUAACUCACAAGCCCAAUCAGUUUCAAGCCUCGAGAAGAUGGUGGGACAACUUGCUUCUUCAGUUCAGACCUUGGCAAUGACUGUUGAGAAAGGUAAAUUUUCAAGUCAACCAGUGCCUAAUCAUAAAGGAGUACAUGAAGCAAGUACCAGUUCACCACAGUAGCAUGGAGAGGUCAAAGCAGUCAUGACCUUGCGAAAAGGAAAAAAAGUCGACAACAAAGUAGACAUGUCGGUGACAAAAGAAAAUCAAAUUGUACCGGUGAGUGUUGAGGACUCACCACCAGAGGAGAAAGAAAAAGACCAACCCACGAGAAUAUAUUCCCAAAGCUCCAUUUCCUCAGAGGUUAGCUAAAGGAAAGAAGGGAAAAUUCACAGGUGAGAUUCUUGAAAUCUUCAAACAGGUAAGUGUUAACAUCCCUUUACUUGAUGCUAUAAAAUAAGUUCCAUCUUAUGCCGAGUUUUUUAAAGACCUUUGUACUAAAAAGAGAAACAUUCAUGUUCAAAAGAAAGCAUUUUUGACAAAAAAACGUUAGUUCUAUACUCCAACAUAAAAUUCCUCUAAAAUGCAAAGACCCUGGCUCCCCCACUAUCUCAUGUAGUAUAGGGAUCCACACAAUUGAGAAUGCUUUGUUGGAUUUAGGAGCUAAUGUAAAUUUGUUGUCUUACUCUGUAUUUGUAAAACUUGGACUAGGAGAAUUACACCCAACUCCAGUGGUGUUGCAGCCUGCAGAUCAGUCCACAAAAAUACCUCGUGGUAUUGUGGAGGACGUGCUUAUCCAGGUCGACAAGUUUUAUUUUCCGGUUGAUUUCAUUGUAAUUGACACUCAACCAAUACAAGAUUCAAGGAAGCACAUCCCCAUUAUCCUAGGCCGACCUUUCUUGGCAACUGCCGAUGCUCACAUUCAAUGCAGAACUGGAAAUAUGCAGUUGUCCUUUGGCAACAUGACUAUGGAGCUAAACAUCUUUAACAUUACCAAACAACCUCACAAUGCAGAUGAUGAAAUUGUUGAUCUGGAUUUAAUAGAAACAUUAGUUGAUAAUACUUUUGUUUCAAACCUUAGUGAUGACCCUUUACAAACAUGUUUAACUCACUUUGGUUUUGAUUUUGAUAUUGACAGAUCAGUUGAUGAGGUCAACGCCCUACUUGACUCAGCACCAUUUAUGGACACUAAUAAAUGGAAGUCAAGAGUUGAACAACUAGCACCAUCAGAGAAGAAACUCAUCCCAUCAUCAGAAUCACCACCGAAACUCGAGCUCAAACCAUUGCCCAACACUCUAGAAUAUGCAUUUUUUAGAGAAGAAAGUACUAUGCCGGUAAUCAUCUCAUCAUCCCUAAAUAACGAACAAAAAGGUAAGUUGUUGGAUGUUUUAAAAGAGCACAAAGGAGCAUUAGGAUGGACCAUAGCAGACAUCAAAGGUAUAAACCCAGUAAACUGCAUGCAUUACAUUCACCUCGAUGAAAAUGCUAAAUCUACUAGGGAAAUGCAACGUCGGUAAAUCCUAAUAUGAAAGAAGUUGUUAGAACUGAAGUCCUUAAGCUAUUAGACGCAGGUAUCAUUUACCUAAUUUCUGAUAGUUCAUGGGUCAGUCCUGUACAAGUUGUCCCUAAAAAGUCAGGAGUCACAGUAGUUACCAAUGCUGAUAAUGAAUUGAUACCAACUAGAGUAACUACAGGAUGGCGUGUAUGCAUUGAUUAUAGAAAGUUGAAUUCUGUCACACGUAAAGACCAUUUUCCUUUACCAUUUAUUGAUCAAAUGCUUGAUAGAUUAGCAGGCCAUGAAUUUUAUUGCUUUCUAGAUGGCUAUUCAGGAUAUAAUCAGAUUCCCAUAGCACCAAAAGAUCAAGAGAAAACCACUUUCACUUGCCCUUUUGGCACUUUUGCAUAUAGGAGGAUGCCAUUUGGAUUAUGUAAUUCACCUGCUACAUUUCAACGAUGCAUGUUAAGCAUUUUUUCUUAUAUGGUUGAACGAUUCCUUGAAGUCUUUAUGGAUGACUUUUCUAUUUUUGGUGACUCGUUUGAUCAAUGUUUACAUCAUCUAACACUAGUUCUGCGGAGAUGUAUCGAAAAGAACUUGGUCUUAAAUUGGAAAAAGUGCCAUUUUAUGGUAAAACAAAGUAUUGUUCUCGGUCACAUUAUUUCGAGCAAAGGUAUUGAGGUUGACAAAGCCAAGGUGGAUCUCAUUUCUAAUCUUCCUCCACCCAAAACAGUCAGAGAAGUAAGAUCUUUCCUUGGUCAUGCUGGUUUCUAUAGACGUUUCAUUAAAGAUUUUAGCAAAGUUUCUAGACCCUUAUGCAAUUUACUUGCUAAAGAUGAACCUUUUAUCUUUAAUGAUUCAUCUCUUGUGGCUUUUGAAAAAUUAAAGCAAUUGUUAACAUCAUCACCCAUCAUUCAGGCCCCAAACUGGAGCUUACCAUUUGAACUCAUGUGUGAUGCAUCUGAUUAUGCAAUAGGAGCAGUGUUAGGACAAAGAGUUGAUCGAAUUCACCAUGUUAUUUACUAUGCUAGUAUGACAUUGAAUGAUGCACAGUUGAACUAUUCAACUACUGAAAAAGAAAUACUAGCAGUAGUAUUUGCAUUUGAGAAAUUUCGAUCUUAUCUCAUUGGUUGUAAAAUAAUUGUAUUCACAGAUCAUGCUGCUCUUAAAUAUCUUCUCACAAAGAAAGAUGCAAAAGCUAGACUAAUUCAUUGGGUGUUACUUUUACAGGAGUUCGACUUGGAAUUGAAAGAUAAGAAAGGCAUAGAGAAUGUUGUAGCUGACCAUCUCUCUCGUCUCUAUUUUGACAUAAUUACAGAGCCAUUAACAUUGAAUGAGUCAUUUCCAGAUGAAUAAUUAAUGAGUGUGGAAGUAUUACCUUGCUAUGCUGAUAUAGUUAAUUAUCUUGUUAUAGGUCAACUUCUAGAGUAUUGGACCAAGCAAGACAAGGCUAAAUUCUUUGCAGAAAUAAAGAAUUUCUUUUGGGAUGACCCGUAUUUGUUCAAGUAUUGUGCAGAUCAAAUUGUUAGACGAUAUGUCCCAGAAAAUGAAAUUCAGAAUAUUCUUUCAUUCUGCCAUGAACAAGCUUGUGGAGGCCAUUCAGUGCUAAAAAAACAGCUACUAAAGUUUUACAAUGUAGUUUCUAUUGGCCAACUAUAUUUCGAGACGCUUACACUUUCUGUUCUUCAUGUGAUAGGUGUCAACGAAUGGGGAGCAUUACGCGAAGGAAUAUGAUGCCACUAAAUCCAUUUUUAGUGGUUGAGAUUUUUGAUGUAUGGGGUAUCGACUUCAUGGGACCAUUUCCCCCUUCUUUUGCCCAUUAAUACAUAUUGGUUGCUGUUGACUACGUAUCGAAAUGGGUAGAAGCAAUUCCAUGUAGAACCAAUGAUCACAAGAUGGUGAUAGGAUUUUUGAAAAGCAACAUUGUUUCACGCUUUGGAUUCCCUCGAGCAAUAAUCAGUGAUGGUGGUGCCCACUUUUGUAACAAAGCAUUCAAGGCUGUUUUGACGAAGUAUUCAAUCACUCACAAAGUGGCGACCCCAUAUCAUCCGCAAACUAAUGGCCAAGUUGAGAUCGCCAAUCGAGAAAUAAAGCACAUAUUAGAAAAGACGGUGAAGCCGGACAGAAAAUAUUGGUCAUUAAGACUUGAUUAUGCAUUAUGGGCAUAUAGAACGGCUUUCAAGACCUCGAUUGGGAUGUCACCCUACAGGCUAGUGUAUGGAAAAGCUUGCCACCUACCUGUGGAACUCGAGCAUCGUGCAUAUUGGGCCAUCAAGAAAUUCAACUUUGACAUGCAGCAAGCUAGCUCAUAAAGAAGAUUACAGCUGGCAGAACUUGAAGAAAUUCGCAAUGAUGCAUAUGAAAAUGCCAAGAUUUACAAGCAAUGAAUGAAAGUCUUCCAUGAUAAGUAAAUUAUGAGAAAAUCGUUCACUCCAGGUCAGAAAGUGCUUUUAUUCAAUUCUUGCUUGCACCUAUUCCCAGGUAAAUUACGCUCUCGAUGGUCUGGCCCCUUUAUUGUUCAUAUUGUUUUUCCACAUGGGGCAAUUGAAAUUAAGGACCCAAAGAACGGUGUCACGUUUAAAGUUAAUGGUCAAGGAUUAAAGCCAUAUCUAGAGUAUCAACCACAUGGAGAGGAUAUCGAAAUAAAUUUGAGUGACCCACCAGAUUUGAAUUAAGUUUUUCUUUCUUUCUUUUCGGUGAUUUGAUUUUUUUUUCUCUCUUUUUAUUAUCUUUGCUAAUUGAAAUUAUUUUUGCAUAAGUGUGUUUGUUUAACCAUUAAGUUUUUGUUUCUUAUCAUUGUUAAUCAUGAGCAUCAUACUUAAACCGUUCCUCCUGAACAUUCUUAAACCACUUCAACGUGUAAAAUCUCAUCUCAAAAGCAGAUUCAAUUUUGUAAAACACAUCGUAUUUGGGCUCUGCAACCACCAGAGUUAGUAUCCUAUGUUGAGGGUUUAGAAAGCCAACUUAGAGACAUUGAGAGAAGUGUUUACGACAUCCAGUUGGAGCUUGGGUAAAUUCAAUAAGAGGACGAUUUUAAUUUUCUUUGUGUGUUUUAAUUUGUUUUUCUGUUUGUGUGCUUUAGUUUGUUACCCCGAUGAAGUGGCGGAUAACGGUACUCUGUGACAAUUAAGUCGGUUACUUCAGUUUUCCCAUAAUAACUGAUAUUCUGAGGCGAAGGUAUGGACAGAAAUGAGAUUCUAACGAAGCUUCAUAAGCGAUACCCUUCACUUCCUCAGAAUGCCCUCCGUACAAUCUAUAAAGCCCGGUCCGAAUGCAUGCGAUUGCUCAUGAGGAAUAACAUACCUACUGACAUCCGUUGGUUAAUCGAGGCUAAAGUACGAUUGGCAGGUGAGUUACCUCCAAAAUUUAUUGCAUACAUGCCUGGUUGUGGUAAAGGAAAUUAUGCAAGAAAACGACGAGCUUAAAGAAUUUAUGUUGCUUGUGUUGCUUGUCGUAAGUGUGCCAGAAUGAGUUGCGAUAAAAAACCAUGUUCUUUAAGAAUGAUGUCUGAUAACAGAGAAGAUAAGAUUCAAUUCAUUAGGGAUGGCUUGAAUAAGGAGUCAUUGGAUGAUAUCCUUUUGUCUCUUGAAACACAUCCCAGUGGAUAUGUGCAAGGAGCGAUUCUCCAGUUAUGGCCAUUAUUCCAGAAAGAGCAUGCACGAUAUAGUCUCGGGAAUCUGACUAUAAACGACCAUGUUUGCAAGUUUAUAAGAAAACUGGAUUGGAAGCCUAUCCUCGACCCAUAGAGGGCGUUCAAGCCGUUUCUGGACGUAAAACUAGAGGAAGAUGUGAGCCACAGUCGCAACUACCUGUAAAUAUCCUUUUACUUCACUGUUAUUUUAUUUCACUGUUAUUUUAUCUUUUCCAUUAUUGUCUUUAACAAUUUUAUUUUAUCAUUAUUUCUUUUUCUUUUUACUGUUUCCUUUUUGACUCGCGAUCCAUGUGCUUUACGCGUUAUUUGACACUGACAUUCCACCUCAUACACAGUUGUGACCCACUGUCACCAAGAUUCUUAAAUAUGACUUUUUGUUAAGUACUCACAAAUUAUUUUUGAGAAAUAUUCCAAUGGCAGCUACUCUCAAUAGACAAUUCAAGAACAUUUGUGUGCUUUCUAGAUUUAACUAUGGCAAAUAUAAAGAGUUCGUUGAGGCAGCCAUAGAUCUUGGUCGAAGCAUAGCAGAGAUAAAAUUACACUUGGUGUAUGGAGGAGGUAACCGAGGGUUAUCCAAAUUGGUCUCAGAAGCUGCUUUUAUCAGAGGAAAGCCAAGUGUUAGGCAUCAUCCCAAGAGCCCUAAAACCUUUGGGCAGUUUGAUUGACUCAUCGAUUGGAGAAGAGUUAGUUGUCUCAGGUAUGCAAGAAAGAAUAACUGAAAUGCUUAAUUAUGCUGAUGCUUUUAUUUUCCUUCCAGGAGAUCUUGCAACACUAGAGGCACUUAUCACACUAGCAUCUUGGACCCAUCUGCACAUUCACCAGAAACCCAUCGGUUUGUUAAAUGUCAAUAACUUUUAUGAUGGCUUCAUCGCAUUUCUUAACCAUGCAAUAAAAAACUAUUUCGUUCCUUCCAAUACGAAAAAGCUUUUUAUUUGUGCUCACACUGCUAAUGAGCUACUUGAUAUGUUACAAGCUUAUAAACCAGAGCCAGACCCCUGGACCUUUGUGUUGGAGUGUCUAAAAAAUGACGGUAACAGUAGCCGUAGUAAGAAGUACAAAUUAGAUUUAACCCUCCACCUGUAAAUAUUUUCUUCUGUAUUGCACCACCCAGGUGAAGUCUUCUAAACUCUACUUCUUUCCUUUAAAACAUUGAGGACAAUGUUUUGUUCUAGUUGGGGGGAGGGAAUAGUCGACAAUUGUGGAAUCUUGGUUAAGUUUUUACUGAUUUUUUGUUGUAAAAACUAACUAUUGCUAACUUUUUGCGUUGAAGAUGGCUGAAUAUGGAGUGUAGUGACUCUAGAAACGCAUCUUCAUUGUUUGAAAAAAAAAAUUAAAAAAAUAAUUUUCAGACAUUUUCUUUUUCUUUAUUAUGUUUUGAUGUUCAUAUUUCUUCUUCUGUUUAAUUUCUCCUUUAUAAAUAUACAUUUUCAAUUUUGUUUUUAAUCGAAGAUGGCUGAAUAUGGAGUGUAGUGCCUCUAGAAACGCAUCUUCUUAAGUUAAAAAAAAAAAAACCAUUUUCAUUUUCUAUCAUUUUCUAAUUAGUUUUUCUGCAUCAUUUUCACAUUUUUGCAUGCAUAUUUUCCUUUCAUGUUUAGCAUAGGUUGGGGGGUAGGAUGUUGUUUAAAAAAAAAAAUUGUGUGAUUUGUUUUAACAUUGGAUGACAUGAUUAAUUUCAAAUUUUAGUAUUUACGCUAUGUUUGCUACUUUACAUGUUGAUGUGGGAGACAAAUAUGAGUUGCUUGAAGGAAUGAACAUGUCAUAAUAAGUACCAAGUGAGUUUUUGAGCCUAUUAUUUUUCUUGGAGAGUAACCAUUUUGCCCAUUCUUUAUACAGCUUAGCAGUUUAUUAUUUUAUACACGAUCUCUAGAUUUCUUUUGAGUUAACCCUUAAAAAAAAAUUGUAAAAUUAAAAAAAAAUGAGAAAAAAAAUGUGUGUUGUUACAUUUGGAGGCCCAUCUAACUAGUAGAUAUGGAAGAUUAUUUAUAGCCCUAAAAGACGAUGGAAAGGCCAUCUUUGAUCCGUUUGAGCCUUUCUAGCCAUCCCUUUUAUGAAAUAUCCGUAGUUAACCCUUUUGAGCCUUUAAAAAAAAAAUAUUUUCUUUGUCAAACUUAUCAUCUUGACCCACUCCGAUUUGGAGUAUUACCCAAUAUCUUACAUGUUUCAUCACCUAUUUAUGUUUGAGAAAAAUGUAAAUAAUUAUUUUGUUCAGUGAAGUUGUGCCAAACAAAAACAAAAAAAAAAGAGAAAAAAAAAGAAAAAAAAUUGUUGUUUAAAAAAAACAAUAAUAGGUGAAAUCUACCUUGCAACUCCUAAAAAAAAAAUAAUUUUUAUACAUUUUUCUCAAACAUACACUUUGUUUUCCUUAUUUUCCCUCAUUUGUUAGCCAUGUCCCUAACCUACGUUACGUCCUAAUAAAAGUCCUUUUUGAUUUUAAGGAACUAUAGUCUGAAGUAGAAGCUAGUUAUAUGGGCUAAAAAUAUGUAGUGGUGCAUAAAAAAAAUAAUAAAUAAAUAAAUUGGGUUGACUAGCAUUUUUAUUUGACUUAAGAUCGUAUUAUUUCUAAGCUGAGGGCAUAUUUCUUUCAUCUUGGUGAGAGCAUGUGAUAUCACUUCUUUAUUAUUUUCUCUCAAUUACCAUUCAUUGGAGUGACUAUUUUUAUUGGGUUUAAUUUCUUUGUGAGAGUGUCACUACUUCCAGUGAGAUUUUGGGGUUUGACAUGUCAUUCUUGAAAGUAGCUAUGACAAAGUUUACUGGGCUGAUUCAUGUGGAUGAUUGAUGUGGGUGUGAUGUUUCUUUAGACUGAAGAUAAUGCUUAUACUUUUAUUUGAUUACUAUCAUUAGUCUGAUUCAAUAAACAUGAUUGUUUUAAAAAAAAUCAUUUUGGAUUUGAAUUUUUUUUUCGCUUUAUUUGCUAGGGACUAGCAAUAAGCUGGUUGGGGGUGUGUUGAGUGUUAGAAAAUGCAUAUUUAAAAAGGAGAAAAUCGUCAUUUUACCUUUCACGUCUUACUAACAACCCUUACUUUUACGUAUUUAAGCUUCUUGUAAUUUAAUUAUGUGUGUUUUAUUUUAAUUAAAUAUUUUAUGUAUUUUAGGGGCAUUAUGAUCAUUUCACAAUAAACGAGAGAUCAGACAGAAAAACGGACAUCACUUUUGAACUCAGGACGGUCGAAAACCUUAGGAGGAGCAUAAAAGGAAAAAUGGCACUGUUCACAUGUACGGUACUGUCUACGUUACUGUUCAUGACACUGUUCACAUAGACGGAUUGAUGACGUGGCAUUGACCGAUGAUGUGGCAUUGACUGAUGAGGUGUCACGAUCCUGUUAGACUAAAAUUCUUAUGUACUGUUGAUCGAUGACAUGGCAGCAUAUCAAUGGACUAAAAAUCUCGCGUAUGGUACAUGCAUUACACAGGAUUAUUUUCAACUAAACCGCGUUACUGUUCAAGCCGGGUCAAACCGUGUACUGUUGACUGAUGACGUAGCACAAUCCUAAGUGUCCAAACUGUUUUUAAUCCGAUGGCCAUGAUUUACUCAAUGUAUCUAUAAAAAGGGGCCUCCCCCCCUAAUUUGAGAGCUCUGAAUCCAUUUUCUAUAAUUCCCUCUUCAUCUUGUAUUUUCUACGUAUUUUAAUAAAUUUCCUUUUUGCCCCUAGUUCAAUUAUGAGUAACUAAUUUUUUUUCAAGCUUGGGUUGAAGGUGAAGUCUCAACAUGUGUCAUGGGCUUUAUUUGGUAAAUUUAUUUUCUCUUCCCCUCUAGUUUUUGUGGAUGUUUUGACUUCUCGUCGACAAAUAAUAAUAAUCUUGUCUAGAUACUGCCUUGGUUUCACCGACUCUCUAGUACAUGUUUGUUAUUAUUUGGCACGAUAAGCCCUUAGCACCAUAUUGAUUAGAGUGUGGUUCAUGAGGUGUGGAUUCCCCCCUCAUGAUUUAAUUGGUAUUAAUAAGGAAUAUUUAGCCCAUGAUGCAUGUUGAUACGGAUCCAGAUACCCAAGUACGUCAAUUUAAUAGAUUUUCACUUCAAUUUACUCUUGCCAUCUUAAUUAGAGUUUUAGGAUAAUCCAAAUCAUUUUCACCACAAAUCCAACCACCCAUUUAGAAAAUUAAUUCUACACACAAUUAAAAUCCACCUCCUCGUGGGAUCGACACUCGUCACCAUUGAUCUACACUACAAUAGAUUCGUGCACUUGCGAGUUCAAUAAAAUUUGCACAACAAUAUCAAUAUUAGAUUUUGGAUCAAAUUUGCCAAGAUUGUCUUUUGUGUUCAAAAUAAAACAUUUGAAGCCAAAAACUUUGAAAUAACCAAUAUUGGGUUUUCUAUGUUUCCAAAGCUCAUAUGGAGUUUUGUUAAGGUUAGGUCUAAUCAACACACAAUUUAAAACAUAACAAGCGGUGUUGACGGACUCGGCCCAAAAAUACUUAGGCAAUGAAAUUUCAUUCAACAUAGUCCUAGCCAUUUCUUGAAUGGAUCUAUUCUUUCUCUCAACAACUCCAUUUUGUUGUGGAGUUCUAGGUGAUAAAAAUUGAUGCUCAAUGCCAAAAUCAUUACAAAAAAUCUGAAAUGCAUGAUUUUCAAACUCUCCUCUAUGAUCACUCCUAAUGCAUGCAAUAUCAUACCCUUUUUCAUUUUGUAUUUUCUUACAAAGCACUUUAAAGGCAUCAAGAGCAUCAUCCUUAUUGGCUAAGAAUAAUACCCAUGUAUAUCUAGAAUAAUCAUCCACUAUCACAAAUGCAUAAUAUUUGUCAUUUAGACUAGCAUAUCUAGAAGGUCCAAAUAAAUCUAUGUGAAGAAGUUGAAGUGGUUUUGAAGUAGAAAUAUGAUUUUUAUUUUUGAAAGAUGUUUUGAUUUGUUUUCCAAAUUGACAAGCUUCACAAAUCUUAUCUUUUUUAAAAUCAAUUUUUGGAAGACCUUUAACUAAAUCAUUUUUCGAAAUUUUCGAAAUCAAAUCCAUACUUGCAUGUCCUAACCUUCUAUGCCAUAACCAACUAUCAUCAUGCAAUGCCGAAAAACAUUUAUCAAGAGUAGAUGCACAUUCUAUGUCAAUGAUACAAACAUUACCACAUCUAUUCCCAACAAAUAAGAUCUUGUCAUCACAUGAAUUCUCAAUAACACAACUAAAUUUAUCAAAAAUAACUUUAUAACCUUUGUCACAUAAUUGACUAAUACUAAUUAAGUUGUGUUUCAAGUUCUCAACCAAACAAACAUUCUUAAUUAGAGUUGAGGAAACUUUACCAACAUUUCCAAUUCCAAGAAUUUUUCCUUUUGAGUUGUCUCCAAAAGAUACGUCUCCACCAUUUUCAAUUUUGGUGAAGCUUGAGAACCAUGCAUAGUUUCCGGUCAUGUGCCUUGAACAACCACUGUCCAAGUACCAUUUAUUUUUCUUCUUCUUCAAGCCCUACAAAGAAAAACUCAAGUUUUAGGUACCCAAAGCUUUUUGGGUCCUUGAGAGUUAGUAGUGAUUCCUUUUGGAACCCAAAUGCAUUUCAUACCAUAAUAUGCAUUUCUUUUUACUGGACAUCUAUUUUUCAUAUGACCAUCUUGAUUACAAAAAUGACAUACAAUCUUAUGAUCACUUGUAGAGGUAGCUUUAACAAAAUAAUUCUUAUAAUACUUUUGCUUCAAGUUAGGCUUUUACCCAAGUCAUCCUUUAUCAAAAACACAUUUUUGUGAGUUAAGCAUAUUGUCCAACAUCUUUUGCCAAUUUGUAAAUUUCAAAACAACCUCAUUCAACUCAUUGCUCUUUUUCUUAAGCAUUUGGUUUUCAUUUUUCAAAUCAUCUAUGUGUGAUUCUAAAUACUCAUGUGAGAUGCUAGGUUUCUCAUUUGAUAAUGCAAUUUCAUCAUGCAAUGUUUUGUUCUCUACUUCUAGGCAUGCAAUUCUUGCAUUUAGAGAUUCAUUUUCAUUUUUAAACUUCGUCAUUUCCUUUUUAAGACAUACAUUCUUUUUACUAAUCUUCAUCAACUCAUUAUGCAAUUCUUUAAAAGCAUCAUACAAUUCAUCAUAGGUGGGAUCACUUACCUUAUUGAGAUCAUCAUCCGCUCCUAUUGCCAUAAGCGCUAGGUUUGAUACUUCUUGCGACCAUUCUUCAUCACUUGAAUCUUCCUCGCUAUCAUCCCAAGUUGCAACCAUGGCUUUCUUCUUGAGUUUGUUGUUAAGUGGGCACUCCGAUCUUAUAUGGCCAGGCUUCUUGCAUUCAUAGCAUGUGAUUACCUCUUUCUUCUCCCUUUGGUUCUUGAAGUUUCUGAAAUUUCUUCGCUCUCUCGUUUUCUUGAAGAAUUUUCUGAACCUCCUUGCUAGCAUGGCCAGUUCUUCAUCAUCCGGUUCACUCUCCCCAUCACUCUCAUAUUUUGAAGCUUUGAGAGCAAUGCUUUUUUUCUUCUCCUCAUGCCCUUUUUCUGCGGCCAAAUCUUCUUCACAUGAAAUGAGAGAACCAAUUAAAUCAUCAAGAGGUAAAGCAUUUAAAUCUUUGGCCUCUUCAAUAGCGGUUCUUUUAGGUCUCCAUUCUUUUGCAAGUGACCUAAUGAUUUUCUUAACUUUCUCGAUAUUUGAGAAGACCUUUCCUAAGGCUCCUAGGGUGUUUACUAUGUCCGUAAAUUUCGUAUACAUAGAGUACACACUCGCAUUUUGUUCCAUUUAGAACAACUCAUAUUGUCGAGUGUACCUACUGAUUUUUUACUCUUUCACUUGAUUUGUGCCUUCAUAAAUUACUUCAAUUUUGUGCCAAAUUUCAUUGGCACUUUCACAACUAGAGACUCGAUGAAAUUCUUUUUUAUCAAGUGCACAAAAUAAAGCAUUCAUAGCUUUGGAAUUUAGAGAAACUUUUCUCUUUUCCAAUUCAUUCCAUUCCCUUGAAGGUUUUGGAAUAUCUUCCCCAACUUCAUUUUUAUUUAGGGGCAAAAACGGACCAUCACAUACAACUUCCCAAAUUUCAUAAUCUAGUGCUUGUAAAUAAAUUCUCAUCCUAGUUUUCCAAUAUGGGUAGUCAUUUCCGUCAAAGAACGGUGGUCUAGUUGUGGACUGUCAUUCCCUAAAGGUUGAGUCAUUUUGGGUUACCAUGGAUCUUUUACUCUAGACGGUUAAGUCCUAACAAGAGAACCAAGCUCUGAUACCAAAUGAAAUACAAGUGUGCAACCCAAGAGGGGGGUGAAUUGGGAUUCUAAAAAAUUAUUUGAUUCUAAACUAAUUAUCAACCAAAUCUAAAAUGAAUUUAAUGGAAUAACACUUAAAUCAAUUACAAUAUAAAAAGAUAAGGGAAGAGAGAUUCAAACACGAAGAUUUUUAUGUGGUUCGGCCAACCUCGCCUACGUCCAUGCCUCCAAACUUUCCGGGCUUGAGGAUUUCACUAAGCACACCUCCAAGGCUUCAAAUGCUUACACUUGACUUCCAAGGUGUCAAUGAACCUUUACAAUAAGAGAUUAUCCCCAAUCUCUUAACCCAAGUGUAUCCCAACACUUACAAUCACUCAAAGUAAAAGAUUAAAAAUUAUUUUUCUCUCACACAAUAUUUAAGAUUACAAAUCAAUGCCCAAUGUGUGAAUAGAUGAAGCAAGAAUGUGUUUUAAAGCUCUAUGAAGAUUGUAUUCUCGAAUAUAAGCUCAAUGGUCGUGUUGUGAUCAAUCUUGUUUGAAUUUGAAUGAGCUUAUUUAUAGUUGGAGCUGAAAAACUAGCCGUUACAAACUAUCUACUCGAAAACGGUUCGCCGUUAACUAUUAAUGGUUAACCAUUUAGGCCGGUCAAAAGUUACCGUUAGGCCAAAUUUCAAAUAAACGGUUUGCCGUUUAUGGUUACCCUUUCGCCGUUAAUUCCCAGAGACCUGCAAGAUGAACAUCAGUUAUCUGUUUAUAUUAAACGGUUAAGGAUUUGCAUGAAAUGACUUCUCUGGAAAUUAUCUGUUAGCCGUUUGUAAUUAAUGGUUCGCCGUUUGUUUCCAGUAACCUGCAAAACGAGUUAGCUUUAUCCGUUUCAGUUAAGCUUUUGCCGUUUGUUUCCAGGUACAAUCUUUCAUUCUCGAUUUUAUCGGUUAACCGUUUCAAUAAACGGUUCGCCGUUAAAUUCCAGUAGCCUUCCGAGCUUUUUGUGUUUUCCGUUUUUCUUAAUCGUUUAGAGCUUAGGCAAUAUGUUGCUCUUUGUUUUUAGUCGAUUAACCGUUUAAAUAAACGGUUCACCGUUUAUUUCCAGAAUAACAGUUUAAGCCAGAUUUUGCUGAGAAUCAUUUUCCAAUUUGAAAUUUAACAGUGAUCCAUCUUUUAUGAAUAUAAUUGGAAUGUUUAUAAGGCUCUCAUUUAUUAAGAAAUAGCUCCAACAUUUUAGUCAAAAAUCAUUUAAAGUUUGUUAUCAUCAAAAUCAAUAUUAUUAACAUAUUCAUGUUAACAAGUUUCAGCUUUUCUUUUCUUGUCUUUUUGUUGUAAUGCUCUUGAGAUGUUAUGAAUUAAACAAACACACGUUCGUAAUCACACGCUCUUAUUAGAUAGGAAGCAUCAUCAAUAGAAGAAUCAAAUUCUCAAAUCGGGUGGCCAAAAAGACUUGAGGCAAUGAAUUAAGUCUUUUGAGCAAGUUGGGGGAUUCAGGCCUACUUGUGGGUUGAAUAGAAAAGUAGCAGCAAGCGGAUAACAAGUCUAAUGAGCCAAUAACUAAUGCUCUUUUAAUUUGGUCACCGUGUUGGGGGACUUGGAGGUAAACUUGUCGCCAGCCAGCAUGUUAAUGAAACUUAAAAAUGUCGAAGAUUUUAAGUUUCAUCAUCUUAGCUUUGCUUGUAGUAGGAAACACUAAAGGCACACCUAUUUCAGCAUGUCAUACUCGCCAAGAAUCUAAUCCAAAUGCUUCAUUUUCCUUUAAUCCUGCAGCACACCUAACAUUAUUUAUUGUUCAGGGUUUACAAGGGAAGAGUAUUUGAUCGAGAAGUUAAAAAAGGCUCCUAAAGACUAUAUCUACCCUUGUUCUGCAAGGGAUGCAAAUGAAUUUCAUAAUAAGUUAUUUAUUUUAUCUUCUAUGAGUGCUUUUACAAUAAUGAUCAACUGUAGUGGAAUUAAAACUGUGUUUUAGUAAAAGAAGAAAUUAUCCAUUAUGAGUAUGCAAUAUUUUGUCAUGUGUUUUUUGUGCGUGUGUCUAGUGUUGUUGACUCCUACAAAUUCAAGACCCGAAUGUGGUUAUCGCGAAGAGUAACAUGUAGGAUUAAUUAGUACCAUGAAUCUUCAUCAAAUAGUUAGUAUUCAACUUUUCUUGCUUUGUCUCUCUUCUGUAAUGCUUUUGGAUGCUAUGAUUAAGUAAAUACAAGCUCUAAUUCAUGCACUUAUUCGAUAAGAAGCACCAUAAAAAGAAAAAAGGGAAAUUAUCAUUGCACCACCUUUCUUUUACCUUAUAUUCAUCCAACCACCGCAAAGUUCUAACAUAUUCAUCACUUGAAUAUAAUUAAUUUCAAUUUCAUCACUUGAAAUUAUCAUUGCACCACCUUUCUUUUGCCUUAUGUAAUUAUAACCAAAAUUUUAAUUUCAUCACUUGAAAAUAAAAAUAUUGACUUUUAAUUUCUUUUACUUUAUGUUAUUUUAUUUAAGAAAAAGUUUUUGGUAAUUACAAAAUGGUUUAAAGCAAUAGUUUCUAAAUGCAAAUAUGUAUUCUUUUAUUUAUUUACGAUAGAUAGUUUGGCUUUAAUUUAAGAUAUGUCUUUUAAUUUUAGACAUUUCUUUAUUUUUAUUAUAUAACUAAAUAAUAUAAUAUUUAUACUUGAUGGACGACUUAAAAAUGAUAAUAUGUUAAUUUUUAUGUAGCUAGUAUGAUAAGAAAAAACUUUUGAUAAGACAAUAGUGAAAGCAGAGAUAACAAUAAGAUUAAUCAUUUAAUGAUGCAAAAUAUGGGCUUCGUGGUGUUGGCUCCUGCAAAUUCAAGACCUAAAUGUGGUUACCACUAAGAAUAACAAGUAGGAAUUUUAAUCAAUAUUGUUAGUUUUAACUUUUCUUUUUCUGUCUUUUUAUUGUAACACUCUUGAGAUGUUAUAAAUUAAAUAAAUACAAGUUCCUAAUCACACGCUCGUAUUACAUAGGAAGCAUCAUAAAAAAGAAGAAAUAAAUUCUCAAACUGAGUGACCAAAAAGACUUGAGGUAAUUAAUUAAUGGUGUGUUUACUUCCUGGAUUGGGGAAUCAGAAUAAGAAUGAUUGACGGCGUUUACUUCGCAAAAAUGGAGCAGAAAUCAGAAUCAAAAUUGUGGGACCCAUCACUAUUUGGGAAUGGGCAAAUUGAUUCCUAUGGGGGGAGGUGGGAAUCAAUCUCUCAUUCCCUAGAGUUCCCAUUUUGCCUCCAUUGACAUUCAAAUUUUCCUAAAAUGCCCUUCCUUUAAAUAAAAAAUAUAAAUAUCAAAAAUAAAAAAGCCAAAUAUAUAAUUAAUUAUAUUAUUAUAAUUAAUUAAUUCUUAUAUUAUAGUUAAUUAGUAUAUUGAUACAUUAUUAACAAGAAUUAUUAAUAAUUGAAAUUUUAAAUAAAUAAUCACAAUAAUUAAUAUAUUAUAAUUAUAAUUAAUUAAUUACUAUACUAUUAUAAUAAUUAUUAAUAUAGUUAUUAUAAUUAAUUCAUAUACUAUCAUUAAUUAAUUGCAAUAAUUAGCACUAUUAAUUAAUAUAAAACUAUAAUUAAUAAUAAUAAUUAUUAUAAUUUAUUCAUAUAUUAUUAUUAUUAAUUAAUUAAUAUAAUUAUUACUAUUAAUUAAUAUAUUAAUACAUUAUUAACAACAAUAUAUUAAUAAUUAUAGUUUUUGAAUAAAUAAUCACAAUAAUUAAUAUAUUAUUAUAAUUAAAUAAGUAAUAUUAAUAUUAUUAAUUAAUAUAUUUUAUAAUAAUUAUUAAUAUAAUUAAUUCAUUAAUAAUUUUUAUAAUUAAUUAAUAUAUCAAUAUAUUAUUGACAAUAAUUAAUAAUAAUAAUAAUUUUUUUUCAAUAAAUAAUCACUAUAAUUCAAAUAUAAAAUAAUAAUUAUGACAAUAAUUCAUUAAGUACUUUUUAGUAAUUUGUUACAAUCUAACUCAUUUCGAUUCCGAUUCCAAGACAAAGUUAACACAUUUAUGGUAAUCCAGCUCAUUCCGAUUUCGAUUCCUACAAUUCAAGUAAACAACUUAUUCUGAUUCUCAUUCCCUAUUCCCAUUUCAGCUCAUUCUCAUUCCUGCCCAUUCUGAUUCCAGCUGAUUCCGAUUCCAAUUUAGUAAACACAACAUAAGUCCUUUGGGCCAGUUGGGGGAUUCAGCGCUACUGUGUGGAUUGAAUAGAAAAGUAGAGGCAAGUGGAUACAAGUCAUUUGACAUAUAAUUGAUUUCUUCUCCAAUUAAAAUAAUUCUUCUUUACACGUGAUUAUUGUAAUCUCCUCUUCAGAUGUGAUCUGUUCGUACUCAGUUUUGAUUAAUGAAAGAGUGUGAAUUUUUCCUUCAAAUCUGGUAACUUGUUCUUUGCAAUCCAAUUCUAUUUUCUAUUCUUUUCUCUGUUCUUUAUCAAUUUUGAUUCCAAAUCGAUCUUGAUUGAUUAAAUAUUGAAGUAUUGAGUCAGUUCUUGUAAUUAGCCACUACAAAUUACAACAAACACAAUUACAAAAAUUCUUAAGAAAUAAGUUAGUAAGGCAUGUAGAAUACAAGAUUGCCUAACAUCCGAUGAUAAUUUAUCUAAUCAAUCCGUUCAUUCAACAUGAGUUACCAAUUGAAUUGAUGUGGGCAUAUCAACACGACAAAUGUGUCAGGAAUAAUAUGAAAAGUUUUCUUAUAUUAAUUGAGGUAAACUUUAAUUCAUGCCCCUUCUAAUAACAAUCUUCAGUUUACCCUCUAAGAGCAUGAGAACCUCAAUUUACACUAAUUUGUUUUUUCAAAAAAUGAGCUUAAAUAGGGGGUAGAUUGAUGAUCUUUUAUUUAUUUUCGUAGUAGUAAAUGGGGGUGAAUUGAUUUUUUCUCAUUUUUUGUAGUAAAUUGAAGGUUCUCUAUACAUAAGUUGAAUUUAGCCAUAAAUUAAAUCAGAUAGGUUAGUAAUAUAAGAUUUAGAAAAAAAAUAGAUUUUGAUAAAAAUAGGAUCUAUAUAGCCUCACCCUAAAAGAAAAUAGAUUUAAAAUCUAAAUAUUACGUACGGUACUAACAUUGUAAUUAUGAUUGCUUGAUCAAUAUUAGCGUUUCAACUAAUUUUUCUCUCAUAGAUUGAUUCCAUGAUACGUAUAAAACAAAGCAAACCAAAAACACACACAAAAAAAGAACAUGACAAAACAUUAAGCACUCAUAACGGAUUAAUUUCUUCUUUAAUUAAAACAUAGUUUUAAUUUCACUACGAUUAAUCAUUAUCAUAAAAACACUAAUAAAAGAUAAAAGAAAAAACUGAUUAUCAAAAUCUUUUACAUUCCCCUCGAGGCAUGUGUAGGUAUAGUAAUUUCUCGAACAAAUAAUUUUCGCUUGUAAGCCUAGGGAAAUAGAAAAUGAAGCAUCUAGGCUAGCAUGCAUUUAGUGUUUGCCAUUACAAGCAUGAUGAAACUGAGCUCUUUGACAUUUUUUCAAAUUUUUAAUUGAAUUCUAAAAAGCUUAAUUUGAAUUAAAAUGGAUGUGUCAGAAUUAGAAAGGCAUGAGUCUCUAUUUAUAUAAAGGAAUAUUGAGAAAUGUGUUGUAGUGACCUUAAUGUAAUUGAAAAGAAUCCAAAAUGAAGCUUUAAUAAAUUACACUACGUUUGUUUGAAUAAACUAUUGAUUUUAAUAUCUUGAUGCAUUAUGGAGGUAAUUUCAACAUGUAUUUAAUUAAUUUUAUCAUUUUUAUCUUAUUAUUUUGUUUAGUUUAUUAUUAGAUUUUUUCUCUUUAUAUCAAUCGUCAGGCUGCUCUUUUUAAUUGAUAAAAAUAUUUCUAUAAAUGACGUCCUCCAAUGAAAUUAUCCACAUCCUAUAUUUUAGACAAGCAGUUGGCGCAAUGUAAUGCUAGAUAUUUAUGUGGAUAUACAAUAAAGCCUUUAUAAAUUAAUAAUGUCAAAAUCAUGCAAUAUCUAUUAAUAUAAAGAGAUAUUCAAAAUGAAGUUUAAAUAACUUAUGCUGCGUUGGUUUUAAUAAACUGUUGAUUUUAAUUUCUUGUUGCAUUAUGAAGGUGAUUUCAACAUCUAUUUAAUUAAUUUUAUCAUUUUUUCUUAUUAUUUUGUUUAGUUUAUUAUUAAUUUUUUUCUCUUUAUAUCAAUCGCUAGCCUAUUCUUUUCAAUAUGUAAAAAUAUUUCUAGAAAUGAUGUCCUCGAAUGAAAUUAACCACAACCUAUAUUUUAGGUAGGCAAAUGGCGCAAUACAUUGCUAGAUAUUUGCAUGGAUAUACAAUAAAGCCUCUAUAAAUUAAUAAUGUCAUAAUCAUAUAAUAUCUAUUAAUAUAAAGGGAUACUAAUCCAAAUUAAUCUAUUAGUUAAUAAUCUAUUAAUUCAUUGUGUAUAUACAAUUCAGUGAACAUAUAUUUAAUCAACUAGAUAAUUCAUAGUAUUUUACCAAUCUAGCCAAUUCAAAGUUAGUUAGUCCCCUAAAUAUAGAUUACAAUUAACAAAAAAAAAAUAGAAUCCAUGUAGUUGUGAAUUCAGCAAGAAUAAGUAAUAUCAUAUAUGAGAUCCCACUAUGUUUAGAUUUGAAGAAAAACAAAUAAUAAUAGAUUCAUGUUUUAUUUAAUAACAUAUUAUAACAAUUAUGUUUGUAAGCCUAGCAAAUUAUUAUUUUGUAGUAAGAAUGUGACCAUAGAAUUAUAAAACAUAAUCUCUUAUGCAACUUAUUGAUUGAUUAAUAUCAAUAUCUCUUUAAAUAAAUAGAUGUUUUGUGAUUUCUUUAUUAUUAAUUUAUAAAAGUAUUACUAUAUAUCCAUGCAAAUAUAUGGGAUUGAUUGUGUCACUAGCUUGCUUAAAAUAGGAUGUGGUUAAUUUCAUUGGAGGGCGUGGCUUAUAGAAAUGUGUUUACAUAUUAAAAAAAAAUAGUUUGACGAUUGAUAUAAUGAGAAAGAAUCUAAUAAAAAACUAAACAAAAAAAUAACACUAAAAACGAUAGAAUUAAUUAAAUGUAUGUUAAAAUUGCCGUCAUAACGGAACAUGAUAUUCAAGUCAAUAGUUAAUUUAAACAAACAUAGCCUAAUUUAUUUAAUCCUCAUUUAUGGAAUCUUUCAAUUCCAUUAAAGUCACAGCAACACGUUUCUCAAUAUUCAUUCAUAUAAAUGGAGACUUAUGCCAUCCUAAUUGUUGUAGAUCUCUUUUACUUCUAAUUAAGUUACUGAUAAUCCACCUAAGAAGCAUAAAUAUGUUGAGAAGCCUUAGUUUCAUCAUCUUGGCUUUGCUUGUAGUGGCAAACACUGAAAGUAGACUUAUUUUAGCCAGUCACAUUGGCGAAGGAUCUAACCCAGAUGCCUCAUUUUCCAUUAAUCCUACAGCAUCACCUGACAUUGUUGAUUGCUCAGGGCUUACAAGGGAAGAGUGUUUGAUUGCAGAGUUAAAGAAAGCUCUCGAAGAUUAUAUCUACCCUUGUCCCCCAGGGGGAUGCAAAAAAAUUGUGUAAUCAGUUAUUUAUUUUAUCCUUUAUGAGUGCUUUUACAAUAAUGAUCAAUUGUAGUGAUAUUGAAAUUGUCUUAAUAAAAGAAGAAAUUAAUCCAUUAUGAGUAUGUGUUGUUAUGUCAUGUGUCUUUUAUGCAUGCAUUUGACGCUAUUUUGUUGUAUAUUUAUCGUUGACUUAAUCUACGAUAGAGGAAUCUGUUGAAAAACUAAUAACGAUCAGUAUUACGUUCAUCUUCUAAACAAAAUUUGAGGUAAGUCUAGAUUUCCAUGUUUUUGAAGGGUAAAUUGAAGAUUUUUAUUGGCAAGGGGAUGAAUUGAAGUUUGCCCCAAUUCAUAUAACAAAAUUUUUCCUAUUAUUCGGGCCCAUAUUGGCUUUUUAAAUUCUUUUAUUUUAUGUUAUUUUAUUUCAUUGAAGAAAAAGUUUUUGGUAAUUACAAAAUGGUUUAAAGUAGUUGUUUCUAAAUGCAAAUAUGUAUUCUUUUAUUUAUUUGGAUGGCUAGUUUGGCUUUAAUUCAAUAGAUGUUUUUGAAAUUUAGUUGUUUCUUUAUUUUUGUUAUAUAACUAAAUAAUAUAAUAUUUAUACUUGAUUGACGACUUAAAAAUGAUAAUUUGUUAAUUUUUAUGCAGCUAGUAUGAUAAGAUAAAUUUUUAUAAGACAAUAGUGAAAGCAGAGAUAACAAUAAGACUAAUUAUUUAAUGAUGCAAAAUAUGGGCUCCAUGAUGUUGGCUUUUCCAAAUUCAAGAUCUAGAUGUAGUUACCACUAAGAAUAACAAGUAGGAAUUUUAAUCAAUGUUGUCAGUUCCAGCUUUUUUCUUGUUUUAUUUGUAUUGUAAUGCUCUUGAGAUGUUAUGAAUUAAAUAAAUACAAGUUCUUAAUUGUUGUGCAAAUUUUAUUGAACUCGCAAGUGCACGAAUCUAUGGUAGUAUAGAUCAAUGGGGACGAGUGUCGAUCCCACGAGGAGGUGGAUUUUAAUUAAGUGUAGAAUUAAUUUUCUAAAUGGGUGGUUGGAUUUGUGGUGAAAGUAACUUAGAUUAUCCUAAAAUUUGAAUUAAAAUGGCGAGAAUAAAUUGAAGCGAAUUCUAUUGAAAUGCGGCACUUGGGUAUCUGGAUCCGUAUCAACAUGCACCAUGGGCUAAAUAUUCAUUAUUAGUGCCAAUUAAAUCAUGAGGGGGGUAUCCACACCUCAUGAACCACACUCUAAUAAAUAUGGUGCUAAGGGCUUAUCGUGCCAAAUAAUAAUAACCUUGUACUAGGGAGCCGAUGAAAUCAGGGCGGUAUCUAGACAAUGUUAUUAUUAUUUGUUGAUGAAAAGUCAAAACAUCCACAAAAAUUAAAGGGCAAGAGAAAAUAAAUUUACCAAAUAAAGCCCAUGGCACAUGUUGAGACUUCACCUUCAACCCAAGCUUGAAAGAAAAUUAGUUACGCAUAAUUGAACUAGGGUCAAAAUGUGAAUUUAUUAAAAUACGUAGAAAAUACAAGAUGGAGAAGGAAUUACAAAAAAUAUAGCCCAAAAAUGGAUUCAGAGAUCCAAAUUAGGGGGGAAAGACCCCCUUUUUAUAGAUACAUUGGGUAAAUCAUGGCCAUCGGAUUAAAAACAGUUUGGACGCUCAGGAUUGCGCCACGUCAUCAGUCAACAGUACGCGGUUUGACCACGCAGUUUGAACAGUGACACGGUUUGACCACGCAGUUUGAACAGUGACACGGUUUGACCACGCAGUUUGAACAGUCAACCAGCUUGAACAGUGACGCGGUUUGGUUGAAAAUAAUCCUGUGUAUAUACAUUACUGUACGCGCGAUUUUUGGUCCACUAAUAUGCUGCCACGUCAUCGAUCAACAGUGCAUAAGAAUUUUCUCCAAUGGAAUCGUGACACCUCAUCAGUCAAUGCCACAUCAUUGGUCAAUGCCACAUCAUCAUUCCGUUUGUGUGAACGGUGUCGUGAACAGUAACAUGGACAGUACGGUACAUGUGAAUAGUGCCAUUUUUCCUUUUAUACUCCUCCUAAGGUUUUCGACUGUCCUGAGUUCAAAAGUGAUGUACAUUUUGCAGUCUGAUCUCUCAUUCAUUGUGAAAUGACCACGACACCCCUAAAAUGCAUAAAAUACAUAAUUAAAAUAAAAUACACAUAAUUAAAUUAUAAGAGACUAAAAUACAUAAAAGUAGAAGUGUUAGUAAAACUUGAAGUGUAAAAUGAUGAUUUUUCCCUUUAUAAAUAUAUAUUUUCUAACACUUAACAUCCCCCCCAACCAGCUUAUUGCUAGUCCCUAGCAAAUAAAGCGAAAACAAAAUUCAAAUCCAAAUUUUUUUUUCUUAAAACACGAGUGUUUAUUCAAUCAGACUAAUGAUAGCAAUCAAAUAAAAGUAUAAGUAUUAUCUCCAGUCUAAAGAAUUAUCACACCCACAUCAACCAUCCACAUGAAUCAGCCCAGUAGACUUUGUCACAGUUACUUUCAAGAAUGACAUGUUAAACCCCAAAAUCUCACUGGAAAUAGUGAAACACUCACAAAGAAAUUAAACCCAAUAAAAAUAGUUACUCCAAUGAAAUAGUAAUUGAGAGAAAAUAAUGAAGAAGUAAUAUCACACGCUCUCACCAAAAUGAAAGAAAUAUGCCCUCAACUUAGAAAUAAUACGAUCUCAAGUCAAAUAAAAAUGCUAGUUAACCCAAUUUAUUUAUUUAUUUAUUUUUAUGCAUCACUGCAUCUUUUUAGCCCAUAUAAUUAGCUUCUACUUCAGACUAUAGUUCCCUAAAAUCAAGAAGGACUUUUAUUAGGACGUAACGUAGGCUAGGGACAUGGCUAACAAAGGAGGGGAAAUAAGGAAAACAAAGUGUAUGUUUGAGAAAAAUGUAGAGAUAUUUUUUUUUUGUGGAAGUUGCAAGGUGGAUCUUACCUAUUAUUGUUAUUUUUUUCUUUUUUUUUGUAACAACAAUUUUUUUUCUUUUGUUUUUUUUUGCUUUUGUUUGGCACAACUUCACUGAACAAAAUAAUUAUUUACAUUUUUCUCAAACAUAAAUAGGUGAUGGAACUUGUAAGAUAUUGGGUAAUACUCCAAAUCGGAGUGGGUUAAGAUGAUAAGUUUGACAAAGAAAAGGUUUUGUUUUUUUUUAAGGCUCAAAAGGGUUAACUAUGGAUAUUUCAUAAAAGGGAUGGCUAGAAAGGCUCAAACAGAUCAAAGAUGGAAUUUCCAUCGUCUUUUAGGGCUAUAAAUAAUAUUCCAUAUCUACUAGUUAGAUGGGCCUCCAGAUGUAGCAACACACUUUUUUUUUUUUUUAAUUUUACAAUUUUUUGUAAGGGUUAACUCAAAAGAAAUCUAGAGAUCGUGUAUAAAAUAAUAAACUGUUAAGCUGUAUAAAGAAUGGGCAAAAUGGUUACUCUUCAAGAAAAAUGAUAGGCUCAAAAACUCACUUGGUACUUAUUAUGACAUGUUCAUUCCUUCAAGCAACUCAUAUUUAUCUCCGACAUCAACAUGUAGAGUAGCUAACAUGGCGUAACAUCACUUAAGACCAAAGAUAAUACAAAUACUAAAAUUUGAAAUUCAUCAUGUCAUCCAAUAUUAAAACAAAUCACAAAAAAAAAAAAAAUUGUUCAAACAACAUUCUACCCCCCAACCUAUUCUAAACAUGAAAGGAAAUUAUGCAUGCAGAGAUGUGAAAAUGAUUCAGAAAAACUAAUUAGAAAAGUUACACUUAAAAUGAUAGAAAAAGAAAAUGGUUUUUUUUUUUUUUUAACUAAGAAGAUGCGUUUCUAGAGGCACUACACUCCAUAUUCAGCCAUCUUCGACUCAAAAAUUUGAAAGUAUAUAUUUAUAAAGGAGAAAUUAGAAAGAAGAAGUUAGAAAAAAAAUUAUUAUCAAAGCUUAAUAAAGAAAAAGAAAAUGCCUGGAAAUUUUUACUAUUAUUAUUUUUAUAUUUUAUUUUAUUUUAUUUAUUUUAUUUUUUUUAAAUGAAGAAGAUGCGUUUCUAGAGUAACUACACGCCAUAUUCAGCCAUCUUCAACACAAAAAGUUAGUUACGGUUAGUCUCUACAACAAAAAAUUAAUAACAAUUUAACCAAAAUUCCACAAUUGUCGACUAUUCCCUCCCCCAACCAGAACGAAACAUUGUCCUCAAUGUUUUAAAGGAAAAAAGUAUAGUUUAGAAGACAUCACAUGGGUGGUGCAACACAGAAGAAAAUAUUUACAAGCGGAGAGUUAAAUCUAAUUUGUACUUCUUACUGCAGCUACUGUUACCGUCAUUAUUUGGAGACUCCAACAAAAAGGUCCUAGGGUCUGGCUCUGGUUUAUAAGCUUGUAACAGAUGAAGUAGCUCAUUAGCAGUGUGAACACAAAUAAAAAGCUUUUUGCUGUGGAAGGAAUGAAAUAGUUUUUUAUUGCAUGGUUAAGAAAUGCGAUAAAGCCAUCAUAAAAGUUAUUGACAUUUAACAAACCGAUGGGUUUCUAGUGAAUGUGCAGAUGGGCCCAAGAUGCUAAUAUGAUAAGUGCCUCUAGAGUUACAAGAUCUCCUGAUAGGAAAAUAAAAGCAUCAGCAUGAUUAAGCAUUUCAGUUAUUCUUUCUUGCAUACCUGAGACGACUAACUCUUCUCCAGUCGGUGAGUCAGACAAAUUGCCCAAAGAUUUUAGGGCUCUUGGGAUAAUGCCUAACACUUGGCUUCCUCUGACAAAAGUAGCUUCUGAGACCAAUUUUGAUAACCUUCAGUUACCUCCUCCAUACACUAAGUGUAAUUUUCUCUCUGCUAUCCUUCGACCAAGAUCUAUGGCUGCCUCAACGAACUCUUUAUGUUUGCCAUAGUUAAAUCCAGAAAGCACACAAAUGUUCUUGAAUUGUCUAUUGGGAGUAGCUGCCAUUGGAAUAUUUCUCAAAAACAAUUUGUGAGUGCUUAACAAAAAGUCAUAUUUAAGAAUCUUGGUGACAGUAGGUCACAACUAUGUAUGAGGUGACAUGUCAGUGUCAAAUAACGCGUAAAGGACAUGGCUCGCGAGUCAAAAAGGAAACAGUAAAAAGAAAAAGAAACAAUGAUAAAAUAAAAUUAUUAAAGACAAUAAUGCAAAUGAUAAAACAACAAUGAAAUAAAAUAACAGUAAAGUAAAAGGAUAUUUACAGGUAGUUGCGACUGUAGCUCACAUCUUCCUCUGGUUUUACGUCCAGAAACGGCUUGAAUGCCCUCUAUGGGUUGAGGAUAGGCUUCCCAUCCAGUUUUCUUAUAAACUGGCAAAUAGGGUCGUUUAUAGUCAGAUUCCUGAGACUAUAUCGUGCAUGCUCUUUCAGGAAUAAUGGCCAUAACUGGAGAAUCGGUCCUUGCACAUAUCAACUGGGAUGCAUUUCAAGAGACAAAAGGAUAUCAUCCAAUGACUCCUUAUUCAAGCCAUCUCUAAUGAAUUGAAUCUUAUCUUCCCUGUUAUCAGACAUCAUUCCUAAAGAACAUGAGUUUUUAUUGCAUCUCAUUCUUGCACAUUUAUGACAAGCAACAGAAAUUUUUCGAGCUCUUCGUUUUCUUGCAUAAUUUCCUUUAGCACAACCAGGCAUGUAUGCAAUAAAUUUUGGAGGUAACUCACCUGCCAAUCGUACUUGAGCCUUGAUUAACCAAUGGAUGUCGACAGGUAUAUUAUUCCUCAUGAGCAAUCGCAUGCGUUUGGACCGAACUUUAUAGAUUGUAAGGAGGGCAUUCUGAGGAAGUGAAGGAAAUCGAUUGUGAAGCUUUGCUAGAAUAUCAUUUCUAUCCAUACCUUCGCCUCAGAAUAUUAGUUAUUAUGGGAAACUGUAACCAACUUGAUUGUCACGGAGUACUGUUAUCCGCCACUUUACUGGGGUAACAAACUAAAGCACACAAACAAACUAAAACACAUAAAGAAAAUUAUAAUCGUCCUCUUAUUGAAUUUACCUCAAGCUCCAAUUGGAUAUUGUAGACACUUCUCUCAAUGUCUCUGAGUUGGCUUUCUAAAUCCUCAACAUAGGAUACUAAUUCUGGUGGUUGUAGAGCCCAAAUACGAUGUGUUUUACAAAAUCGAAUCUGCCUUUUAAGAUGAGAUUUUACAUGUUGAAGCGGUCUAAGAAUGUCCAGGAGGAACUGUUUAGCUAUGGCACUCAUGAUUAACAAUGAUAAGAGAAAACUUAAUGGUUAAACAAACACACUUAUGCAAAAAUAGCAAAAGAAUAAUAAAAAGAAAGAAAAAAAUCAAAUCACCGAAAAGAAAGAAAAAAAAAACUCAAUUCAAAUCUGGUGGGUCACUCAAAUUUAUUUCGGUGUCCUUUCCAUGUGGUUGGUACUCUAGAUAUGACUUUAAUAUUUGACCAUUAACUUUAAAUGUGACACCGUUCUUUGGGUCCUUAAUUUCAAUUGCCUCAUGUGGAAAAACAGUAUGAACAAUAAAGGGGCCAGACCAUCGAGAGCGUAACUUACCUGGGAAUAGGUGCAAACGAGAAUUGAAUAAAAACACUUUCUGACCUGGAGUGAACAAUUUUCUCAUAAUUUGCUUGUCAUGAAAGACUUUCAUUCACUGCUUGUAAAUCUUGGCAUUUUCAUAUGCAUCAUUGCGAAUUUCUUCAAGUUCUGCCAGCUGUAAUCUUCUUUCUGAGCUGGCUUGCUACAUGUUAAAGUUGAAUUUCUUGACGGCCCAAUAUGCAUGAUGCUCGAGUUCCACAGGUAAGUGGCAAGCUUUUCCAUACACUAGCCUGUAGGGUGACAUCCCAAUCGAGGUCUUGAAAGCCGUUCUAUAUGCCCAUAAUGUAUCAUCAAGUCUUAAUGACCAAUCUUUUUUGUUUGUCCUCACCGUCUUUUCUAAUAUGUGCUUUAUUUCUCGAUUGGAGAUCUUAACUUGGCCACUGGUUUAUGGAUGAUAUGGGGUUGCCACUUUGUGAGUGAUUGAAUACUUUAUCAAAAGAGUUUUGAAUGCUUUGUUACAAAAGUGGGCACCACCAUCACUGAUUAUCGCUCGAGGGAAUCCAAAGCGUGAAACAAUGUUACUUUUCAAAAAUCCUAUCACCACCUUGUGAUCAUUAGUUCUACAUGGAAUUACUUCUACCCAUUUCGAUACGUAGUCAACAGUAACCAAUAUGUAUUGAUGGCCAAAAAAAGGGGGAAAGGGUCCCAUGAAGUCGAUACCACAUACAUAAAAAAUCUCAACCACUAAAAUUAGAUUUAGUGGCAUCAUGUUCCUUCGUGUAAUGCUCUCCAUUCGUUGACACCUAUCACAUGAAGAACAAAAAGUGUAAGCGUCUCGAAAUAUAGUUGGCCAAUAAAAACCACAUUGUAAAACUUUAGUUGCUGUAUUCUUAGCACUGAAAUGGCCUCCACAAGCUUGUUCAUGGCAGAAUGAAAGAAUAUUCUGAAUUUCAUUUUCUAGGACACAUCAUCUAACAAUUUGAUCAGCACAAUACUUGAACAAAUAAGGGUCAUCCUAAAAGAAAUUCUUUAUUUUUGCAAAAAAAUUGGCCUUGUCUUGCUUAGUCCAAUGCUCUAAAAGUUGACCUGUAACAAGAUAAUUAACUAUAUCAGCAUACCACGGUAAUACUUCCACACUCAUUAAUUGUUCAUCGAGAAAUGACUCAUUCAAUGUUAAUGGUUCUGUAAUUGUGUCAAAAUGGAGACGAGAGAGAUGGUCAGCCACAACAUUUUCUGUGCCUUUCUUAUCUUUAAAUUCCAAGUCAAAUUCCUGCAAAAGUAACACCCAACAAAUUAGUCUAGCUUUUGCAUCUUUCUUUGUGAGAAGAUAUUUAAUAGCAGCAUGAUCUGUGAAUACAAUUAUUUUACAACCAAUGAGAUAAGAUUGAAAUUUUUCUAAUGCAAACACUACUGCUAGCAUUUCUUUUUCAGUAGCUGAAUAGUUCAACUGUGCAUCAUUCAAUGUCAUACUAGAAUAGUAAAUAACAUGAGGAAUUCGAUCAACUCUUUGUCCUAAAACUGCUCCUACUACAUAAUCAGAUGCAUCACACAUGAGCUCAAAUGGUAAGCUCCAGUUUGGGGGCUGAAUGAUUAGUGAUGAUGUCAACAACUGCUUUAGUUUUUCAAAUGCCACAAGACAUGAAUCAUCAAAGAUAAAAGGUACAUCCUUAGCAAGUAGAUUGCAUAAGGGUCUAGAAACUUUGCUAAAAGCUUUAAUGAAACGUCAAUAAAAACCAGCAUGCCCAAGGAAAGAUAUUACUUUUCUGACUGUUUUAGGUGGAGGAAGAUUAGAAAUGAGAUCCACCUUUGCUUUGUCAACCUCAAUACCUUUGCUCGAAAUGAUGUGACCGAGAACAAUACCUUAUUUUACCAUAAAAUGACACUUCUCCCAAUUUAAGACUAUGUUCUUCUCGAUACAUCUCUGCAGAACUAGUGUUAGAUGAUGGAAACAUUGAUCAAAUGAAUCACCAAAGACAUAAAAGUCAUCCAUAAAGACUUCAAGGAAUCGUUCAACCAUAUAAAAAAAAAAUACUCAACAUGCAUCGUUGAAAUGUAGCAGGUGCAUUACAUAAUCUAAAUGGCAUCCUCUUAUAUGCAAAAGUUCCAAAAGGGCAAGUGAAAGUGAUCUUCUUUGAUCUUUUGGUGUUAUGGGAAUCUGAUUAUAUCCUGAGUAGCCAUCUAGAAAGCAAUAAAAUUAAUGGCCUGUUAAUCUAUCAAGCAUUUGAUCGAUAAAUGGUAAAGGAAAAUGGUCUUUACGUGUGACAAAAUUUAACUUUCUAUAAUCAAUGCAUACACGCCAUCAUGUAGUCACUCUAGUGGGUAUCAAUUCAUUAUCAGCAUUGGUAACUACUAUGACUCCUGACUUUUUGGGGACAACUUGUACAUGACUGACCCAUGAACUAUCAGAAAUUGGGUAAAUGAUACCUGCUUCUAAUAGCUUAAGAACUUCAGUUCUAACAACUUCUCUCAUGUUAGGAUUUAACCGACGUUGCAUUUCCCUAGUAGGUUUAGCAUUUUGAUCAAGGUGAAUGUAAUGCAUGCAGUCUACUGGGUUUAUACAUUUUCUGUCUGCUAUGGUCCAUCCUAAUGCUCCUUUGUGCUCUUUUAAAACAUCCAACAACUUACCUUUUUGUUCGUCAUUUAGGGAUGAUGAGAUGAUUACCGACAUAGUACUUUCGUCUCCCAAAAAUGCAUAUUCCAAAGUGUUGGGUAAUGGUUUGAGCUCGAGUUUCGGUGGUGAUUCUGAUGAUGGGAUGAAUUUCUUCUCUAAUGGUGCUAAUUGUUCAACUCUUGACAUCCAUUUAUUAGUGCCCAUGGAUGGAGCUGAGUCAAGUAGGGUGUUGACCUCAUCCACUGAUCUGUCAAUAUCAAAAUCUAAACCAAAGUGAGUUAAGCAUGUUUGUAAAGGGUCAUCACUAAGGUUUGAAAGAAAAGUAUUAUCAAUUAUUUCUUCUAUUAAAUCCACGUCAACAAUUUCAUCAUCUGCAUUGUGAGAUUGUUUGGCAAUGUUGAAGAUGUUUAGCUCCAUAGUCAUGUUGCCAAAGGACAACUGCAUAUUUCCAGUUUUGCAUUGAAUGUAAGCAUCUGCAGUUGCCAAGAAAGGUCGGCCUAGGAUAAUGGGGAUGUGCUUCCUUGAAUCCUGGAUUGGUUGAGUGUCAAUUACAAUGAAAUCAACAGGAAAAUAAAACUUGUCUACCUGGAUAAGCACAUCCUCCAUAAUACCACGAGGUAUUUUAGUGGACCGAUAUGCAAGCUGUAACACCACUGGAGUUAGGUGUAAUUCGCCCAGUCCAAGUUUCACAAAUUAAUAAGGUAACAGAUUUACACUAGCUCCUAAGUCCAACAAAGCAUUCUCAAUUGUGUGGUUCCCUAUGCUACAUGAGAUAGUGGGGGAACCUGGGUCUUUGCAUUUUAGAAGAAUUUUGUGUUGGAGUAUAGAACUAACGUUUUCUGUUAAAAAUGCCUUCUUUUGAACAUGAAUAUUUCUUUUUUUAGUACAAAGGUCUUUAAGAAACUUGGCAUAAGAUGGAACUUGUUUUAUAGCAUCAAGCAAAGGGAUGUUAACACUUACCUAUUUGAAGAUUUCAAGAAUCACACCUGUGGAUUUUCCCUUCUUUCCUUUAGCUAACCUCUGAGGAAAUGGAGCUUUGGGAAUAUAUUCUGGUGGGUUGGUUUUUUCUUUCUCUUCCGAUAGUGAGUCCUCAACAUUCAUAGGUACAAUUUGAUUUUCUUUUGUCACCGGCAUCUCCACUUUGUUGUCGACUUCUUUUCCUUUUCGCAAGGUCAUGACUGUUUGACCUCUCCAUGCUACUGUGGUGAACUGGUACUUGAUUCAUGUACUCCUUUAGGAUUAGGCGCUGGUUGACUUGGAAAUUUACCUUUCUCAACAGUCAUUACCAAGGUCUGAACUGAAAAAGUAAGUUGUCCCACCAUCUUCUCGAGGCUUGAAACUGAUUGGGCUUGUGAGUUGAAUCCUGCUCUAAUCUCAUUUCAUAGUCCAUCAAUGGUGUGGUUCUGUUGCUCAAUCGUAGAGUGAGUAACAUUUUUGAAAUUCUGGAAUGCAUCCUCCUAUGGUCUGGGUUGAGAGUAGUUCUGGUUCUGAUUGUAUGGUCUAAAUGGUGGCUGAGAGGCUUGAGAAAUUUGAGGAAUUGGUUGUAUUGGUGGAGUUAGAGCUGCUGGUCCAUUCUGUUGGAAUCCUUGAGACCAUGAAAAAUUGGGGUGGUCUUUCCAUCCAGGAUUAUAUGUGUUGGAGCAUGGGUUGUAAUUUGAUGAUUUUCUUAUUACACCUAUGGCAUUGUCUUGAUCUAAGUAUGAGUCAUAGUCGUGUGGUUCUGUUGAUUUAGCAGUCGUUAACGAUGCUAUUUGUCGAGAAAGACCUUCAAUUGUCGCUUUGACUUCUUUAAUUUAUGAACUUGACUCGCCAAUGUGAACCUCAUUUACUCCCUUAAUUCUUUUAGUGUUCCUGAGCGAUCGACUCUGUUGUUGGGAAUUAUCCGCUUGUCGCUAGAAGAAUUCCCAAAUCUCUGAUGCACUUUUUGACAUUAGCUCUCCUCCACUUGUUGCCAUUAGCCAUUCUUGCACAUUCGGCGAUAAUCCCUCCAAAAAAUAUUGACAUUGGUGCCAUUUCUCGUACCCAUGAUGUGGACACUUCAAGAGUAGCCCAUUGAAUCGCUCAUAUGUUUCGAAAAACUACUCGUCCUCUCUCUGGGUAAACUCUGAGAUUUCCCUGCGAAUAACAUUGAUUUUAUGCACUGGGAAGUAUUUAUUCAAAAAUUUAGUUACCAUUUGUUCCUAUGAUGUAAUGCUAUUAGCAGACAAAGUAUUUUACCAUGAACGAGCUCUAUCCUUGAAAGAAAAUGGGAAUAAUCUAAGUUUAACAUCAUCGUUUGAAAAAUUCUCAUAUUUAAAAGUUUGACAAACAACAUGAAAAUCAUUCAGAUGAUUAUAUGGGUCCUCAUUUUCUAAGCCAUAGAAUGUUGGGAGACAAUUUAGCACACUAGGUUUUAGUUCAAAACUCCUAGCAGCUACAUUUGGGAAUCUUAUGCAUGAUGUGCUCAAAUUAGCUAAGGGACUGAAAAAGUCCUUAAAUGACCUCUCUGAUGGUGCUUGUUGUUGUUGCAAAUCCAUUUCACUUUUAUCCUUAAUUACAACGUGUUUGUGUGUGCGAAGUAUUUUUUCAAGUUCAAGGUCUAUAGGCUAAAGAUUAGGUAAUAAUGACCUUCGACCAUGCAUGCAAUGAAUACAAAAAAAUGAGAACAAAAUUAAUAAAAGUAAACAAAAAUGAGAGAUUACGGUACUAACCUUAUCACGCUGUUACAACCUUACUAUAAAAACACACUAAAAAAAAUACGUGAAAUAAAUUAACUAAAAAUAAAUUAAUAAGAUAAACAAAAAUUAUAAAAAAAUGAAUUGAAAAUUAAAUUACAGAAUUUUAAAGAAGAGAAAAAGAAAAGAAAUUCUUACCUCUAAACGUAGAUUCACUUUUUUUCUUUUUUUUUCAAAUAAGAAAAAUUACAAGAAAACAAUUAAAAGAAAUUAUUUAUAAAAAUUAAUUCUACGAAUUAAAAUAACUUACCUCCCCGGCAACGACGCCAAAAACUUGUUGUGCAAAUUUUAUUGAACUUGCAAGUGCACGAAUCUAUGGUAGUAUAGAUCAAUGGUGACGAGUGUCGAUCCCACGAGGAGGUGGAUUUUAAUUAAGUUUAGAAUUAAUUUUCUAAAUGGGUGGUUGGAUUUGUGGUGAAAGUAACUUAGAUUAUCCUAAAAUUUGAAUUAAAAUGGCGAGAAUAAAUUGAAGCGAAUUCUAUUGAAAUGCGGCACUUGGGUAUCUGGAUCCGUAUCAACAUGCACCAUGGGCUAAAUAUUCCUUAUUCGUGCCAAUUAAAUCAUGAUGGGGGUAUCCACACCUUAUGAACCAUACUCUAAUAAAUAUGGUGCUAAGGACUUAUCGUGCCAAAUAAUAAUAACCUUAUACUAGGGAGUCGGUGAAACCAGAGCGGUAUCUAGACAAUAUUAUUAUUAUUUGUCGACGAAAAGUUAAAACAUCCACAAAAAUUAAAGGGCAAGAGAAAAUAAAUUUACCAAAUAAAGCCCAUGGCACAUGUUGAGACUUCACCUUCAACCCAAACUUGAAAGAAAAUUAGCUACUCAUAAUUGAACUAGGGACAAAAUGUAAAUUUAUUAAAAUACGUAGAAAAUACAAGAUGGAGAAGUAAUUACAUAAAAUAGAGCCCAAAAAUGGAUUCAGAGAUCCAAAUUAGGGGGGGAAGGCCCUUUUUUUAUAGAUACAUUGAGUAAAUCAUGGCCAUCGGAUUAAAAACAGUUUGGACGCUCAGGAUUGUGCCACGUCAUCAGUCAGCAGUAAGCGGUUUGAACAGUGACACGGUUUGACCAAAAAGUUUGAACAGUCAACUGGCUUGAACAGUGACGCGGUUGGUUGAAAAUAAUCUUGUGUAUAUGCAUGUACUGUACGCGCGAUUUUUUGUCCACUAAUAUGCUGCAACGUCAUCGAUCAACAGUGCAUAAGAAUUUUCUCCAAUGGAAUCGUGACACCUCAUCAGUCAAUGCCACAUCAUCAGUCAAUGUCACGUCAUCGUUCUGUCUGUGUGAACAGUGUCGUGAACAGUAACAUAGACAGUACGGUAGAUGUGAAUAGUAUCAUUUUUCCUUUUAUACUCCUCCUAAGGUUUUUGUUGAGUGUUAGAAAAUGUAUAUUUAUAAAGGAGAAAAUCGUCAUUUUACACUUCAAGUUUUACUAAAACCCUUACUUUUAUGUAUUUAACCUUCUUGUGAUUUAAUUACGUGUGUUUUAUUUUAAUUAAGUAUUUUAUACAUUUUAGGGGCAUCAUAGUCAUUUCACAAUGAAUGAGAGAUCAGACGGCAAAAUGGACAUCACUUUUGAACUCAGGACGGUCGCAAACCUUAGGAGGAACAUAAAAGGAAAAAUGGCACUGUUCACAUGUACGGUACUAUUCACAUAUACGGUACUGUCUACGUUACUGUUCACGACACUGUUCACAUAGACGGAUCGAUGACGUGGCAUUGACCGAUGAUGUGGCAUUGACUGAUGAAGUGUCACGAUCUAGUUGGACUAAAAUUCUUAUGCACUAUUGAUCGAUGACGUGGCAGCAUAUCAGUGGACCAAAAAUCCCGCGUACGGUGCAUGCAUUACACAGGAUUAUUUUCAACCAAACCGCGUCACUGUUCAACCCGGGUCAAACUGUGUUACUGUUCAAACCGCGUGGUCAAACCGCGUACUGUUGACUGAUGACGUGGCGCAAUCCUGAGCAUCCGAAAUGUUUUUUAUUCGAUGGUUAUGAUUUACUCAAUGUAUCUAUAAAAAGGGGGCUUUCCAUCUUGUAUUUUCUACGUAUUUUAAUAAAUUCUCAUUUUGCCCCUAGUUCAAUUAUGAGUAGCUAAUUUUCUCUCAAGCUUGGGUUGAAGGUGAAGUCUCAACAUGUGUCAUGGGCUUUAUUUGGUAAAUUUAUUUUCUUUUUCCCUCUAAUUUUUGUGGAUAUUUUGACUUCUCGUCGACAAAUAAUAAUAAUCUUGUCUAGAUACCGUCUUGGUUUCACCGGCUCUCUAAUACAAGGUUAUUUUUAUUUGGCACGAUAAGCCCUUAGCACCAUAUUGAUUAGAGUGUGGUUCAUGAGGUGUGGAUUCCCCCCUCAUGAUUUAAUUGGUAUUAAUAAGGAAUAUUUAGCCCAUGAUGCAUGUUGAUACGGAUCUAGAUACCCAAGUACGUCGUUUUAAUAUAUUUCUAUUCAAUUUAUUCUCGCCGUUUAAAUUCUAAUUUUAGGAUAAUCCAAAUCAUUUUCACCACAAAUCCAACCACCCUCAUACAAAAUUAAUUCUAUAUAUAAUUAAAAUCCACCUCUUUGUGGGAUCGACACUCAUCACCAUUGAUUUAUUCUACAAUAGAUUCGUGCACUUGCGAGUUCAAUAAAAUUUGCACAACAAGUUUUUGGCGCCGUUGCCAGGGAGGUAAGUAAUUUUAAUUCAUAGAAUUAAUUUUUGUGAAUAAUUCCAUUUAAUUGUUUUCUUGUAUUUUUUUCUUUAAAAAAAGAAAAAAAAAAGUAAAUCUACAUUUAAAGGUUAGUAUUUCUUUUCUUUUCCUUUUCUUUAAAAUUCUGUAAUUUAUUUUUCAAUUUAUUUUUCUUUGUAAAUAUUUUUUUGUUUAUCUUAUUAAUUUAUUUUUAGUUAAUUUAUUUCACGUAUUUGUUUUUGUGUAUUUUUGUAGAAAGGUUUUAACAGCGUGAUAAGGUUAGUAACGUAAUUUCUCCUUCUUCUUUAUUUUUAUUUGUUUUGUUCCAUUUAUUUUUGUGUUUCUUGCAUGCAUGGUCGUAGGUCAUUAUUACCUAAUCUUGAACCUAUAGACCUUGAACUAGAAAAAAGCACUUCGCACACACAAGCACAUUAAAAAUAAAUUUGGAAUGGAUUUACAAGCACCACAGGAGAGGCCAUUUAAGGACUAUUUUAGUCCCUUAGCUAAUUUGAGUACAUUAUGUAUAAGAUACCCAAAUGUAGCUGCUAGGAGUUUUAAACUAAAACCUAGUGUGCUAAAUUGUCUCCCCACAUUCUAUGGCUUAGAAAAUGAGGACCCAUAUAAUCAUUUGAAUGAUUUUCAUGCUGUUUGUCAAACAUUUAGAUAUGAGAAUUUUUCAGAUGAUGAUGUUAAACUUAGACUAUUCCCAUUUUUUUUAAAGGAUAGAGCUCGUUCAUGGCUCAAUACAUUGCCUGCUAAUAGCAUCACAUCAUAGGAACAAAUGGUAGCAAAAUUUUUAAAUAAAUAUUUCCCAGUGCAUAAAACCAAUGCUAUUCGCAGGAAAAUCUCAGAGUUUACCCAAAGAGAAGACGAGCAGUUUUUCGAAACAUGGGAGCGAUUCAAUGGGCUACUCUUGAAGUGUCCACAUCAUGGGUACGAGAAAUGGCACCAAUGCCAAUCCUUUUAGGAGGGAUUAUUGCCAAAUGUGUAAGAAUGGCUAAUGGCAACAAGUGGAGGAGAGCUAAUGUCAAAAAGUGCAUCAGAGAUUUGGGAAUUCUUUCAGCGACAAGCGGAUAAUUCCUAACAACGGAGUCGAUCGCUAAGGAAUACUAAAAGAAUUAAAGGAGUGAAUGAGGUUCACAUUGGCGAGUCAACUUCGGGAAUCAAAAAAGUCAAGGAGAUGGUUGAAGGUCUCGCUCGACAAAUAGCAUCGUUAUCGACUACUAAAUCAACAGAGCCACAUGAUCAUGACUCAUACUCAGAUCAAGCCAAUGCCAUAGGUGUAAUGAGAAAACCAUCGAAUUACAACCCAUACUCCAACACAUAUUACCCUGGAUGGAGAGACCACCCCAAUUUUUCAUGGUCUCAAGGAUUCCAACAGAAUGAACCAGCAGCUCCACCUACACCAAUGCAACCAAUUCCUCAAGCCUCUCAACCACCAUUUAGACCAUACAAUCAGAACCAGAACUACUCUCAACCCAGACCAUGGGAGGAUUCAUUCCAGAAUCUCAAGAAUCUUACUCACUCCACGAUUGAGCAAUAGAACCGCACCAUUGAUGGACUACGAAAUGAGUUGAGAGCAGGCUUCAACUCACAAGCCCAAUCAGUUUCAAGCCUCGAGAAGAUGGUGGGACAACUUGCUUUUUCAGUUCAGACCUUGGCAAUGACUGUUGAGAAAGGUAAGUUUCCAAGUCAACCAGUGCCUAAUCCUAAAGGAGUGCAUAAAGCAAGUACCAGUUCACCACAACAGUAUGGAGAGGUCAAAGCAGUCAUGACCUUGCGAAAAGAAAAAGAAGUCGACAACAAAGUGGAGAUGCCGGUAACAAAAGAAAAUCAAAUUGUACCUGUGAAUGUUGAGGACUCACCAUCGGAAGAGAAAGAAGAAACCAACCCACGAGAAUAUGUUCCCAAAGCUCCAUCUCCUCAGAGGUUAGAUAAAGGAAAGAAGGGAAAAUCCACAGGUGAGAUUCUUGAAAUCUUCAAACAAGUAAGUGUUAACAUCCCUUUACUUGAUGCUAUAAAGCAAGUUCCAUCUUUCGCCAAGUUUCUUAAAGACCUUUGUACUAAAAAGAGAAAUAUUCAUGUUCAAAAGAAGACAUUUUUAACAGAAAAUGUCAGUUCUAUACUCCAACAUAAAAUUCCUCUAAAAUGCAAAGACCCAGGCUCCCCCACUAUCUCAUGUAGUACAGGGAACCACAUAAUUGAGAAUGCUUUAUUGGAUUUAGGAGCUAGUGUAAAUUUGUUGCCUUACUCUGUAUUCGUGAACCUUGGAUUGGGAGAAUUACACCCAACUCCAGUGGUGUUGCAGCUUGCAGAUCGGUCCACAAAAAUACCUCGUGGUAUUGUGAAGGACGUGCUUAUCCAGGUAGAGAAGUUUUAUUUUUCUGUUGAUUUCAUUGUAAUUGACACUCAACCAAUACAGGAUUCAAGGAAGCACAUCCCCAUUAUUCUAGGCCGACCUUUCUUGGCAACUGCCGAUGCUCACAUUCAAUGCAGAACUGGAAAUAUGCAGUUGUCCUUUGGCAACAUGACUAUGGAGCUGAACAUUUUCAACAUUGCCAAACAACCUCACAAUGCAGAUGAUGGAAUUGUUGAUGUGGAUUUAAUUGAAGCAUUAGUUGAUGACACUUUUCUUUCAAACCUUAGUGAUGAUCAUUUACAAACAUGUUUAACUCACUUUGGUUUUGAUUUUGAUAUUGACAGAUCGGUCGAUGAGGUCAACGCUCUACUUGACUCAGCACCAUCCAUGGACACUAAUAAAUGGAAGUCAAGAGUUGAACAACUAGCACCAUCAGAGAAGAAACUCAUCCCAUCAUCAGAAUCACCACCGAAACUCGAGCUCAAACCAUUGCCCAACACUUUGGAAUAUGCAUUUUUGGAAUAAGAAAGUAAUCUGCCGGUAAUCAUCUCAUCAUCCCUAAAUGACGAACAAAAAGGUAAGUUGUUGGAUAUUUUAAAAUAGCACAAAGGAGCAUUAGGAUGGACCAUAGUAGACAUAAAAGGUAUAAACCCAGUAGACUGCAUGCAUUACAUUCACCUUGAUGAAAAUGCUAAACCUACUAGGGAAAUGCAACGUCGGUUAAAUCCUAAUAUGAAAGAAGUUGUUAGAACUGAAGUUCUUAAGCUAUUAGAUGCAGGUAUCAUUUACCCCAUUUCUGAUAGUUCUUGGGUCAGUCCUGUACAAGUUGUCCCCAAAAAGUCAGGAGUCACAGUAGUUACGAAUGCUGAUAAUGAAUUGAUACCCACUAGAGUGACUACAAGAUGGCGUGUUUGCAUUGAUUAUAGAAAGUUGAAUUCUGUCACACGUAAAGACCAUUUUCCUUUACCAUUUAUCGAUUAAAUGCUUGAUAGAUUAGCAGGCCAUGAAUUUUAUUGCUUUCUAGAUGGCUACUCAGGAUAUAAUCAGAUUCCCAUAGCACCAAAAGAUCAAGAGAAAACCACUUUCACUUGCCCUUUUGGCACUUUUGCAUAUAGAAGAAUGUCAUUUGGAUUAUGUAAUGCACCUGAUACAUUUCAACGAUGCAUGUUGAGCAUUUUUUCUAAUAUGGUUGAACGAUUCCUUGAAGUCUUUAUGGAUGACUUUUCUAUUUUUGGUGAUUCAUUUGAUCAAUGUUUACAUCAUCUAACACUAGUUCUGCAGAGAUGUAUCGAGAAGAACUUAGUCUUAAAUUGGGAGAAGUGCCAUUUUAUGGUAAAACAAGGUAUUGUUCUCGGUCACAUCAUUUCGAGCAAAGGUAUUGAGGUUGACAAAGCCAAGGUGGAUCUCAUUUAUAAUUUUCCUUCACCCAAAACAGUCAGAGAAGUAAGAUCUUUCCUUGGGCAUGUUGGUUUUUAUAGACGUUUCAUUAAACAUUUUAGCAAAGUUUCUAGACCUUUAUGCAAUCUACUUGCUAAGGAUGUACCUUUUAUCUUUAAUGAAUCAUGUUUUAUGGCUUUUGAAAAAUUAAAGCAAUUGUUGACAUCAUCACCCAUCAUUCAACCCCCAAAUUGGAGCUUACCAUUCGAGCUCAUGUAUGAUGCACCUGAUUAUGCAGUAGGAGCAGUAUUAGGACAAAGAGUUGAUCGAAUUCCCCAUGUUAUUUACUAUGCUAGUAUGACAUUGAAUGAUGCACAGUUGAACUAUUCAACUACUGAAAAAGAAAUGCUAGCAGUAGUGUUUGCAUUAGAGAAAUUUCGAUCUAAUUUUAUUGGUUGUAAAAUAAUUGUGUUCACAGAUCAUGCUGCUCUUAAAUAUCUUCUCACAAAGAAAGAUGCAAAAGCUAGACUAAUUCGUUGGGUGUUACUUUUGCAGGAGUUCGAAGUAAGAAAUGCACAGAAAAUGUUGUGGCAGACUACUCUCUCGUCUCCAUUUUGACACAAUUACAGAGCCAUUAACAUUGAAUGAGUCAUUUCCAGAUGAACAAUUAAUGAGUGUGGAAGUAUUACCUUGGUAUGCUGAUAUAGUUAAUUAUCUUGUCACAGGUCAACUUCCAGAGCAUUGGACCAAGCAAGAUAAAGCCAAAUUUUUUACAGAAAUAAAAAAUUUCUUUUGGGAUGACUCGUAUUUGUUCAAAUAUUGUGCAGAUCAAAUUGUUAGACGAUGCGUCCCAGAAAGAGAAAUUCAGAAUAUUCUUUCAUUCUGCCAUGAACAAGCUUGUGGAGGCCAUUUCAGUGCUAAGAAAACAGCGACUAAAGUUUUACAAUGUGGUUUCUAUUGGCCAACUAUAUUUCGAGACGCUUACACUUUCUGUUCUUCAUGUGAUAGGUGUCAACGAAUGGGAAGCAUUACGCGAAGGAAUAUGAUGCCACUAACUCCAAUUUUAGUGGUUGAGAUUUUUGACGUAUGGGGUAUCGACUUCAUGGGACCCUUUCUCCCUUCUUUUGGCCAUCAAUACAUAUUGGUUGCUGUUGACUACAUAUCGAAAUGGGUAGAAGCAAUUCCAUGCAGAACCAAUUAUCACAAGGUGGUGAUAAGAUUUUUAAAAAGCAACAUUGUUUCGCGCUUUGGAUUCCCUCGAGCAAUAAUCAGUGAUGGUGGUGCCCACUUUUGUAACAAAGCAUUCAAAGCUCUUUUGACAAAGUAUUUCAUCACUCACAAAGUGGCGACCCCAUAUCAUCUGCAAACCAGUGGCCAAGUUGAGAUCUCCAAUCGAGAAAUAAAGCACAUAUUAGAAAAGACGGUGAAGCCAGACAAAAAAGAUUGGUCAUUAAGACUUGAUGAUGCAUUAUGGGCAUAUAGAACGGCUUUCAAGACUCCGAUUGGGAUGUCACCCUACAGGCUAGUGUAUGGAAAAACUUGCCACAUACCUGUAGAACUCGAGCAUCGUGCAUAUUGGGCCAUCAAGAAAUUCAACUUUGACAUGCAGCAACCUAGCUCAGAAAGAAGAUUACAACUGGCAGAAUUUGAAGAAAUUCACAAUGAUGCAUACGAAAAUGCCAAGAUUUACAAGCAACGAAUAAAAGUCUUCCAUGACAAGCAAAUUAUGAGAAAAUCGUUCACUCCAGGCCAGAAAGUGCUUUUAUUCAAUUCUCGUUUGCACCUAUUCCCAGGUAAGUUACGCUCUCGAUGGUCUGGUCCCUUUAUUGUUCAUACUGUUUUUCCACAUGGGGCAAUUGAAAUUAAGGACCCAAAGAACGGUGUCACAUUUAAAGUUAAUGGUCAAAGAUUAAAGCCAUAUCUAGAGUACCAACCACAUGGGGAGGACAUCGAAAUAAAUUUGAGUGACCCACCAUAUUUGAAUUGAGUUUUUCUUUCUUUUCGGUGAUUUGAUUUUUUUUCUUUUUAUUAUUCUUUUGCUAAUUGAAAUUGUUUUUGCAUAAGUGUGUUUGUUUAACCAUUAAGUUUUCUCUUAUCAUUGUUAAUCAUGAGUGUCAUAGCUAAACAGUUCCUCCUGAACAUUCUUAAACCACUUCAACAUGUAAAAUCUCAUCUCAAAAGACAGAUUUGAUUUUGUAAGACACAUCGUAUUUGGGAUAAUCCAAAUCAUUUUCACCACAAAUCCAACCACCCUCAUACAAAAUUAAUUCUAUAUAUAAUUAAAAUCCACCUCCUUGUGGGAUCGACACUUGCGAGUUCAAUCAAAUUUGCACAACAGUUUUCGACUGUCCUGAGUUCAAAAGUGAUGUCCAUUUUGCCGUCUGAUCUCUCAUUCAUUGUGAAAUGACCAUGACACCCCUAAAAUGCAUAGAAUACUUAAUUAAAAUAAAAUACACAUAAUUAAAUUACAAGAGACUAAAAUACAUAAAAGUAGAAGUGUUAGUAAAACUUGAAGUGUAAAAUGACGAUUUUCUCCUUUAUAAAUAUACAUUUUCUAACACUUAAUACUAAUGACAUGCUCUUAUAUGAUAUGAAGCAUCAAAAAAAGAAGAAACAAAUUCUCAAACUGGGUGGCCAAAAGGACUUGAGGUAAUGAAUUAAGUCUUUUGAGCAAGUUGGGGGAUUCCUGCUACUGUGUGGAUUGAAUAGAAAAUUAGCGGCAAGUGAAUAACAAGUCAUUUGAUUUACGAUUCAUUUAUUCUCCAAUUAGUAUAAUUCUUCUUUACACAUGAUUAUUGUAAUCUCCUCUUUAGAUGUGAUUUGUUUGUACUCAGUUUUGAUUAAUGAAACAAUGUGAAUUUUUCCUGCUCAUCUGGUAGUUUGUUCUUAACAAUCCAAUUCCUUUUUUUUUUCUUUACUCUAUUCUUUAUCAAUCUUGAUUCCAAAUCAAUCUUGAUUGAUUAAAGAUUGAAGUAUUGAGUUAGUUCUUGUAAUUAGCCACUACAAAUUACAACAAGUGGUAUGAUAGCUUUGGUAAUUUUUGGGUAUGUCACUUCUAAAGCCAGAGAUUGAGAAAUUCACCAUUGGUGGUGAUUUCUCACUCUGGAAGAUGAAGAUCAGACCCUGAUGCCACUACUAAUUUAUCAGGGUCUUGAGUCAACUCUGGGUAAUGAAGAUCCUAAUAAAGCUACAAGUUCCAUGCCUGAUGAAAAGAAGUAGCACAUCCAGAACAUAGCCCAUAUUACCUUGAUUUUGAGUCUUAGUGGCUCAAUCUUAAGGGAAAUCUUUGAAGAAAAAUUGAUCUAAGGAUAUGGAAUAAGGUGGAGGCACUAUGCAUGAAGAAGUCUUUGGCUUACAGGCUUUAAUUGAAGAAAAAGUUUUAUACUUUUCAAUAAAAUAAGGCGUUUUUAUCCAAGAACACAUUGAUACUUUCAAUAAGAUCAUCCUUAAUCUUAAAGGGUUUGAAAAUGUGAAAAUUAUAGAUGAAAAUAAAGCAUUUUUCUUGCUCAGUUCAUUGCCACAAUCCUAUGAAGGUUUUGUAGAUACAAUGUUGUAUAGAAGAGCAACAUUAACUUUAGAAGAUGUUAAGGCAUCAUUGAGCUCAAAGGAGAUUCAGAGAAAUAAUGGGCAUGAAAUCAGUAAUGGAGAAGGGCUGAUUGCCAGAACUAGAAAGAAAAAGGAACAAAAGAAUAAAAAUCAAGAAAAGGGCAAAAGAAAGAGCCAAAAAGUCGAUAAGAAGAAAAAAAGAAAAAGAAGUGUUUUUACUAUAGCAAAGAAGGUCACUAUAUCAGAGACUAUGCAGAGUAAAAGAAAAUGGAGCAUAAAAAAAAAUCAGGAGAUGCAGUUGUGGCUUUAGAUGACUCUUCAUAUGAUGGUUGUCACGGUGUUGAUCUGUUAAUAUCAUCAAAAGGCAAACUUAGAAGAUCAAUGGGUGUUAAAUUCCGGCUGUUCAUUUUACAUUUGCCCAAUAAGUGUCUAUUGAUGGUGGUAGAGUUCUUAUAGUAAAUAAUAAUAAGUGCAAAAUUAUUGAAAUAGGAUCUGUUAAGAUAAGGAUGUUGGAUGGGGUCUUUAAAACUUUACAUGGUGUAAGACAUGCCCUUGGAUUAAAGAGAAAUUUAAUCUCUUUAGGCAUGUUGGAUAGCUCUGAAUAUUCAUUUAAGUCUAAUAAUGGUGGCAUAGAGUGACUAAAGGGGAUUCUAUUAUGAUGAAAGGUGAAAAGAGGAACGAGUUGUAAGUGUUAGUUGGUUUUUUCAUUCUUGCAAGUGUUGUAAUAACAGUAGAGUUUGACAAGAUAAGUAGUCUUGAGUUUUGUGAGAAUUGUGUCUUUGGGAAGGCACAUAGAGCCAAGUUUCCAAAAGGGGCAUAUAGAUCUAAGUGUCUUAAAAUUUAUUCAAUCUGAUUUGUGAGGGAUAGCUCAAGUGCCAUCUUUGUCAAGGGUAGAUAUUUUAUGACCUUAUUGAUGAUUGCACAAGAAAAGUGUGGCUUUAUAUUCUGAAAUCCAAAGAUCAGGCCUUAAAGAAAUUUAAGGUUUGAAAAACAUUGGUGGAAAAUAAAAGUGGAAGGAAAUUGAAGGCCUUAAGAAUUGAUAAUGGCAUAGAGUUCUGCAACAAGGAGUUUGAAGACUACCAUCAGAAGCAUAUAAUUUUAAGGCAUAAAACUGUCAAAUUAACUCCUCAGCAAAAUGGUUUAGCAGAAACAUUGAAUAAGACCCUUGUUGAUAGAACCAAGUAUAUGUUGAUUAAUUCCAAAAUUCUAAGAAGUUUCCAGGCAGAGGCUUGAGUACAGCUUGUUAUCUAGUCAACAAGAGUCCUUCAUCAGCCAUUAGUUUCAAAACACCUGAGGAAAUGUGGUCAGGGAGGCCUGUAAAAUAUGAUAAUUUAGAAUCUUUGGUUGUCCUGCUUAUGCACAUGUAAAUCAAGGCAAGCUUGAACCAAGAGACUUGAAAGGAUUUUUUGUUGGCUAUGCUGAUGGUGUCAAAGGAUAUAGAAUAUGGUGUGAACAACAUGGAAAAUGCAUUAUUAGUAGAAAUGUUAUUUUCAAUGAAGCAGCUAUGGUUAAGGCUAGAAAGGAAAUAAUAGAAGUUGAUAUGCAUGUUGAAGGAGAUGCGAAUUAACCAACUGAGUCCUCUAAGCUUAAGGUGGAGUUUCUUAGAGCUAAGGAUGAGGAAAUAGAUACAUCAAAUGCUGAAACUGGUCCAUUUGAUGAAAUUAAAGCUGCUGAAACACAAGAAACACAACAAAUUAACAUACAGAGCUAUCAACUAGCUAGGGACAUAAGCAGAAGGCAAACCAGGUCACCUGUGAGGUAUGGUUAUACAGAUUUGAUUGCCUAUGCACUGAUGAGUGCAAAAGAAAUGUCAAUUGAGGAGCCUUUUAGCUAUUCUAAGGCCAUUGAAAGUGAGAACUGUGACAAAUGGAUUGAGGCAAUGAGAAAGGAGAUGGAUUCUUUACAGAGAAAUCAGAUGUGGACACUUGUUCCAAAUCCAAGUGACAAGAAGCUGGUUAACUGUAAGUGGAUCUUUAAGAAAAAGAAUGGCAUCCCUAGAGUUGAACCUUCAAAAUUCAAGGUAAGGCUUAUGGCCGGAGGUUUUAUAUAGAGAAAGAGUGUAGAUUUCAACGAAAUCUUCUCCCCUAUUGUAAAACAUGGCUCUAUUAGAAUUCUUUUAACUAUGGCAACAUUGCUUGUAUAGAGCUUAAGCAAAUAGAUGUUAAAACUGAUUUCCUAAAUGGGAAGCUUGAAAAGCAAAUUUUAAUGACUCAUCCUGAAGGUUUUGCAAAGAUAGGGAAAGAAAAUCAUGUUUAUUUGCUGCAUUAAUCACUAUAUGGGCUAAAGCAAUUUCCUAGAGAGUGGUACAAAAGAUUUGAUGAGUUCAUAGUAACUAAUGGUUACCACAUGAGUAGGUAUAAUAACUUUUUUUACUAUGGUGGCUCAGAUUGAGGCAGAGUGAUAUAUUUGCUUUCUUAUGUAGAUGAUAUAUUGAUUGCAAGCAGACACAAAACUGAGAUUGAAAAGCUUAAGAAACUGAUGAACCAUAAAUUUGAGAUGAAUGAUAUUGCUAGUGCCAAAACGAUUCAUAGGAUGGAGAUCACAAGGAAUAAAGUGUCUAGUGUUCUUUUCUUGAGUUAAGAGAUGUAUGUUAAUAAAGGUGUUAGAGAGGUUUUAUUAUGCAAUAGUGCAAACCUGUUCUGACUUCUCUUGGCUCUCAGUUCAAGUUGACUGUGUCUCAAGCAUCAGAUGUUGUCAAAGAUAAGUUCAGGAUGAAAGAAAUACCAUAUGCACGGGCCGUGGGGAGCCUUAUAUAUGCAAUUGUGUGUAUCAGACCUGAUAUAACUUAUUCAAUGGGUAUAGUCAGUAGAUCUUAAGCUUUCCAAGUAAGAUCCAUUGGGAUGCUGUCAAAUAGAUAUUAAGGUAUCUUAGGGGUACCUCAAACCAUGGCUUACUGUUUGGAAGAUCAAGUUAAGGUGUGAGUGAAGUGGCGGGGUAUGUAGGCUCUGACUUUGGUAGAGACUUCGACAAAAGGAAGUCAACCACUAGAUAUUUGUUCAUGCUGAACAAUUAUAUAAUUAGUUGGAAAUCAUCUUUAAAGUUUGUGGUAGCUCUAUAUUCUAUAUAAGCUAAGUUUGUAGCAGUCACAGAAGCAACCAAGGAGUCUAUGUGGCUUAAAAGUAUCCUCAAUGAACUUUGGUUAAAUAAAAAAUUAGUUCAAAUUUUCUGUGAUAUUCAAAAUGCUAUACAGUAGGCUAAGAAUCAAAUGUAUCAUGAGAGGACUAAGCAUAUAGAUGUGAAGCUACAAUUUAUUAGAGAUAAAGUUGCAAAAGGGACUAUGGUGAUAUCUAAGAUUCAUAUAGAUGUAAACCCAACGGACAUGCUUACUAACGUUCUUCCAACAGCUAAGUUUGAGUUAUGUGUGAACGUGGUGGGCAUCCUGCCUAAACCAAACUGAAUUCAUGAGUGGACCGCAAUACUUGAAGGUUUUUUGAAGCACCUUUUAUGAUGUGCAAUCAAUUGAAUCAGAUUUGCAAGGUGGAGAGUGUGGAGAUGUAGUUAACUGAUUUUGGGGACUAAAGUGAAAUUGAAUGAGAGUUUUAUGGGUCAUUAUGUAUAUUGCACUCAGUUGGAGGGUGCUUAUGAAAAUUUCUGCUGACAUGGCCUAGGUUGUUAAACUUUGUUACAUGGUUUCUACAAAUGUUCCAAAAUGGAGAUGAUGGCUUGUAGCAUAUGAUAUAUAAGCCUUCUCUCACUCAUUUCUUUUUCAAUUAGAAUAAUUCUUCUUUACACGUGAUUCUUGUAACUCUUCAGAUGUGAUAUGUUUGUACUCAGUUUUGAUUAAUGAAAAAGUGUGCAUUUUUUCUUCAAAUCUGGUAACUUGUUCUUUAUAAUCCAAUUCUUUUUCUGUUCUUUACUCUGUUUUUCAUCAAUCUUGAUUCCAAAUCGAUAAAAGAAACAACUAAUGAUCAAAAUCAUUAACAUUCCCUCCAAGGCAUGUGUAGGUAUAGUAACUUCUUGAUCAAACAAUUUUCACUUGCAAGCCUAGGGAAAGAGAAAAUGAAGCAUCUGAAAUAGCAUGCAUUUAGUGUUUGCCAUUACAAGCAUGAUGAAACUGAGCUCUUUGACAUUUUUUCAAUUUCUUAAUUAAAUUCUAAACAGCUUAAUUUGAACUAAAAUGGAUGUGUAGGAAUUAGAAAGGCAAGGCUUCUAUUUAUAUAAAGGAAUAUUGAGAAAUGUAUUGUAGUGACUUUAAUGUAAUUAAAAAGAAUCCAAAAUGAAGCUUAAAUAAAUUACACUGAGUUUGUUUGAAUAAACUAUUGCUUUUAAUAUCUUGAUGCAUUCAGAAGGUAAUUUCAGCAUAUAUUUAAUUAAUUUUAUCAUUUCUUAUUAUUUUGUUUAGUUUAUUAUUAGAUUUUUUUCUCUUUAUAUCAAUCGUCAGGCUAUUCUUUUUAAUAGAUAAAGAUAUUUUUAUAAAUGACGUUCUCCAAUGAAAUUAACCACAUCCUAUAUUUUAUACAAGCCGUUGGCGCAAUAUAAUGCUAGAUAUUUCCGUGGAUAUGCAAUAAAGCCUUUAUAAAUUAAUAAUCUCAAAAUCAUGCAAUAUCUAUUAAUAUAAAGAGAUAUUGAUAUUAAUUAUGAAACAACUCGCCCGAAACCACACGAGCCAAAUGUACUUGAUAUUCUAUAACAUAAUUGACAAUAUUCCAUUUAAUAAGUAUUAUGCCGUAUCUCUCCCCUAUGGAUGUAAUAUUUCCAACCUACAAUUUAUAAAACAAACACUCCUAAAAUAGUUCAAUACACAACCAACCUCCACAUUCAACUUCCCUAAUCAAAAUACCAGUUAUGAUCUGAGCAUUCGAAUGUCAAAAUAGAAUAGGUUAUACUUAAUCACAAAUUAUAACAAAAUUAUACAAUCUAAAAUAUCCUAACAAAAAUAUCUACAACUCCGAACACCAUCACGUGGCCAUAUUUCUAAAAUAACUAUCGUUGCUGGGCCGACUGCUGUAUUUGAGUGAUUAAACUCACUUAAUGAUAAAUUAAAUCAGUUGUUUCUAAAUGAAAAUAUGUAUUCUUUUAUUUAUUUGCAAUGGCUACUUUGGCUUUAAUUUAAUAUAUGUUUUUGAAAUUUAGAUAUUUCAUUAUUUUUGUUAUAUAACUAAAUAAUAUAGUAUUUAUACUUGAUUUAUGACUUAAAAAUGAUAAUAUGUUAGUUUGUUAAUUUUUAUGCAGCUAGUAUGAUAAGAAACAAUUGUUGAUGAGAUAAUAGUGAAAGCAGAGAUAACAACAAGAUUAAUCAUUUAAUGAUGCAAAAUAUGGGCUUCAUCAUGUUGGCUCCUGCAAAUUUAAGACCUAGAUGUGGUUACCACUAAGAAUAACAAUGUUGUCAGUUUCAGCUUUUCUUUUCCUGUCAUUAUGUUGUAAUGCUCUUAAAAUGUUAUGAAUUAAACAAAUACAAGUUCCUAAUCACACGCUCUUAUUAUAUAGGAAGCAUCAUAAAAAGACGAAAUAAAUUCUCAAAUUGGGUGGUCAAAAAGACUUAAGGCAAUGAAUUAAGUCUUUUGAUCAAGUUUGGGGGCUUGCUGUGUGGAUUAAAUAGAGAAGUAGAAACAAGUGGAUAACAAGUCAAAUGAAGCCAAUGACUAAUGCUUCUUUAAUUUUGUCAUCGUAUUAGGGGACUUGCAGGUAAACUUUUAGCUAGCCUGCUGAUGAAGCUUAAAAAUGACGAAGAUUUUUAGUUUCAUCAUCAUGGCUUUGCUUGUAGUGGCAAACACUAAAGCCACACCUAUUUCAGCAUGUUGCACUCGCCAAGAAUCGAACCCAAAUGCUUUAUUUUCCUUUAAUCCUACAGCAUCACCUGACAUUAUUGAUUGCUCAGGGCUUACAAGGGAAGAGUGUUUGAUCGAGAAGUUAAAAAAAGGCUCUCAAAAACUAUAUUCCCAAGAGGAUGCAAAUGAAUUUGAUAAUUAGUUAUUCCUUUUAUCUUCAAUGAGUGCUUUUGCAAUAAUGAGCAAUUGCCGUGGAAUUAAAACUGUGUUUUAGUAAAAGAAGAAAUUAAUUCAUUAUGAGUACGCAAUAUUAUGUCAUGUGUUUUUUGUACGUGCAUCUAGUGCUAUUAACUCGUACAAAUUCAAGACCCAGAUGUGGUUAGCACGAAGAAUUACAUGAAGAAUUAAUUAGUACAAGGAAUCUUCAUCAAGUAGUUAGUAUUCAACUUUUCUUGCUUUGUCUCUCUUCUGUAAUGCUUUUGAGAUGAAAAAUACAAGCUCUAAUUCGCACAUUCUUAUUAGAUAAGAAGCACUAUAAAAAGAAGAAACAAAUUCUCAAAGUGGGCAACUAAAACGACUUGAGAAUAUGAAUAAACUCUUUGGACAAGAAGGGGAUUGAACACCGCUGUGUGGAUUGAAUAGAGAAGUAAAAGUAAAGAGAUAAUGAGUCCAAUGAAGCUAGCAGUUAAUGUUCCUGUACCUUGGUCAUAGUAAUGGGGACUUGGACGCAAACUAGUAACUAGCUUGCUAAUGAAUUCCUCUUUUUGCGGACUUGAGCAAUUGCCAAGGUAGCCAAUAUGCUUGGUGUGUGCAACAUUGUAAAAAUUGAUAUGCUUGUUGAAAGCGGAUUGAAUUAAUGGUAAUAAAGAUAGACGAUGGUUGUGGUGGUGAUGAGAGAGAGAAAAAAACUUAAACAGGUUUAAUUUAAAAACAAAUGGGAUUAAUCGGAAGGUGGGAUCAAAUACUGCUACUCUUUUUUUUUUUUUGGCCAGAAAUAACAUUGCUAGGCCAAGACCCAUGAGCCUUAGAUUUUUUUUUCUUUCUUAAUUGAUUGAGUGACAAAUUAAUAAACUAGAAGAAGCUUGCAAGGCUCUAAUGCUCAGUAUGAUACCAAUUAGAUUUAAUGAUGUUUCAAUUUCUAUUUGUCAAAGAAUAUAGUUGUGUAACAUAAUUAACAUUAUGUCAAAAAUUUUGAAACAAACUUUUUCAACAUCGAAAUUAGAUCUGCAAAAAAUUGUACCAAGCCAUGCUUGGGUAGCCAAUUCUCUAAACAUCUUUAAUAACAACAUUCUUAAUAAAUUAGUUAGUAAGGUAUGUAGAAUACAUGGAUUGGCUAAGAUUCUAUGAUAAUUUAUCUAAUCAAUCCAUUCGUUCAACAUGAGUUGCCAAUUGAAUUUUUAAUUUAAUUUGUGGGUAAGUGUUGUUGCAAGUGUUUAUGGUUGAAAAAUUGUUGCAUCUCCAAAUAGGUCAUCAAAAUAUUAUUUAUUCGGCAAUCCUGCAUCUAUAACAAGAGUUGAUGAAUCAAGAUUGAUUGAUAUAGACAUAUCAAUGGAGCAAACACGAUUCAGAAAUAAUAUCAAACAUAUUGUUAUAUUAAUCAAGGUAAACUUUAAUUCAUCCCCCUCCGAACAACAAUCUUCAAUUUACCCUUCAAAAGUAUGAAAGCCUUGAUCUGCACCAAUUUUUGUUCAAAAGCCAAGUUUAUGAACUUUUAUUUGUUUUUGUAGUAGUAAAUAGGGGUGAAUUGAUUUUUUUCACAUUUUUUUGUGGUAAAUUAAAGAUUCUUGACGCAAAAGUUGAAUUUACCCAUAAAUUAAAUCAGAUAGUCUAGUAAUAUAAGAUUUAGAAAAAAUUAAAUUUUGAUAAAAAUAAGAUCCAUAUAGCCUCACCCUAAAAGAAAAUAGAUUGAAAAUUUAAAUAUUACGUAUGGUACUAACAUUAUAAUUAUGAUCACUUGAUCAACAUUAGCGUUUCAACUAAUUUCUCUCUCAUAGAUUGAUUCAAUGAUAUGUAUAAAACAAAGCACACCAAAAAAACACACAAAAAACACAUGACAAAACAUUAAGUAAUCAUAAUGGAUUAAUUUCUUCUUUUAUUAAAACAUAGUUUUAAUUUCACCACAAUUAAUCAUUAUCGCAAAAGCACUGAAAAAGAUAAAAGAAACAACUGAUUAUAAAAAUCAUUUACAUUCCCCCAAGGGCAUGGGUAGAUAUGGUAACUUCUCGAUCAAACAAUUUUUGCUUGUAAGCCUAGAGAAAUGGAAAAUGAAGCAUCUGGGUUAGCAUGCUUUUAGUGUUUGCCACUACAAGCAUGAUGAAAUAGAACUCUUUGACAUAUUUUCACUUUCUUCAGUGAAUUCUUAACAGCCUAAUGUGAAUUAAAAUUGAUGUGUAGGAAUUAGAAAGGCAUGAGCCUCUAUUUAUAUAAAGGAAUAUUGAGAAAUAUGCUGCAGUGCCUUAAUGUAAUUGAAAAGAUUACAAAAUUAAGCUUAAAUAACGUAUGUUGCAUAGGUUUUAAUAAACUAUUGAUUUUAAUUUCUUGUCGCAUAAUGAAGGUAAUUUCAACAUAUAUUUAAUUAAUUUGAUCAUUUUUUAUUAUUUUGUUUAGUUUAUUAUUAAAUUUUCUUCUCUUUAUAUCAAUCGUCAAGCUAUUCUUUUUAAUAUGUAAAGAUAUUUCUAGAACGAUGUCUUCGAAUGAAAUUAACCAUAUCCUAUUUUUUAGGCAGACCAUUAGUGUAAUACAAUGCUAGAUAUUUGUAUGGAUACACAAUAAAGCCUCUAUAAAUUAAUAUCAGAAUCAUACAAUUUCUAUUAAUAUAAAGAGAUACUGAUAUUAAUUAAUCUAUAAGUUAAUAAUCUUUUAAUUUAUAGAGUGUAUAUACAAUUAAGUGAACAUAUAUUUAAUCAACAAGAUAAUUCGUAGUAUUUUACCAACAUAGCCAAUUCAAAAUUAAUUAAUCCCCUAAAUAUAGAUUACAAUUAACAAAAAAAAAAGAGAAUUUUUGUUGUUUUGAAUUCAGCAGGAAUAAGUAAUAUCAGAGAUGGGAUCCCACUAUAUUUAGAUUUGAAGAAAACAAAUAAUAAUCGAGUCAUGUUUUAUUUAAUAACAUAUUAUAACAAUUAUGUUUGUAAACCUAGCAAAUUAUUAUUUUAUAGUAAGAAUGUGACCAUACAAUUAUAAAACAUAAUCUCUUAUACAAUUUAUUGAUUGAUUAAUAUCAAUAUCGCUUCAAAAUUAAUAGAUGUUGUAGGAUUUCUUUAUUAUUAAUUUAUAGAAGUAUUACUGUAUAUCCAUGCAAACAUAUAGGAUUGAUUGUGUCACUGGCUUGCUUAAAAUAGGAUGUGGUUACUUUCAUUGGAGGGCGUGGCUUGUAGAAAUCUCUUUACAUAUUUAAAAAAUAGCCUGACGAUUGAUAUAAUAAGAAAGAAUCUAAUAAUAAACUAAACAAAAUAAUAACACUAAAAACGAUCAAAUUAAUUUAAUGUAUGUUAAAAUUGUCGUCGUAAUGCAACAUAAUAUUAGAGUCAAUAGUUAAUUUAAACAAACACAACAUAAUUUAUUUAAUCCUCAUUUAUGGAAUCUUUCAAUUCCAUUAAAGUCACUGCAACACGUUUCUCAAUAUUCAUUCAUAUAAAUAGAGACUUAUGCUGCCUUGAUUGAUGUAGAUCCCUUAUACUUCUAAUUAAGUUAUUGAUAAUUCACCUAAGAAAUAGAAAUAUGUCGAAGAGCCUUAGUUUCAUCAUCUUGGCUUUACUCGUAGUGGCAAACACUGAAAGUAGACUUAUUUUAGCCAAUCAUAUUGGCCAAGGAUCUACCGCAGAUGCAUCAUUUUCUAGUAAACCUACAGCAUCACCAGACAUUGUUGAUUGCUCAGGGAUUACAAGGGAAGAGUGUUUGAUUGCGAAGCUAAAGAAAGCUCUCGAAGACUAUAUCUAUCAUUGUCCCCCGGGGGGAUGCAAAUGAUUUUGAUAAUAAAUUAUUUCUUUUAUCUUUUAUGAGUGCUUUUGCAACAAUGAUCAAGUGUAGUGAAAUUGAAACUAUAUCUUAAUAAAAAAAAGAAACUAAUCCAUUAUGAGUGUGCAAUGUUAUGAUAUGUGCCUUUUGUGCGUGCAUCUGACGCUAUUUUGUUGUAUACAAAUCGUUAACUCAAUCUAUG